UUUUUAAAAAAAUAUGUGUACUUAAAUAACACUAUAUGUGCAAGUUAACAAGCAAUUGCCUCUAAAAUAAUAACAAAAUUAACAAUAAAAUAAGAGUUAUAUAAUAUCCAAACAAUAACAAUAAAAUAGUACCAACAUAAUAGUGAAUAGGUAGCAAAAUAGUGAAAAAAAUAACAAGAAUAUAGUAAAAAAAACAGCAAGGAAAAGCAGCAGUUUUUUUUUUUUGCAUAUUCGAGCCGGGAUGAGCCCGGGCCAAAAAAGCCUUACCCGAGGCCCAACCCGUUUUCUAAAACGAGCUUUAUUUUUUUCCCAAACCCAUUUUUCGAGUCUAUAUUUUUACCCAAACCCUCCCACUUUUCAGGCUGGCCUUCGAGCCGGGUCGAGUGACCUGACCCAUGGACAGGUCUAAACACAGCGUGAUAUAUGGCGAAAAAUGAUAAAAAAAUAAAAAUUAAUAAAAGUUAUAGAAAAAUUAUAAAAUGCUUCUUUUGAUACGAUAAUUUUUAUAAAAAAUUUUACGAAAUUUAUAUUCUUUACAUUUUAUAAUUUUUUACAAUUUUUAUAAUUUUUUCUAAUUUUUAAUAAAUUUUUAAUAAUUGAAUUUUUUUAUUAAAAUUUAAUAAUAUUUAUAGCUUUUAUUGAUUUUAUUUUUUAUAAAUUUUUUUCUAAUUUUUAAUAAAAGCAUGGGCUUAAUUGCUUUUUUUUGAAAAGGUUUGAGGGUCUUUUUGAUGCAUUUUGAAAGAUCAAGUGCCUAAUUGAGUGUAAAAAAAAAUAAGGGCUUAAUUUCUUUCUUUUUUUUUAAAGUUUGAGAGCAUUUUUGAUGCAUUUUGAAAGUUCAAGUAUCCAAAUGAGUGCAAAAAAAAGAGCAGGGGCUUAAUUGCUUUUUUUGAAAAUGUUUGAGUGCUUUUUGCACCCUUAAGUCUAAAAUUUACAAUUUCAUACUAUAGUUUGAAUGGAUGUCAUACGUUGAUCCGAGAAUUCAAGAAUGCAUCCCGAUCGAAUUUUUGGUCAACCGCAAUAUCUGGCACGUCAAGGUGCCAUUGAUAUUUUUUGCGACGACAAAGAUGCACGAAUCCGAUCGAGUGCUGCACCAGUUUGGGUUUAGGCAAAGUAUUCCGUCGUCACCCUAAGACAUCAAAGAACUACACAAAGUCAACUUGCGAGAGAGAACCGAUGAAGAUUGGGCAAAAUUCCUUGAAGAAUAUAUCUACAUUUAGGAGAAUAUGUACGAUUUCAUACCUAUAUGCGAAUCAAUUCUCGAAUUGGAAUUGGCGACCUCUAUUGAUUACAUGAUAUGAUUUAGACAUCACGGUAAGCCAUAUCUAUUGCCGAAAGAGAAAAGGACUAGGCAACUCCGUCGUAGGAGGCAAAGACAACCCUACAUGAAUCCUAGGUCGGAAUACAUGCCUUGAUGGAGUUACCAUUAGCUCCAACCCCACACGUGGUACUGAUGAUUGCCCUACCUCCUAGUCAACAUGGUUCAAAUUAUUUCGGUGUUUUCACUAAUCCUAUUUUUUAUACACAAGCACUGUAUCGUAUCAUGUAUCAACACUUUCUGCAGGUGUAUUUUUUACACCAUCUCCAUCCCCAGCACCAUAUGGAGAGUCAAUGCCAGUAACAACAUCAAUGUAUCCGCCAUCUCUGACAAUUCCAACAUUUUAUUCGAAACCAGGUUAUGCGACAUCUUACACUUAUCGACUGAUAGUGUCGCAAACACCCUAGCGUCAUUGUUCUACCAAGGUGGUUCAUCUUUGCAACCACCUGUUACUCGAAAGGACGAUAUACGAGGGCAACCUAGGACGACACGAUGCUCAAGCACGGAGGAACGACGAGAAGAAGAUGAUGAAGAUAGAGCUCGAAGUGAAUAUGAAGAUGAAGAAGGAGUCAAAACCUCAACUACAAAGAAAUCUUAUUCACAACCGGUAUCCAUCGGGUUGUGACACACAUUCAGUCGAUGACAGAUUAUUUUUUAAAAAAAAAUUGUCAGGUAAAUCAUCAUUUACUUUGUUAGCUUUUAAUUUGUAUUGUGUUACUUUUUUCAUGCAUAAUGUACUUAUUCCAAUUAUAUAAAAAAAAAUGUGAUAUGUUGUAUUUUACAUCAAUAAUAUACUUACUUACAGUCUAAGAAAAAAUUAAAAAAUUGGCUAUUGUAUUUUUCAUAUCAGUAGUAUAUAUGACAGCCUCCGGUUGUACCAACGUCCAGAGUAGAAAUCUUGCACAAAAUAUAUGAAGAAGCGGUGUCCAUAAGUAUACGAGUCAGGUUGUAAUAUAGUUACAACGGAGUAGAUGAAUACUACGGGGAUUGUACCCAAGGGAGGCGAAUACUAAAUUAAUUCUAACCUAAGCAUAAAUAGAUCUAAUUAGUACUUUAGAUGAAUUAUAUUACGAUCAAAUAAUAAAUUUAUCAAAUCUGAGCAUGGGUGAUUAGCUUGCUUCGGUAAUCAUAAUCAACUGUUGUUUUAGGUUUUCUUGUUCAAUUAACUAGCUGAUAUCCUAGCAGGAUCUUUCGAUAUUCUACUAGAAUAAUGAGUCGGCAAGAACUACUUAUCUCUUGACCUCACAGUCCAGACUAGUUCAGGGUUAAGGUGUUCACGGAUAGGUCAUACCAAUUUUGGAUUAAUUCCCACCUUAAUGACUUCCUAGGGUCGUCAAACCUAGGGUUUAAGUUAUUCAUUUCCUGAACAACUGAUCCGCUUAAGAGAACCCUACAAAAUAGUUAAUUAAUCAUGCCUCCACUCAUUAAUCCCCCACAAGAUGAUUAGUUCCUCAUGGAUCUCAUAACAAUAUAAACUUGAUAGAAAGAAUAGGCAUGAACAAUAAUUCAAUAAUUAGAAUAGAAUGUUGAAUCCUAAACUACUUAUACAAAUUUCAGUCAACUAUAACUUACUUUAUUACAAAUUUGAAACUAAAAUACAUAAGUAAAUACAACGAGUAAAUACAGAUACAACACAAGGCAAUUAAAUUAUAAUGAUAUCUAAAUUAAAAACCUAAUUUAUUAUAGAUACUUCAAGUGUGGAUUUUUAAGAAGUAUUUUAAUCUUUGAACAUGCCGCCAAGCUUGUUUUGUAUUUAUAAUAUCCUAAUAUGCCCUUUUCUUUGGAGUAAUCCUGGCAUCAUUCCUUCUAGUGCAUACUCAUAAUCAGCCUAAAGCAAAAAUAUAAACUCAUGUAAGCUCAUAAGAACUUAGUGAGAAAAACGUCCUUUACCUGCACAAUGCUUGCACAUUGUUACUGAAGAAUUGUUAAGACUUUCUUAUUAUCCUGGUCUUUCAACUUGUUUCUGGCAAAUAUUUUUCCCAGAAUUUCAUUCUUCAUUCUCUAUGGAUAUCACGCCUUACUCUGAACUCAUUACUUACCCAUCAACACCUUCGAUACGCCACUUACCUCUUUCAAGAUGAUCUUUCAUAAGUCUUUACUCAUUUCCUUUACAGAGAUCUAUAUGACCGAAACACCGUUACUCUUGUAUUCGUAACUUUAAGCCAUCGUUUCACCACAAUUCAUGUUUGAUCACAUAUACAGAUAACAGGUGCCUUCAGAUAUACGAUUAGAAAAACCCUUAUUUAAAAUAUGCUUCUUUUAUGUUUACUCAUCACCUCUUCUACAUCUCAUCACUUCAUUACUCAUAGUUGAAUCAUGGUCUUGCAUAACACUUUACCAUAGCCCAUAAAGACACUGUGCCUUUCUAAUCUUUCUAAUCACACUUACAAGUCAUAUUGAAUGUGCCAAAACAAUUUAACACAAAAUUCGCUACCAGAAAUCAUUCCUUUAGGGUACACCAUUGAAAGCCUUACUAUGAUAUGCCACAAAGGCAAUAUUUUCAAAAUUCACCAUAUAAGUCGUUCCUUUAGAGUGCGCCACAAGGGUUUGUCUUUUAAAUUAUUGCUACAAAGGCUAUCAUUGCAGGUUUCACCAUAGAGGCUAUCCCUUCAUAAUUCACCACAAAGGCAUUCAUUUCAUAUUGCGCCACAAAGGCUUUCUUUCUUUCCUGACAUGUUUAUAAUAUGGAUUUACCUAAACUCAUGUUAUGUGAGGUUUGCCCGUCAUCAUCCUGGAACACGCAAAGAACCCCAUUGGAAAAUCACCGUUCUUUAAUUCCUUUCAGAAUGUGCCAUGAACAUAGGUUUUUCCUUCAAGAUUUAUAUCAGAGAUUGUGUUUUUAAUCCCAACGGACCCCUUUAGACUCCACCGCGGUGAACAGACACAGAUUCUCUUGACAAGCUCUUCAUAUUCUGACAUUAUUUAAGACUCAACGCUUUCAUGCAUUAACAUACACCCAAACUAGUUCACAUCCCUUCACAUUUUUACCAGAUGUACUCAUACAACCAUGCUUCAACAUUAGGAUACUUAUCUCAUACUUAAGCUUGACAGAUUUCAUACGAACUAUACAUGCCAUUCUUAACAAACAUUAUUACUUUACUUUUCUAGUUUCAAUUUCAUAGUUCAAUAAAUUUCCACAAAGGUAUCCCAUAUGAAUAGUAUACCUACAAGAGUCAACUUAAAGACUCACCUGACAACCACGGACAGUAGUUUGAACUCUAGAUCCAACCUUUAUCAAGAUUCUGCAGCAACCACUACUUACAAAAUAGGGGAACACAAUUAAAGCUCAUUCGAGUAACCAUACUAUCAUCUCAAACCUAGAUGAACCACAUACAAAGCCUUACUUCUUCAUUUUACUAUUUAUGCACUCAUACAGACGUCUCUUUCAUAACACAACAUGUAGAGCCAUAAAACUUACUUUAACAUGGAGCAAUCACUAAUAAAAUUCGGGAUCUCAACUUCAGCUUAAAGAAAUGCCUUUAGUUCUUCAAGCCUUAGAUAACCUUACAUUAGAAGAAAGAAAAAGAGAAUUCCCAUUUUCCAAACAUAAAUAUCUAUUAUUAUAUUCUAAGUCCUUAUUGAAACUUGACAAAUGUCACAUUAUUACUAAAUUAUCUUAUCAAAAGUUUACAACUUCCAAGAAACCUAAUUUAAUAUCCCCUUAUCUUUUAACUAUCUUGGUUCGCAUUCAGUUGGUUUCUAACCAGCUUACCUUGCAACUUAACUUGCACAAUACCACAAUUAAUGAAUGCACUAUAUCCCUAAUGUGAACUCAUACUUUUGAUACCAUUUUAUUUGGUCAUUGGUUUUAUUCCAAUUAAUAUAGUAACCUGACAAUGAACCUUUAUUAACUUAACCACAUAAUUUUAUAUGCUCGUUCUAUAUGCCGAAAGAUGUACUUAGGCAAAGCUUAUUCGGCCGAUCAUACUACUUUAGGACUAUACGCCAAACCUUGUGCCUACUAGAACUGGGGUGUUACAUAAGAAGCGAUUUGUGUGAAGGGAAAAAUAAACAUAUUAGCCUUAUAAAUUAAGAAUCUGGUGAGCUAGUAACCUUUCUAACUCUUUUGUAUCUUUUUUAUUGAAUGAAAAAGGUAAGAAACUUGUAAGUUAUGGUAAAGUUCAUGGAUGUGAAAAAUAAAAAUCUUAGAUAGCUUAUAAAGAUAAUUUGCAUGUUAAUGGAUUUCGACGGUCUCACUUAUGAAUGCUAUCGUUUUGAUUGUCUAAUGGUUAUUUUGUUUAGCUAACCAAGGAGGAGGCCUAAGAGACGAAGGAAAAGUUAAACAAUUGUAGGGUUCAAGCAUCCUGGUGUUUUGCGGAUGAGUUUCUCAACUGCAACUCUCAGUUUUCAUUUUGCAUGUUACAGGGUUGUGAUAGUUGGGUUAUGUUUGUUGGAAAAUUCUGCUGUAACAUUUGGUGACGUUGAACUUUGUUGUUGCUAAUGUUGUCAAUGUUGUUUUGUUGAAAGUGAAAGGGUAUGUAAAGCUCAUACCAUUGAUGUAUUGAUUGAUAUUUGAAUUGCCCUUAUGUUGGUAAGCUGUAAAACUUAGAAUGGGAGGCAUGCUAAUGUCUUCUGAUAGUAAAUAAUGUGUCCAGGAAUAAGAUACAAUAUGACGCAUUGGCGUUGUGGUGGGAUAUUGAUUAAUGAAGUUCUGGCGUUGUGGCAAGAUGUUGAUUGAAUGAUGUAUCAGUGUUGUGGUGGAAUGAUAAUUGAAGAAGUAUUGGUGCUGUGGCGGGAUAUUAAUUGAAGGAGGACUAGAGUCCGCAAAGACUUCUUCUCGUGGUUAUAAAUUAUGAUAGUCCGCGGGGACUUGCCCUCAUGUUACAAGUCAUGAUAAUUCGCACUUGACUUUAAGAGCACAAGUGUGUAACCAUUCCAGAAUGAAUCUGCAAACAUGAUAAUCUGUCAAGCUUGAAUUCACAUAGGUUGUUAGCUAAGUGUGAGUUUGCAGGAUCAUUUGUGAGCAUCAAUUCGUAGGGAAUAUCUUACAAGUAUGAUUCCAUAAUGGCCAUAUUGUAUGUAAGAUAGUCAGCAAGUCUUGUUUUCAAGCUUCUAGGCCAAGUUGGUCCAUUGAGACUCUGCUAUAUGAAAGUUAACGAAAUAAGUCCGAAAAGUACAAGUCCGCGUGAACAAAUUCACAUAAUGCGAUUCUACAGGGCUAAGUUCUCCAAGCAUGAUUGCAUGAGAAAUAUUCAUCAAACGUGAGUCUACAAGAACUAUCUGUAAGUAUAGAUUUGUAUAAACGAGUGCAGGUAUGAAUCUGCAAAUCUGAGUUCACAAGUAUAUGUCAGCAAACAUGAAGCCACAAAUGUGAAUUCACAGGCAUGUUUUUGGGGUGUAUUAGCCAAUUAUAACUUUGCCAAGAUUUUUCACCCUGUAUAAGUUGCAUUGGGUAAAUCCACCUAGAUAUUCCACAAUGCGUAUGUCCACAGAGAGUAAAGGUGAUCGAUUUAUAUGAGCAAAGUGUGUGUAUGCGUGUUACUUAUACUCAUACAUGAACUGUUAAACGUACUAUUUGUCUUUAUGCAUAAAUUAUAUUCUUCGCAAGCUAUAUGUGUGGGCGAGUAAGCAACUUGAAAAUUCACUAAGUUCACCUUGAACUUACCAUGUUCCUUGAUCUAUUUUGUCUUCGGGUAACAAAAGCUAUUUUGAACUUAAAAGGGAGGGACUAAGCCAGAAUUUGCUGUAUCUUGAGUGAGCCUAGCAACUUUUGAGUUUUAAACAUGUACAUAUUAGGGGCGAUCUAUAGGCUUAGCUUAUGAAAUUGUAAAUAUUGAAAGUCUUGUUCCAACUAUGAUGUGUAUAUAUUUAACGUUGGGUAGAUGAAUGAGGAAAUUUUAUUGUAAGAAUAGUAUUCGUUUUGGUGUAAGCACUGUGAAUAGUAGAUUGAGUGGUAAAAGCUUUAAAGAUAAGACAAACUGUUCGCCAAGUCUGAAAUCUAUCCGAGUAGCAUCCGGGAAGUGUGUUACAGAUGACCCUAAAAAUAAAAAAGCCAUGCGACAAGAAAUAGAAGAACUUAUCUACAAAAGAUUGGCUCUUGAAGUUAUCUGAAGUAUGCAAAAUUAAGAAUUUAAAUACUGCUGCUAUUCUUCGCGCUUGGUUCAAUUACACGACGAACUUCGAUUUAAAAUUUGACGUGGGUUGCUUCAAAAUUAAGAUCUUCAUGUUAGAAUGAAAAGCAAAAACUGCAAUCAAUUUGGAUAAGAAAAUUUGAGUCCUGCAACUUUGCUUUUAUUAAACAAAGAAAGUAGAGCCUUACAUGACCAAGGAUUUACACUUUCGAUUAUACGAGGGCUUCAACAGGAAAUCAAAUUCUAGUCAACAUUGCAGACUCCACAAUUAUUUGAAAUUAUAAAAGGCUGCAAGCGGUUAAAAAAUGAAAAAUGGCACUUGCUUUAGCCACGUUGUUGGAGAUUGGAGAAAUGGUGAUCAGGGAACGGAUGAAGUGGAGCAUGAAGCUAAGCUGGCAGUGGAAAAUGAAAUAAAAAAAAAUUAAUUAAUUUUGAUUUUUUUUUUUGCAUGAAAUGAGAUAUGAUGAAUCAAAAUUAAAAAAAUUUAUUCUAUCAAAGUUGAAAGCUCAAGAUACAAAUAUAAUCAAGCAUCAAGAUGAGACCAAAUUUCAAGGUUGUCUCUUUCGCAAUACGCAGAACAUUUGUGUAUGUGAUUAAAUUUUGAGAGAGUAUUUGUAGAUAAAGUAAAUUUAUGGAUGAAUUACAAAGUGUUAUAUAAAUUAAGUUAAAAUUAUUGUGGGUCAAAGUCAAAAUUAUCAUGUGUCAUAAUUAAUUUAAUUAAGAGAUUGAUUAAUAAAAAUAAAAUACUUAAAAGUGAUAAUAUCAAGUAAAUUAAUAAGAGAUAAUUAAAAUUAUUUUGUUGAAGAGAAGAUUGAUUAAAAAAAAGUGAGAAGUGAAAGAAUUGGCAUAUAAAGUUGUAAUACAAACAGUAAUGAUGGAAGAAAUUGGAUGAUAACAUCAUAUCGAGAAUGACAAUUAAAGAAAAAAGGAUUAAAAAGUCCAAACAUCUUUAUUUCACAUGUUUCACGACGACACAAUAAAAAGAAUUUGUGCAUGAGAAAAAGUGAAAAAAAGAUAAAAUGAUGGGUGAGGUAAAAAAUUGAGAGGGUAUAAAUGGAGCAAAACAAAGCAUCAUAAGAGCGUUGUUGGGAGUAGGGCUUUAGUCUCUUUGAUUGACACUCUGCUCCACAUAAAAAAAAAGAGGGCAGCAGACUUUGCAUCUCUGCCCCUUUUUGCUCUUUUGCUUAUUAGCUUAGCUUUCUCCAUCUGCCACUUUCUCCCUUUCCUUUCAUCAAAGUAAGUUCGGGUUUUCCUCUUUAAUGUUUAUAUACGUGUUUCUACGUAGGAUUCUUGAUUUUGAUUACCUUUUCUUUUUCUAACAUAUGUUGAAUGAAUGAAGCAGGAAUAAGGGAAGGUGAUUUAUAUAUAUGAUGGGGGAGAGGAUCCCACCAGGGAGUUACUUUCAGUAUCCGCCUUCUGGAGUUCCUGCUUCUCCUCAUAGGGCUUCUUCUCUUCCUACAGAUCGUGAUAGGUCCGAUUUUUUUUUUCUUAAUUUGCUUUAAUCAAUCAAAGCCCAUGUUCUGUUUUGGUUCUUUUGGGAAAGUUUUACUCCAAUUUUUGAUGGUUUUCUUUUAUUGAUCUAAUAAUUGAAGUUUCUUCUGCUGAUCGAUAUGGGUUCUUGAAGUUGUUUUAAGGAAAAAAAACUUUUCUGUUUCUAUCUUCUUGUUUUUGCAUGAUUGAUUGUUAUGUUUUCAAUUGAUGGUUAUGUUCUUUUGCCCCUCAGGUUCAUAGUUCAUUUGUGUAUGCUUUACAUAUUCCAUUUUAUCUAGAUAUGGUUUUACUUUAUCAUUGUUAUCUUCAAUGUUAACUUACAAUCUAACAAUGGCAGAUAUUUAGCUGAAUUAUUGGCAGAGAAACAUAAGUUGGUACCUUUUACCCAAGUUCUGCCUCUAUGUACCAGGCUCGUUAAUCAAGGUUAUUGGUUUUUUUCCCCUUUUUUCUGCAAUAUAAGAUUCAUUAGCACUUAUCAUUGGUAUCGUUGGAAACUGGUUUUGAUUAUUUUUUGGUUGAAUGAACAUCACACUAAAAGUAAAUCUAUCUGUAUCUAUUCAUGUUAUGCGCUUCUCAAGGAUGUAAAUAUAAGUUUCAUUUUACUAGAUUGUUAUCUUAGAUUCAUCAUCAUGAGUGCAUUGUCGGUUUGCUUCUUCCAAGAAUAAAUCUCUCAUGUUAACGAUAUUGAACUGAAAUUGUAAACAAACAACAGCCUAGUACAAACUGUCCACCUAGCUAUAGUUGAUCUACUAUUAGUCUAAACUAGCAACAUAUGAUUUUAAGUUAUUACAGGCUGAAUUUAUCCUAGACUAGAUGGUUGUACUAAAACAUGUGGCCUAAGCCAAAAAAUAAACCCCAAAUGUUCACUUUUACCAUUGAGGUAAUUUUGACUGCAUAUUGUCACUUUUGUUUUUUUCUCAUGUAACUGCAGAGAUCAGAAGGGUCUCAAGUCUUACUCCUAGUUUUGUCGAUCAAGAGCGAUUUGAACAUGAUAGUCCUUUCAGGUCAUUAGGUCAACAUCCCAAUGGGAGACAGAUGGAUUUGGAGGGUUGGUCUGUAAUGCAAACAGAGGUAAUGCUGCUUAAUGGUUAUAUACAAAUCUAUUGUUUUAAAUUAAAAUUUUUAAUUGCUUACCAGCUUAAUAAAUUUCAACUGCCUUGUUAUUGGCUCCCACUGUGAUUAAUUCUUACGAUGAAUAAUUUGCUUCUCAUUAAUAUUAAAUGGAAGGAAGAUGAAAUUUGUUAAAUGUUGUUAUCUUGCUUCCAGGAAAAUGGGCAUAUGGAACGAGUUCCUCCAAUUCAAGCUGCAUCAGUGGGUUGGCCCGGUUUGCCUAGAGCCCCUACAACACCGAUUGUAAAGAGAGUUGUUAGACUUGAUGUUCCUGUGGAUAAAUAUCCAAAUGUAAGUUAUGUUGAAAAUUGUUUGUUUUCAUUUUCUUCUUUUGUAAGAUAAUAGGUCAGACUCAGUGCCCUUGCAGUACAAUUUUGUUGGCCGAAUUUUGGGACCACGGGGAAACUCCCUAAAGAGAGUUGAAGCCAUGACAGAGUGUAGGGUGUACAUAAGAGGCAAGGGUUCAGUCAAGGAUUCUGUAAAGGUGAAGUCAGUCAUGAAUUCUUUUUAUUUCCAGCAAGUAAUUUUGGUAAAAGAGUGUAGUUUGAUAUGCACCAUAGGUCAAGUCUUAAGCUACUUCUAGCUUGGUCAUUUAUACAAGUUCUGAUUAUAAUGGAACCGUGCAAUUGUUUUCUACUUUCUCUUGAAAAUUGGAGUGUAGCUGGUUCUUGGGCUAGUUUUAGGAGCAUGUUUUUCAUUUUUUUCCCUCUCAAUGGCAUUUUAAAUUGUAGGUGAUGUGAAAUUUGCUCAUGUAACUUCAUAUAUGCUAGUAAUCUGCUUCUCCGUUUGCAUAUGACAUGCUUUGCUGCCGAUUUCAGUAUCAUGUUUAUUUGGGUUUUGUUUUGGGCUUUUUGCUGUUUGUCUCUUGUUUAUAGUUAAUGUGUAUUUUAUGCUUUUCACUUUUCUACUACAAGAAGCAAAAAGUAAAAGCAUCAUCGAAAUGGCAACUUAGUCUUUUGCAUUUUUACAAGUGACUAUUGUGGAUCAAUCAAUGCAGUGAUCACCUUUACUACAUAAAGUAACUCCUUAAAUACAGUAGUGCAUGAGCUAGUUCUGACAGUUUCUGGUUUAAGUAUAAGAUCAAGUUUUCCUUGGUUGUUUGCCCACUUGUUAUCCAUUCCUACUUCCUUUAAAUUCUCACAACUGGCGGCUGGCUUUUUCUACAGGAAGAGAAACUGAAAGAUAAACCUGGAUACGAACAUCUUAAUGAGCCACUGCAUGUGCUGGUGGAGGCUGAAUUUCCCGAGGAUAUGGUAAAUUCUCGUCUGGAGUAUGCUGUUGCGAUACUAGAUAACCUUCUGAAGCCAGUGGUAUGAAUGAGCAAAAGCAAUUUCUGCUAUCUUCUAUGGAUAGCUAACCCUUCCAUUCCAUUUCUGUUUUUGUGCUAACCCUUCUCCAUUCCACCAUUUCCAGGAUGAAUCCUUGGAUAGCUAUAAGAAACAGCAGCUUAGGGAGUUAGCUUUGCUAAAUGGUACCUUAAGGGAAGAGAGCCCAAGCAUGAGCCCAAGUAUGAGCCCAAGCAUGAGCCCAGGUAUGUCGCCUUUCAACAGUACGGGAAUGAAGCGGGCGAAGACGGGAAGAUGAAGAAAUCCCUUGUUUUCUGCUGGUUCUGAUCAUCAAUUGAAAUCGAGAUGGCUUGGCUUGGCUUUUGUGAUGGAUGAUGUAUUUCACCUUAACUUAGGGAGGCUGAGUUAGGAAGAUCUAAGUCAAAACUCCCAUCAGUUUUUGGGCUGCAUAUGGGUUUUCUUCUCCACUGAUAUUCCUUUUCUUUUCCUUCUUUUAUGUAUUAUUCAUUGCCCCUCCCAUAAGGUUUGACGUCAGUCUCUAUUUCCACUAGUUCGAAAAUAACUUGUUUCCCUAAUUAUUUUCGCCUGCUUCCGAUGUGCUCCCAUGAUUCUUUGUACUGACAAUUUUACAUGCAUAUUUCUAUGUAUGCCCUUCGUCAUAAGAUACAAUCAGUCCCUUGUAUUAUCUUUUAUCUUCAUAGCAAGUAUUAUCUCUCUAUCUUGUUCAUUUUACGUUAGUCUGGUUUUGCUUCCACUGGUAUUAUGCUUCUAUAUCCACUACAAUUUCUGGAAUUCAUGGCUGCCUUCUUGCGAGGAUUAAUGAAAUAUGCAAAGCAAAAUGAUGCAAUCUUGUAAAACAAUAGAAACUAUAUCUCCUUAAUAUAACAUAAAUAGAGCAUUUCAAAUCCAACAUCUGAGAACAUAAAAACUUAAUUGUAAUGUUACCUUAAUCAAAAACUGAAAACAGCGAUCUAUAAAUAAAACCUGACAUGCAAAAAGGUACCAGAAAUAUAAAAAAGUAAAAUUAAGAACAUAUUCUAUCACUUAAAGCACUUGGCAUCCAAGAGAGGCUCUCCCUCAAAUGGCUCGCAGUCUUCAAUCAUCUGAUUCACCCGUUCCUUCUGGGCUGCAUCUGACAGGUCAACCUUCUUCCACUCGUAGAGUUCCAUGUCAUAGCACUCGUCAAUCACAAAUUGAGGAAUCUCUUGCCCACGGAAAAGCCAUAGUCCUUUCACCUUGAAUGGAGGGUUAGCACCGAUCACCAACAUCUUCCCAAAUGCAUACUUGCGGGCCAAAUCCAUUCUCUGCAGGAAUCCUCCAACCUUGUUCAUUGUGACAAAUGAAACUGUAUUCUCCUCAUUGUACUUGUAGUCACAAAACCACAGUGAGUAUCCCUCGGGAUCAUACAUGUCCCAGAAUCCUGACACGAAUCAAGUAUCAGAUAUCACAAGCCCAAACAUUGCUUUUAAAAGGGAGUGCUACUGUGAAAACAACAGGGAUACCUUUAAUUGCAACCUCUCGGAAAUUGGUCUUUGUGUUAGAGUAAAGCCUCUUCCAGUCAUCCAGUACCAUCUUACUUGGAGGCAGCAAAUCAAGAGGAUUCUUUGGUUUGGGCUUUGGUGCCUCCUCCUCCUCAGCUGCCUCUGCCUUUGCUGCCUGUUUCUCAACCUCCUUUUUGGCUUCUUUCUUUGGUUCAGCCUUUGGUUUAGUUUCUUUUGGCUGGGCAGCAGGCUUCUUUGAAGGAACAGGUGGUAGAGAGACUGCCUGCUUCACUUCACCAAGAAUCUUCUUGAUUUUUGGCUGAUUAACCAAGGUCCAAAAGUACCUCUCAACAUGAGGGAACUCCGAGGUAAAACUCUUAGUCAUGAUCUGGGAGAAACCCAAGUAGAGGUUACAUGUCAUGAUAAUGUCAGCAAGGGUGACAAAAUGUCCAACAAGAAAUGUGUUGGAAGCAAGAUGAGUGUUCAAAGCGCCAAGGGCUCUCUUCAAUGCAGCAAUAGCAGCUUCCUCAGCCUACAUGCAAAAUACAUAUAAGAGAUUAAAAUGAAAUAGGUAGGCAAAAUCAUACCAUUGAAUUAAAAUGAACUACUACUGAAUUACAAAAAUAAAAUUUAACUCUUAAUAUAGAUUAAUAAAUACAUCAGAAUGGGGGAGAAAACAACCUAGUCUCUUAAAAAAAUAAUGAGGAGAAAACCCAUGCCUACUUGAUUAUCAAUGCAAUGGGCAUUCCCUUCAACCAAAAUUACUUAAUAGUGCUUGAGUUGAUUCCUUUCCAGAAACUAUGCAGGGGAAAACACUACCACAUUAAGCAUGUACUAAAUGUUGUCUAACUAAUCCUCUCUAAAAUAAAUAAAACAAGAAUCAUAGACAGGUAAUCAAUGCCAAUUUUCCCUUCACCAUUCCCUCCUUAAUAUUUUGUAUUUCAAUGACUAAGUUGCCUUAUUCCAAUUUUAACAUAGGACCUAUUGUCUUAUAAUUAGAAAGAAACAAAGACUAAGUAUGGCCCCAGCAAAUCAAGCCCAAUUAAAAUGACAAAAGAAUCUGCGAGGAAAGACAGUAGAACUUACUGGAGGAAGGUAAACACCGUAACCAAGUCUUGGAUACAACCAUUUUGCAAUAUUAGCAUCAAUUUCCAUGGCUGCAAAAUCAAUCCAUUGCUCGAUAUGACCCUAAGAAAGCCAAAGUAAUACAUACAAACAAUUACUUCCAUGGUUUAAAAUAAACUUAACUGAUGACAGAAGAAUACAAGACCAUUGUACUAUAAGAAUCUUACAUAAUCAAUCAAUGUAGAACCACAUAUAGGGUUGUUAACCUUUGAGCGAGCAACUGCAGAGAAAAGUAUACCAAUAAGUAAAAACAAACAUUAGAGGAAGAAAAUUUAGGAUAUGGAGUCAGCAGAUCUUCUCACCAUAACGAGCAAUGGCAUUGCUCUCAAAUACAGGACCCUCAGGUGUUUCCAACACAGGAACCUAGAAGAGUUAUAAAUAUCUUCAGUGAACAGACCUAGAAAAAAGGUUACAUAACAUGUAUAAAAAAAAUUCUCUAGUUUAAAUCUAUUAAUAGGCGUUACAAGGUCACCUUCCCCAAAGGGUUCAUCUUGAUGAACUCAGGAGUCUUAUUUGACACACCCAUCUCAAAAUUUUCAACCAUUUUGACCUGCACACCACUAUAUUCUGCAGCAAUGAGUGCCUUAAAGGCAUUUUUGUUUGUUUUUCCUGCAUGCAAGACCUGCAUGUAAAUCAACACACCACAUUGAUUAGAAGAACCGGUUGAUUAAGAAGUUGAAUUGAAUGUCAAACACCAGUCAAUCCCUACAACGAAUCCAGUAAAAUCCUGAAAUUGAUCCUUUUCGCCCCAUAAAUUCUCUUAAAGACCAUUCACUUUACAUUCUAAACUACUAACCGGUACUUAGCAUUUCCAUCUACCAUACACAAUUAACCUAAUUGACGUAACAUCUCGCCAUCCAUCUUUCUUCUGGUCAAUGGUUCCCAGUUGAAAUCGAAGGUGGUAGAGUUAAAAUCAAAAUCAAUUUUUUUAUCGUUAUGAUUAGUAUCUACAAAUCCAUAAACUAUUCCAUUGAUAGUAAUUAUAUAAAACAUAUUCAAUGUGCCACUUCUUUCGCAAUGUAAAAAAGCUAGUUACAAUUUUCACUUUCUAAUUCUACUCGAAAUAACUUCCACUUAAUCAUUAGGUGUCAAUUCUUUCAACAGUUAAACUACCAAAAGAAAUGAAACUAAUAUAUAUGCACAGAUAUAAAGCUUACCAGAGCCAUGGCUUGAUAGAAAAGAGCGCUACGAUUUGAGAACUGAGAUCUGGAAAAAAAAAAACAGAGAACAAAAUAAAAGGAAUAAGGAAAAAUAUUCAAGCAGGAGAACUUGAUUCCCAUGUAUUAAGGAGUAAAAAUGAGAGAAAGGAUUAAGAAAGAACCUUGAAGACGAAAUCGCAGCGAGAAGGAGCGGGAGAGACUGCGGGACAAAGAGAGAAUAAAAGAAAGGGGGACUAGGGUUUUUGUAGAGUAGAGCGAGUGUGAUGUGGGGUUAUCAGUUCGGGUUCCGGUUUAGAUCCAGAUUUACUAACCCCUUUCUUUUUCCGGUUUUUUUAAGCGUGUCUUUGAGGUAAUAAGUCAUUUCAAGAAUAAUUAAAUAAAAAUAAAUUAUAUAAAAAAUUCUCAUAACCAUUGAACCAUUGUUUUUCUCCAAUUUUCCUUUUCACAACAGUUUUGCUUUUUAUGUAAUUACACACAACUAAUUGAUCUGAAUCGAUUGGAUCACUAAUUUUUAAUUUAAUUGUUUAGAUCACUCUGAACAACACUACUUUUCUCAAAUUUUUUAUCUUGUGUCUAUUUUUUUUAUUACCAAUAUAAAUUAACUUGGAGUAUAAUGAUUUAUAUUUUUGCUCAUGCUUGAGGUUGUUUGUUUAGAUAAAAGUUAACUCAAGUGAGUUGUAUUUAAUUAAAAACUCUAUUGGUUUGAGUUCAAACAUUAUUAUAUGUGAAGUUUUAUUUUUUAAAAAGAUUAAACUACCCUCGAAUAAUCUAAUUUAUUUUAAAUAUGAAAAACAUUUUUGUAAUUUUUUGAGUUGAUGUCCGGUUAACUCGUAUCACUAACUCAACCAAGGGUUUAAAUAAUAGUAUAGAUUAUUGCAUUUUAAUUAAUUUUUAGAAGGAAUUAUUUCUAAAAAUAUGUUUUUUUGGUGCACCUCAAUAGUCAACACUAAUAACUCAUUUCCCUAAACUCUAGACCCCUAAUUUCAACAAAGUGUAUAAUUGUUGAAAUGUCCACUUGUUGGUCUAAGUGACAAACGCAAAGCACCAAGAUCAUUUUUUAUGCACUAAAUCAUCCACGGUGUUAUUAUAUUGGUUUACCUCAAAUCAAACAAUUUUUACUGAUCCCCAUUGUAACUACUACAAUAGAAAAUCUUACCCAUGCCCCUAAACCUAACAUUCAACUCGAUGAUUUUUGUUAAUCAUCGUGCUUAAACAAACCCAUAAAAAGUUUACAUGUAUAAUUGAAAAACCUUAACCUAUCUCCUUAAACCGUAAAUCCCCAUAGUUGUGGGUUGAGUAAGCUAGAAACCAUGGGGAUUUUUUGAACUUGGCAUCUCUUUCAAAUAACAUAAAAACCCUAACUUAUUUUCCUAAACCUUAACCCUAAAACUUUAAUCCCCAAACAAAACCUUAAACACUAAAUAGAAACAUUUAAUAAAUUCCCAUCAAAUUCUUUCCUCUAAGGGUUUUUAUGCAUCUCUAAUUUCAAUAAAAAGUAACCUCAACUCUCAAAUUCAGAUGCCUUUUGUGAUAAUGGAUUUCCUCAAGUGUUAGAGCGCCAAUUGAGUAUGAAAGCUUCUUUUAAACUAACUUUAAAUAGGCUUUAGGGUUUAUGAUAAACCUUGUUUAUGAUUAGUAUGAAAGAUUUCACUAUAUCAAAACAAUGUUUCAACACUUAUGGAAAACCAUGAUCUAAAUCAAGAGAGUUCAAGUUUUCCUUGAUUGAAGUUAGAUUUUGGUUGAAAUCAUUGAUCUAAAAGUGAUAGUAGCCAGAAUAGGUUGGAGGAAAUUAGUUUUAAAGGACUUUAUCAAAAUUUUAAUUUAGGGUUUAAGGUUUGAGGGGAAAAGGUAAAUAUUUAAGGGUUAAAAGAUUUUGGUUUGGGGUUAGAAGGAAAAGGUUAAGGUUCAACUCUUGUUCAUUAGGUAAAUUGACUACGAUCUUGACACCCAUGGGUUGUUCAGUUUUAGUAUUAAUAAAAUGCAAACAAAUACAUAACAAACAAUUCUUCAUCUUCCAAAAUCAAAGCUAACCACUAUUUAAAGAUAUUGAGUUUAGUACCCUAAAUGUAGUAUAUUUAUUUUGUAUAGUUGUAUUUUUCGAGAAAAUUGGUUUAAUAAAAAUAUUCAUUGAUUACAUUAAUAGCCUUUGUAUAUUAUCCUCAACGAUUUUGUAUGCAAAGAAAAAUGGAAACAAAGAUUGGCUCACUAGUUAUCUAACAUUUAACAAAUGCUAAAUGGUAUUACGUGGUCGGAUAGUAAUACAAAAAAACAACUUAUAUUAGUAGAUAAACCUAAAUAAGUCAUUAGUCUAAUUGGAAAUGAGCAAGCCGCUUUAAAGACUUAAGUCGUCUACCAAGUCCAAUUGGGGAGAUGCUUUGUCUUGAGCAUCAAAACGAAGGACUCCCAGAAGAUAGAGACAUAGAUGUCACUGACUGGACUGACAAUACAUUGGACAUGACCUAAGUAGGAUAGAUCCUAGAUUGUUUUAUGAAUUUAUUCACUUGAGACAUUCAUAGUGUGACAUACCUUAAUCCUGAGUGGAUGAUGGACUAUGCAUGUAUGACUCAUAUACUUUGAUGGAAGUAAAAGCCUAAAUUCAAAUAAAUAAGGAACCGAAAAAUCGGUAUAUUGCGUAUACGACUUCUACAACAUAUAGCAUCAUUCACAAUAGUGGAAUUCAUAGCUCAAAUAAUAAGUAAAUGAUAUCCUCUCAUUGGCAUUACAUGAUAGAUGAAAAGUAAACAUGGCCACGAGUCAUUUGUCUUUGUGAUAAAUGACUUGAUUACUAUUUAAUAGUACUAGGGACUGCAAACCCUAGUAUAUUUAACUAGGGUUGUCGCCCCGCCCUCCAAUCCUAGUUAGACUAGGAUUAUGUUUUUCUAUUGAAAUAGACUUCUAAUAAUUCAACAAGGGUUUCAAUUCUUCUCCCUAUAAAUAGAUGGAAACAGUAAGGCUAAAUACAAAACUUUGAGAUAUUGUUAUUCUGCCCGAAAAUAGUGAGAAUUUAUUUUCUAAGUAUAAAUUCUAUUUUCUAGAAUAACAAUUCUAUUGGUUUAUAUUAAAGAGAGAUUUUCUUUUCCACUAAAAGUAAAGUAAAUAAUUUAUGGUUCUGUGCUUUAUUUGAAUUUGUUCGAGCCCACAAUCGAAGUAGUUCGUGGUACAGGAAUAACAAAGAAGGCCAUUCGAUUGAAAGCCAAGAAUGACAAGGACCCGUUUAGUCGAAAGCAUAAGUGCAAUUUCUGUAAAGGUUUUAUUGAUAUAACUAUCACAAAUCGGUUUGAUUUUCAAAAUUUAAAUUUUUCACUGGGCAAAAAAACUGUUUUCAAAUCAAUUUUUUUCCAACUUUCAUAUUAACCAAGAAAUAAUAACUAGACUUAUGAAAGAUGAUACCUUAAGUUUGCUUAAGGAAAUUGAUAUUCCACAAUAUGAAUAUUGCUUGGAAGGUAAGAUGACUAAGUGAUCUUUUAAUGCAAAAGGAAUGAGGGUUGUGAAAUCUUAGAACUUGUGCACACUGAUAUAUGUGGCCCUAAGAACGUCAGUGUGCGAGGUGAUUAUGAUUACUACAUAACAUUUAUAGAUGACUAUUCCAGAUAUAGGUAUGUAUACCUAAAGCACCGUAAAAGUGAAACUUUUGAUAAAUUAAAAGAGUUUCGUGCAGAAGUGGAGAAAGAACUAGGUUUACCCAUAAAGACACUUCGGUUUAAUCAAGGUGGAGAAUACUUAUUGGAUGAGUUCUUUGGUUACCUCAUAGAGAAUGUAAUAUUAUCUUAAUUAACCGCGCCAGGAACCACACAACAAAAUGACAUGGCAGAGAAAAGGAAUCGAACCUUGUUGGACAUGGUUCAAUUGAUGUUAAGUUAUUCAUAGCUUCGAGUCUCCUUUUAGAGAUAUGUUUUACAAAUGACUUGCUACAUUUUGAAUGAUGUACCAACUAAGUUUGUACCUAAAACUCCAUACGAAAUAUGGAAUGGCAGGAAGCCAAGUCUAAAUCAUUUAAGGAUUUGGCGAUGGCCAGCCCACGUGUUGGAUAAAGAUGUGAGGAAAUUGGAUUCACAGAUAAAGUUGUGUAUGUUUGUGAGAUAUCCAAAAGUAAUAAAGGGUGGUUUGUUUUAUAACUCGAAAGAGAAAAUAUUGAUAGUGUCGAUUUAUGCUCCUUCAUUGAGAGGAGUUAUACGAACGACUUUAAAUCUUGAAGUAAAGAAGUACUUGAUGAACUUUGAGGAAGUACACAAAUCCUUGGUUUUAAAUCCAACUUCUAAUAAUAGACUUGUAAACAAUCAUCAACAUAAGGAGCUUCAUUGUAGUGAGAAGGUUUCUCGUAAGCCCGAGUUCUUCUAGUCUAGCAGAAGUGUUUUAAACACUGAGUUUUUUGAACAGGAAGAUGAUGACCAACUCACAUUUAAAAAAAUGAUGCUGAAUGCUGAUUCCAAGCUUUGGGAAAUAACUAUAAAAUCUGAGAUGAAUUCUAUGAAAUCCAGCUAAAUGGAUAUACAAGAAGAAAAGAAUGUGAAUGGAAAGUGGAAACUUAUAAGGCUAAACUUGUAGCAAAGGGGUAUACUCAGAAAGAAGGUAUCGAUUACGAAGAAGCCUUCUUUUUGGUUUCCAUACUCAAGUCAAUCUGUAUAUUGUUAUCCAUUGCGACGACUCUUAAUUAUGGAUCUGUCAAAUGGAUGCCAAGCCGAUAUUCUUUAAUGACUAUCUUGAAGAAGACACUUAUAUGAUGCAACCCACUCGAUAUAUAGCUAAAGGAAAUUAGCAUAAAAUUUACAAAUUGCUUAGAUUCAUAUAUGGACUUAAGCGAGCAUCCCGCUCAUGGAAUCAAAUAUUUGAUCAAAUGAUCAAAACUUUUGAAUUUGAGCAAAAUAUUGAUAAACUUUCUGUUUAUAAACAUAUUAAGGAUGGAAAGAUGGUUUUUCUUAUUGUAUAUGUCGAUGACAUUCUACUCAUUGGAAAUGAUUUAAGUACAUUGUCAUCGGUUAAAUUGUGAUUAACCCAACAGUUUAGCUUGAAGGACUUAAGAGAAGCUAUCUUUGUUCUAGGCAUUCGAAUUCUAAGGGAUAGAAAGAACAAAGUGAUAGCAUUAUCACUAGGUAUAUACAUAGACAAGAUAUUGAAAAUUUAUACGAUAACUGAUUCAAAAUUUAGUCAUUAUACUAUAGUGGAAUAACUUCACGACCAAAUAAGUUUAUAAUUAAUAGACGAAAAGUUGGACAUUAAUUAUAAAUUAUUUAAGCCCUAAUUACGUAUGUACAAUUGGUCCCCCCACUAGCUCGUUGAAAAAAAAAUUAAUUGCAUGUGGAACAAAAUGAAUAGAAAUGAAUGGAAAUGAUAAUGUCAGAGAAAUGAGUCACAUUAACAAAUUAAUGUGUUUUCUCACCAGGUAUAGAAAUGAAUUGAGAAAUUAAUUUAAGGUUUUCGAAUGAUUAUUUAAUUAAUUAUAAUUAAAUAAUUGAAGUUAAAAAAUGAAAUGAAAUUAAUUUUCUAUUAUGAAUGCUUUGAAUAAUGAAAUUAAAUAUACUUCCUCAUAAAAUCUUUUACAAUAAAGUUGUUAUAACUUUAACGGAAUUAGAAUUGAGUUGAGAUAAUUAUUUAAUUGAGUAAUUAAUUUAGUUAAUUAAAUUAAUUAAUUAAAUAAUAUUUAUUUUUGAAAAUAGAAAAUAAACAUUAGGUUGGAUUAAAUCAUAAAAUGCUAGGUUAAAAGUUUAGGAAACUCAUAUAAUUGAACCCAAUACAUGAGAGGUCAAAUUUGUCCCGUAUAACAUGUGAGCAACAACAACCCAAAGGGAAUUUAAGAGGAUGUGUUGCCUCCUCUCUCUUAGUUAGACAAAGAGAGUGUUUUCUAUUAAAAUAAUUGUUGAGUAUGACUCCUAUUUCAGUCAAAUUUGAAAAAUAAUCUUCUAGUUAAACUCUGUUUAUUUGUUUCAAUCAAAUUAUGAUUAGUCUAGAUUAUUUUUUUAUUAUUUGACCUAUGAAUUUAGCCUAUAAAUAGGCUCUUUUACAACUUUAGAAAAUACACCCAUUAGAGAUUAGAACUCAUACACUUUUGGAGAAUUUUUGUGUUUACAUUUUGAGGGUUCUUUGUUUUUUGGGGUUUCAGGGUUUAGUUUCUAUCUUCAUCUUUGUACUAUUCGUUCUUUUUUCAUUAUAGUAAAAUUAUUUUUGCCCGCAGUAUUUUAUCUUCUUUGGAGGGGUUUUUCUACGUUAAAUUUGUGUGUUCAAUUUCUCAAUUUCUUCCGGUAUUUUUACUUGUUCGUUGCUUAAUUGGGUCAAUCCCCAACAAUAACAUUAUUUGUUUAAGCCUUAUUCAACCAAGAUUCUUCUAUCUCUCUCUAUGAAUAGAUAGCACCGAUUGACUUAAAAAACACACUUAUUAGUUAUUGAUUUAUCGUUAUUCUACCAAAAAAUAGUGAUAAUUUAUUCACUUAGAAUAAAUUAUAUUUUUUGGGAAUUACGAUUUUUACCAGUUUCUUAAGAGAAUUUUUUUCCUACUGAAAGUAAUAAUAAUUUCUUGUUCGUUGUUUGGUUCGUGUUUCUCGAGCCCACGCUCAACCCAAAUCCAUCUUGCACAAUGUAUAGGUACUUUUUGGUAAAACGUUUAUUGCUAUAAACAUCAUAAAUCGGUUUAGUUUUUAAAAUUUUUAAACUUCUGCUAUAACUAUAAAUCGUUAUGAAGGAUUUUGAAGAACCAUAUUUUUAAGUGGGACCGUGUGUAUUAAAUCAAAUAAAAUUAUGAAGAAUUUUGAAAAACCACAUUUGUAAGUGGAAUUGGAAAAAGGAAAUUGAGCUACUGAGAUCCCCUCUUGAAAUUACUUAUAAAUUCUGAAAUUCUUUAAUAUAUUUACCCAAACAAAUAAAUUCAUUUUUAUAAAUUUAAAAAUCUUGAUAAAAAUAAAAUCCCUCCUAUAAAUCCCUCACCCAAACACACUUUUAAGUACCUAUGCAAGUUAGGAAGCAAAUGAUGACAAGGACUCAUCACUUACAAAUGAUCCAUUAGAAUGUCUGACCGGCAUUACACGUGUGUGCAUAAAACAACAAAUUUAUAAAAAAAAAUUUAUAGCAAGGUUUUACUGCAAUCAUGCAGGUUAGUUGUAAUAUUUGUAGUGUUACAAUGGAACACCAAAAUAUUCCAAGGAUCGAACUCAAAGGAGUUGGUGAUUUAAUGAUCUGCCACGAAUUAUUGACCGCCUUCAGACAUACUAACAUCUAGAGUGUGAAUAUUGCAGCAAAAGAUAUAUAUAAAUGAUGCGGUAUCUGCAAGUACACGGGUCAGGUUGUAAUAUAGUUACAACGAAGUAUGUGAGUACUCUGAGGAUCGUACCCAAAGGAGGCUAAUACUAGCUCAAUUUCAACCUAAACACCAAAAGAUCUAAUUAGUACUUGAAAUAAGUUAUAUUACGAAAAUAUAAAUAAUAGAGAUUUUUGGGGGUUUUUUAUAGUAAUGAAAAUAUGACAAGUAAUUAAAUAUUGAGAAAUUGAAAAGUGAAAUUAAUCAAAUCUGAUUAUGGGUGAUUAGCUCACUUCAGUAAUCUUCAUCAACUGCCGCUUUAGGUUCCUCAUCAAUCAACUAGUUGAUAUCCUAGUAGAAUCUUCCGAUGGAUCCACUAGAACAAUAAGUCAGCAAUGACUACUUAUCUUCUGACCUCACAGUCUAGACCGGUUUGAGGUGAAGGUGUUUACAGAUAGGCCAUAGCAAUUUUAGGUUAAUUUCCACCUUGAUAACUUCUUAGGGUCGUCAAGCCUAGGUUUUACGUUCUUCUUUUCCCAAACAGCUGAUCUGUUGAGUAAUCCUACAAAACAGUUAAUAUAUCAUAGCUCCACUCGCUAAUCCCCCAUAAAAGGAUUAGUUCCUCAUGGUUUUCGUAAACAAUAUAAAGUUGAUAUAAAGUGUAAACAUGAUAAUUGAAUCGAAAGUAUAAAGUUUAAGAAAAAGCCUGAUUUGUAUUACGAAGAAGAAUGAAUCCACAAAGUUUAAUCGUAUCCACAAGUCAUAUUUCCUGAGAUAAAACAAAGAACAAGCUGAAAUAAAUAUAAAACCUAAGAAAAGAUAAAUACUAAACUAAAAAUAAAAAGAAAGAUUCUAAGCUAAGUAAUCAGUGUCUAUAACAUGUGCCAAAUGAGCCUAUUUAUAGAUUUGAGGUGAUCGUCGUCCUUAACCCUAGGUUAGCUGACAUUCCCGAACUUUAAGUUGGAUUGUGCGGACCAAAAUACCCCCUGGCUCGUAUUAAUUCCCGUCAAGAGUUGAUGUUGCGACACAUCAAAACCUGUGUCGCGACAUAAAAGUCAGUAUACUUUUCUUCAAAGUGUCUUUAGGGGUAUGUCGCGACAUCCUUAAGCUGUGUCGUGACAUCAAAGGAAAUCUUAGAAUUCCUCCAUUCUGCUCCCUAUGUUGCAAUAUCGAAUCCUCUGUGUUGCGACAUAGUGACUAGUAUCAGUUUAGCACGCCUCCUAAUGGUCUCCUAUAUACUCACAAAGUUCAUUAGCUCACCCUUAGACCUCGUUCGACCCCUAAGGUCAAGAAAAGACUCAAUUUAUACAUUUUGUUGAAUUUAAUUAAACUUACUAAAACAUAAUUAAAAUCUAAUGAUAAUGCUUAUUUUCAAGCUCUUAAAGUGAAAAAAUUAGUUUAAUCUACUAACCCAAUUAUGACAGAUCAAUUAUAUUAUUAUUAUUUAUAUCACUUUUUACACGUAAUUUUAGCUUGUUUAAUAGUAAAUAAAAUUAUCUUAGUAUAUAUUUAUGUUUUCAUACUUGAAGUAAUGAUGUAUGCUUUUUAGUAGUUUUUAUUACAUUUUAGAUAUAUAAAUAUGGUUGCAUGGUCCUGUAGGACAAUCUGGGAGCAAAAGAUGCAUAUUCAUGAUGGAACUGUUGCCUAUGUCGCGACACCAACACAUCGAUGUUGUAACAUCAAAGGCAGAAGCAAAAACAAGUCAAUGAGCGAAACUGCUUGGUAUGUCGUGACAUAGCCUUACUAUCUUGGAGCGAAGACCUAAUAAAUUGUACAUAAAUUGAAACCUUGAACUCUUCCUUAUCCUUGGUCUUUUAAUACAUUACAAAAUAGACGUUAGGCUAUAGAUAUUGAGGGUUUAGGUAUAUACAUCAUGGUGGUUUCAAAAAAAUUUAGAGCGAAAAAAGAAGAAACAAUAUGAUACAAUGAUUAUAGGUCAAGCAAAAAUGUGCAAAAAAAGAAAAAUAUAGAAAAAGUAAAAAGUAAAAAUAAGAAGAAAAAGUACAAAAUAAAAGCAAAAGCCUUAUGAGUGAGAAAAAAAGUAAAAUGUCAAGUGGCAAAACAAAAAGUCACAAAAGUGAGAAAAACUCAGUCAUCAAUGCACAAAAACUCGUUGAGCCAACCAUAGUUAUUAGUAUUAUAUUGUAUCUUCCUACAUGGAGAGAUAAGGAAGGUGAGAGAGGGAGAAAAAAGAAGGUGAGCUUGAAAGGGGCACCUAGAGAGAGAGGGAAUAAUGUCAUGUGCCUAACUAUUUCUAGUGUUUGAACUAUUUUGAGCCAUAUCUUUCUUUGAACUCGUACAGUCCUAAGCCUCAGAACAUUACAAGCCUAGAAGACCAAUGUGACUUAAGCGUUCUCUGUGCAUAAUCUUCUAGUAUUGCUAAUGUAAUGACCUAAAUUCAAGGUUAGCGGAAUAGUGGUUUCGUAACCAUAAAUCCGAUUUAAAGAAAAAUUUAUUUUAAUAUUUUGCAUGAAUAUUGAUAUGAUAGGAAAACCGUAUGAAAAUAUUGAUAGAAAAAUUUUACCGAUUUAAUGGUUAGUUAGAAAAAGAAAUUAUUGAAGAAAUUGGGUAAAAAUAAGGUAUGGGGACCUUGAUCUCGUAAAACUGAGUCAGAAAUAUUUUUAUAAAUAUUUAUGAAAUGUAAGCAAUGUGGUAUUAAAAUUUUGUUAUAAAAUUUUAAUGUUUGGGUAGUCAAUUAAAUGAAAAGGACUAAAUUGAAAAAGGUGUAAAAGUGGCUGGGAUGAUUAAAUAGCUUAGGUGUCUAAUGAGAAAGGAUUUAAAAGGCAAUUAGACCAAAAUUUAUUUGGGCUGGACGGAAAGGGCAUGAAAUCAGCAAGAAAAUGGAUUAUUUAAGGGUAAAAUUGGAAUAUUGCAUCAUUAACUAAAUAAAAUUAGGACUAAUGUAGAAAUAUCUAGAUUUCUUGUGAUUUCUCUUCAUUCUCAUCAGCCAAAAGGCCAUAGGAGGGGUUCUUUAAGCUGGUAUUUCAUAAUUUUUGCACCAAGUGAGUUAAUCCUUGCCUUUUUCUUGUAAUUUUUGUGUUUCUAAGACUUUUACAACUAGGUUCUACUAUUAAAUUCAUUAGUUUUUGAUUUCAUGGAUGGAAUUGAAAGUCACCAUGGUUGAGUGCUGUAAGUUUAUGAUGAAAUAACAUGAAAUUGAAGCUUUAAUUUGUUUAUGAGAUGAUUUUAUUAGGUAAUUUUAAUAGAAAUUGAUUUUUAAGACCUAAUUGUGAAAAGUUGGAAUUAAAGUCUAGUGCUGAAAUUUUGAUUCCCAAAGGUUAUAAAGUAGUUUAAAGUGAUAGAAUAAAGUGUUAAUUGAGAAAAAUCAGCUCAAUUGAGAGGUUAAUUGAGCAGGGACGAAAUUAUCAUUUAUUAAAAGCUUAGGGGAAAAUGGUAAUAAACAUCUUGCACUAAAACAGCUUUGGACAGCAACAGUAGGCUAACUUUAAAAAAAUCACCAUAAAUUGUGGAAAUCUAAUUAGAGGAUAAAUAAAAUAUUGAAUUAAAGCUUAUUGAGUCUAGUUUCUUAUAGUAGAAACGGUGUAAGUAAUGGAAUUGUAAAUCAUGAGAUAUAUUAAAUUUUGUGAGACAAGGUCAGAAUGAAUUCGGAAUCCCCUGUUCUGAAUUUGGAAAAUCAUUAAAAAUUGGAGAAAAAUAAUUAAGGGUUAAAAUUUACAUAUUUAAACUAUUAAUGAGUCUAUUUUUAAUAGAAACAAACGGAAAUAUCAUCCAAAUUUUGUACUAAGAGAUAAUUAAUUUUUAGCAAAGAAAGGUCGAAGUUGUCAAACAACAGAACAGGGGUAAGUUUGAAGAUUUUACUGUACUCAUUGGCUGAACCAAAAAUUCUGAAAAUUUUAUGGUGAAAAUAUAUUUGAGUGUAGUUUCAGAAGCAUCAAAUGGUUUUUAAUAUGGAAUUCUGUAGCUUGAGAUAUAAAUAAUUUAGUGACUACGACUCAAGUAGACAGCUUUGAGUGAACAGUAAAUAAUAGUGGAAUUAUAGAGAAUGUUACAUAUGAACGUGAAAUGUAUUAAAUUGAUGAUUAAAUUUAUUUAUUUAGAUCCAGAAAAUUCAAAUAUGAAGCUAGAUCGAGGAAAGGAAAAAGUUCGGGAUUAGUAGAUUUUUGUAUACGAACAAGUAUCGAGGUAAGUUUGUGUAACCUGAAUUAUAUUCUUAAAUGCUUGAAAUGUAUAUUAUUGAUGUGAAUAUGAUUUAAAUGUUCAUUGUAUGAAAAUUGAUGAGACAUUGAUAUAUUUGAUAAAAAGGGGGAAAAAUCCCGGUUGAAUAAAAGGAAAAUUCGAUGGAUCUUUAAAAAGGAAUUGACGGUAAAGAAAAGAUCUAUCCCGGACAGGUGAUCCUACCCUGAUAUAGCCCUCUCGAAGAAUAUGUGUAAAAUAGAUUUAGCUCAGACGGGUAAUCUGAAUUAGGGUUUGAAUUUAGCCUGGACUAGUAAUUCAGAUCCAAGCUCAUUAGAGUAAAUUGUCGUUGUAGGGGAUUUAGCCUAGACUUGUAAUCACAACAAUACUCUAUAAGUUUAUAUUACAGGGGAUUUAGCCUGGACUGGUAAUCCUGCUGUAAGGAUGAGGUUCGCAGGAGUGUGCUCUCUGAAAUGGAAAUGUGCGCACAUGAAUAUGAAUUGACGGACCCGGAAUAGUACGCUAAAAGUGUACCUCUAAAAACCCAUCGAAAUUCCGAGAAAUUCAAUGGGAUAAAUAUGGUAAAUAAUAAGGGUAAUAGAAAACAUGGAAUUGAUGAGCUCAUCAGUCAUUAAUCUUUGUAUUGAACUCAUAUGAUGCUAUUUGAUUAAUGUUUUGGUUGAGUUUGUGUGAUAGGUAAAUGGUAAAUUGAAUGGAUGUAUGAAUAUUUAUUGUAUUGUAUUGGAAAUAUUAGGUAAGUAUAAUUCUUGUUACAUGACUUUACUAAGCACAACGUGCUUACCCUGUUUCCUUUUUCCCUGAUUUGUAGUAUUAAGAGCUCGAAGGUUGGAUUCGGUCGGAGAUACAUCACACUAUCAACUUCAACAUUUUGGUAUAUCAAGAAACUUUAUUUUGGAAUCACUGAUGUGUAUAAGUUGAUAGAGUAAAUGUUAAAGUGAAAUGAAUGUAAAGUUAGCCAUUGGUAUGGCUUGAAAUCCAGGUUUUGGUAUGUGAUGAGGUUAUCUUAUGGAUAUGCGUAAAUCUAUCUUGAAAAUAUGUUGAAUUUGAUUGGUUGAUUUGAUUUGAUAUCGGUGUAUGUUUUGGGCUUCGGAGGCCUAUCUAAGGGACGUCAUAAUAUGUUUCAAUAAAAGAAUAGUAUUUAACUCGUAAUAACGAAAAAAAAUAAUUUGAAAAACUCUGGCAAUGCCUCGUACCCUAUUCCAGUGACGAAUAUAGGUAAGGAGUGUUACAGCUAACAAUUGUACUUAAUGAAAAUUUUUUAUUCACAUGAUUGUAUCUACUCAAUAUCUAUUUGAUUUCUAUUAACGGUGAUAUUGUUAAACAUUUGGUUAUGAGAUUUGCUUCUAAUUUAUUAGUAAUGUAACUUUGUAAAGUAAUCUUAGUUUACUUUAAAAAGUUUUCAAUGCAUCGAACUAUCAAUAUUAAGUUGCAUGUGCGAUAAAAUUUUUUAUAGCUUUACUAUUUGACAACCAUGUUCGUAGUAGUAAUAAAUUCCAAGGGACGUCUUCUUUUUGCAUACUAUAUGUCUAAAGUUGGUUUGCUUGAGGACAAGCAAAAAGUUAAGUGUGGGGGAGUUACGUGUGAGAUUCUUAUUUACAUCCAUCUUCACUAACUUUAUCUUGUUUAAAUAAAGAAAUCAAGUCAUUUUCGUAUUAUUUUUUUUCCUUUUUCCCAUAUAUGUGUUUUGGUUGCUUGAGGACAAGCAACAAGUUAAGUGUGGGGGAGUGAUCUACCAGGAAUUAUACUAUUAUUUACAUCCCUUUGUAUACAUAAUUGUAUCUUGUUUAAUAGUAAAUCAAGUUAUCUUAGUAUAUAUCUAUGUUUUCAUACUUGAAGUAAUGACAUAUGUUUUUUAGUAGUUUUAUUACAUCCUAGAUAUCUAAAUAAGGUUAUAUGGUCAUGUGGGACAAAUCGGGAGCUAAACAUGCAUAAACGGGCCAAAAAUGAUGCCUAUGUCGUGACACCAAGACACCGAUGCCGCAACAUCAGAGACAAAAGCAAAACAAGUCUUGGGGUGAAACUGCUUGUUAUGUCAUAACAUAACAGGCACCAUAUUUGAUUUUGCAACACUACAUGCCUAUGUUGCAACACCACUUCUGCGCGGUCCAAAAGUCCUAGUGCGUGAUAGUUGCAUUUUUUAGGGAAAUUAGGAGAAUUUUUCCUAGUCAAACUCUAAGCACUUCAAAGAUAGUUUAGGCACUUUAAUAUUCUGAGUUUAGCCUAUAUAAAGGCCAUUGUAAUAAGUUCAAACACACAAUUUUAAGGAGACAAAAAUUAUUCUUAGGUUUUUAUUGCAUUCUUAGUUUCUACUUAGUUUAUUUUAUGUUCUUGUAAUCAAAAGAUCCUAUUCCAAAGUGAGACUUUUGCGAGCGGAGAUUGUUCGGAGCCAUACUUUCAUCGAUAAAUCUAUGAGCAUCUCUUUCCUUUAUUUUAUUCUUUAUAUUUCUUUCUUUAAAAUUGUUAAUUGAAUGUUUGUGUAAAGAUUAGAAUCAAUAUAAUUUAUAUAUAUUUCGCAUGUUUCAAUUGUACUAAUCUUAUUAAUUGAUUGAUUGAUAGAGUUUAUUUGGGUUGGUUAGAUUUGGUUGAGUGUUAUUAAACCCUAGGAUUGACAACCCUAAGAAGUCAUCUAGGUAGGAAUUAACUUGAAAUUGGUAUUGCCUACAAAGCAUCACUUAGCAAAUCAAUGGUUAGAGAAGGAAGAACUUAAACCCUAUGAUAGACGAUCCUAGGAAGUCAUAUAGGUGUGAAUUAACCCAAAUUCGGUAUUGCCUAUCCAUGAAAACCUUACCCUACCCCGAUCUGGACUGCAUCAUUGAGAGGUGAGUAGUUCUUGUCGUCUAGUUAGGUUAGUAGAAGUUGAGAAGCCCUGCUAGGUUAAUUAGUAACCAACUAUUUAGAUCCCUACAUCAAUAAUUAAUUAGGUAAAACAAUUGGAUCUAGGCUUAAGGAACUCCCGUAUUCGAAACAAGGGAUAGGAGAAGUUGAUACAUGAACUUAAGAGUAGAUUUAAGUUUAGAUCACUUUAUUUGGUUAUUAUUAUCAUCUUACUUUUAGAUUAACACUACUAAUUUAUACCUUUAGUAGAUUAGUAGUUAUUUUCGGUAAUUUGCUUAAUAGUAGUUUUUUUUUCACACUGCACAAUCUUCAGAAUACUUACCAAGUAUUUCAUUGUAAACAAACUAUAUUACAACCUGCCCCUUAUACUUGUGAACACAACCUUAAUUCCAUAUAUUUUGUAACAGUAUUCAUACUCUCAACGUUGGUAUGUCGGGAGGCAGUCAUUUAGCGAUUUCUAUUCAAAAGUGCAUGCAAGUAAGGAGACCGUGAUGGGCACAGUGAGGUGUCUAUUAGUUGAAAGCAAGUUGCCAAAGGAAUUUUGGGUUGAGGUAGUUAACACUUCAGUCUAUUUGGUGAACAGGCUGUCAACCAAGGAUGUGAAAGAAAAGACUCCAUUUGAAGCUUGGUACGGGUAUAAGCCUUUUGUUUCUCAUUUGAAAGUAUUUGGCUAUAUUUUUUUUUCAUGUACCUCAGGUGAAAAAAAGCAAAGUAGAAAGGAAAUCGUAGCCUGGGAUUUUUAAGAUGCUACUAUCUGAUUCUUAAGGAAAUACCAAUAUUUCUUCCUCCCUUGAGCUGGAAGUUGCGAUUUUGGGUUGUUAUGAGGAGAUAUUUUAUGUUUGGUUAAGUAGUAUGACUUUGUAUGCGAGUUCUGAAAGAGUAAGUUUGUUAGAUUUGGUAAAACAAAAAGAUAAAGAUAUGAGGCUUUGUUUGGGGACUUCUAAUGUUAGAAAUGUUAGUAAAAAGGUAUAUGAAUAAAUUUUGAUGUGCUUCUAUGUUCUGUAUCAGUGCUUGCUGUUGAUUUCGUAAUGAGAGUCUAGAUCUAGAGUUUUUCUUUGCGACAAGUUAGAAUCAGGUGAGUCUCUAAACUGACUCUUGUAUGUAUUAUUCAUACUAAAAAAACUGUAGGAAAUUUCUUGGAAGGUGAUGUGUGAUCUUGUAAGUUGCAGUAUGUUGUGUAUGUGACUUAGGAGUGACUAUUAAAGGAUAUAUAUGAGUGUGUGAAUGUUUGUUAAGAAUGGAAUACAUAUCUGGUAUGAAUAUGAUAGUUCUAGUAAGGCGAGGUGAGGUAUAGUUGCAUCUGAAUGUCAUGAAAGUAUAUGUGCAUGUCUUGGAUGUAUGCUAUGAGGAAUGUUCUAUUAAGAGCAAGUUGUUAUUCAAAUGGUGAAUAUGGAUCGUGUCAGUGCAUGUAGAGUAUCUGUCUGUCUUCACGGUAUUGUCUAAAGGAGUCUGUUGAGACUUUAAACACGAAUUCUGAAAAGAAAAUUCCAUGGCCAUGGCACAUUCCGAAAGGAACUAAAGGACGAGGAUUACCCAAUGGGGUUAUCUGCCUAUCCCAGGAUGAUGAUAGGCAAACCUCACGCAACGUGAGUUUAGGAAAAUCUAUAUCAUAAAUACGUCAGGAAAUGAAGCCUUUGUGGAUAACUCUAAAAAGAAAGCCUUUGUGGCUAACUCUAAAAAGGAAGCUUUCAUGGCGAACUCCAAAGGAAUAACCUCUAUGGCCAAUUGUAAUAGGAUAGCCUUUGUGGCGCAAUGUAAAAGGAACACCUGUGUGGCGAAUUAUGAAAAGAAUAGCCUUUGUGAUGGAUUAUGAAAGAGCAUCAUUCGUAGCAAACUUCAAAUGUGAUGUCCUUGUGGCGUGUCUUAAUAAGGCUCUUAGUGGGAAAACUUUAAAAGAUGUCACUUAUGGCAAUUUUUGAAUUAAGCUAAUUUUCGUAUUCAAUCUGGCUUUUAAAUGUAUUCAGAACACAAUCAACAAGGCAUAAGUUAUCUAUUAAUUAUACGGUGAAGUAUCACAUAGGACUAUCAAUCGAUUGGAAGUAUUGAAUUGAAGAGAUAUAUAGAAAUAAGGAAUUAGUAUGGAAAGUUUAUUUCAAAAUAAGGAUUUGGAAUUGUACAUUUGAAGAAGGUAUUUGUCAUCUACUCACAUGAUGGCUUAGAACUAAGUAUGGUACAGUAAUAGUGUGUUAGUUAAGUUGAUCUUGGAAAGGAAAUGCAAAGAUACUUAUAAAUGCUAGGAUGAAAGGCAUACGUGAUGUAUCGAAUACCCCAAUGGAAAAAGAGUUAAUUUUUGAGUAAGGCAUGAUAUAUAUAGUGUAUGAAGAAUGGAAUUUGAGGGAAGCAAUCGCCAAAGACAGGUUACUGGGCAAGAACAAUAAGAUCAUCUCAUUGAAUCAUCAACUGUAUUGUGCAAAUAUCACAUAGGUAAUUAUAUAUUCCUCACUUAGUUUGUAUAAACUUAUCCAUGUGUAUGUUAUAUUAUAGGUUUGAUUGCAAGGCUACACCAAGAGGGACGAUACCAGGACUACUCUAAAGGAGUGGCGUAUCGGGAAAUUAUGAAUGCAAUUAGUUGAUAUGUUCCUUAGAAUUCAUAUUUUUUUUGUAAUAUAUAGGUUUUAAAUUAGAAAUAUUUAUACCUUAAUUACCAUGUGUUGCAAAUGUAGUUAUCUACUGAACAUACUUAUAUAUUUAGUUUGAAAUCUGCAAUUGAAUAAGUUGUAAUUGUUUGAAAUUUGUAUAAGUAGGUUAAGUUUUUGUUUGUUUAUGUUGGUAAUGCCCAAGAUCUAGAUCCAAAAAAACGGACCAAGCUCAACAAAGGACUUCUCCUCGGCCAUGACUACAAUAAGCUCAGUGAUGCAUUGUCGGUGCAAAUAAUGUUCUUCCCAAAACUUCAAUCCAUCUUCAAACUAGUAGAAUGCUUCUUUUUCACUUAUAUCAGAUAUUUAAAGCAUUUAUUCACUAAAGUACUAAAUAGUGCCUUCUUGAGUAAGCCAGUGCAACUUAGCCCGAGCUUCCUUCUCGGCAUAUUAUUGGUAAAACUGUUUUUUCAUCUCCUUUUGGAACUCCUCCUAAAUUUUAAUUUUAGUCCUACCAUGUUUCUCAUCCGUGAACCUACGAUGCCACCAUAAGAGAGUAACAUCAGUAAAAUAAAUUAAAGCAGUGUUUACCUUAGUGACAUCUAUAAUGACCCAAAAUUCACGGGCAUCGAAAAAGUAUAAUAUCGAGCCUCCGUCUUGAGUUUAAAAAUAAUUAUUAGAAAUAUUUACGAGACUAGUUGUGUGUUUAAUUAGGUUUUAGAUAGGUGAAUUUGGCUCAAUUAAGAGUAAUUAGCAAAAGGGAUUAAAUUACAAUAGAAGUGAAAAUCUAAUCAUAGAUUAAAAGAAAGUAAAAAGGGCUAAAAUGGCAAUUAAGCCAUUUAAAAUGAUUGAGGCGGCAUAAAGGAAUAAAUUUUAAGAUUUUAUUUAUUUAAUUAUAUGAUUAAUGAUAUUUAUUGUUUAUUAUUAGUUAUUAGUUAUUAUUAAAUUAAAAGAUAUUUAGUAAUUAAAUAAUUAGUAUAAGAUUUUUGGGUAAUAAUAAAUUAUGAUUUUGCCAAGUGUGUGGUAAAAAUAAAAUACAAGUGUAUUAUAUUUCUUUAUUUACUUGAAAAUUAAGUAAAAGAUAAUUGUUAAUUAAAUAAUAAUAUUAUGAGAUUUUUAUUUGAUAAAUUAGUUAGAUUGAGACAAGUGUAUGUAAUGAUUUAAUGCAAGUGUACUAAUAAAAUACAUACAUUUGUAAUAUUUAUAAUUAGUUAAUAUAAUAUAAAGUAAAUGAAAUAAAAUGAAAUAAAAACAAAGCAAAAGAAAGGAAAGAAACAGAAUAGAAGAGACGAAACAGGGGAGAAACAGGGGAGAAAGAAGAAAAAGAAGAAAAUAGGGAAAAUAGGGUUUUUGAAGCUUGAAAUUUAAUUUGGUAAGUCAAAUUAGCCCUUUUCUCUUAAUUCUAAUGUUUUAAAAGCUUUAAAACAAAGUUUUGAUGGAAUUAAGUUGAUAUUUUGUAAGUUCAUAGGUUUUCAAGUAACGUUUAUGUUGAACAAAAGAGAUGAAUUAAGAAUUAAAUUGAAUGAAUUUUAAGUUAGAAUUGAAAAAGGGAUUAAAUUGUAAAAGAAACUAUAAGUUUUAUGUUUUAGGGACUAAAUUGAGGGAAAUUCGAAAUUAGCAAAAAUGCUGAAAUUUCGAUAGUUAAAUUUUAGUUUGGAUGAAAUUUGAAUAGAAAUAGAGUGUGAAUUGAAUUAGGAAAGCAAGUGAAUUUAGUUAGGAUUAAAUUGAGAAUUAGGAAGAAAUUGAAUAGAAAUUCAAUUAUUUAUUAUAAUUAGUGCUGUAAUUAAUAUUACAAAUUAUUAUUAUUUUCGUAGCUAACAAAGAACCCGAGGCAUCGGCGUCAAAAGGAAAGGAGAAAGUUAUCGAGGACUAAAACGGGAGAUUUACGGUUUGUAUUACUAUAAUUCAAAUUAUUUAUUUUUAAAUGUUUAAUUUUAAUUUAUGUGUUUAGUAAAUGAAAUGUGCGGUAAGUAUUAUUAUUAUUAUUAUUAUUAGUGGGAAUUAAACUGAAUAUUUGAUAUGAAUUAAUAUUUGAAUUGUUUGUUGAUUGAAAGUGGGAAGUGAAUUUAAAUCGAAUAGUGACUGAUAUUAAAUUGAAUGGAAAUGUAUUGAGUUGUGAAAAUGUGUGAAUUGCGGAUUAAUUAUUGAUUGAAAGGUGGAAAAAUGAUUGAAUUGAAAAUGUGAGAAAUUGUGAUUGAAUUGGGAUUAUAUGUGAUUUAAAUACCCUAUUAACUAGUCGGGCUGAGUCGGAUAUAGUUGGCAUGCCAUAGGAUUGGAAGAGUUCAGGGAUACUUCGACCUCGAGUCGAUGAGACACUGGGUGUCACUAUAUUUUUUCGGAUAGAUUCGAUGAGGUACUGGGUACCAACUUUCUUCGGCUUUGCCGAUGAGACACUGGGUGUCAACUAUUGCUUCGAACUAUCCGAUGAGGCACUGGGUGUCAUACUGGUGUGUUUGGUUGGAUCCGUGUAUCCGCCAAAGUCCGAGUUUUGUUAAUAGGGUAAUUAAUGAAAUGAUAAACCGAACGAGCUACUGAAAUGAAAUGAAAAAGUUGAAUUGUGAAUUGAAAUGUGAAAUGAGAUUGAGAAAUGAACCUAAAGUUCAUGAGAUGUUCAAAUUCAAAUUGUGGAUAUGUGAUAUUGAUUGAUGGAUUGCUAUUGUUGAGAUAUUGAAUUUAAAUUGUAUAUACGAUUUAUGCAUUACAUGUACAUUAUUGUUAUAAUUUGAAUUAUGGUAAUACCACUGAGUAUGAAUUACUCAGCGUACGGUUGUUUCCAUGCGCAGGUCGAUAGAAGUCAAAGGUCUCGGUUCAGCAUCCAGAUUAAUCCCGGCUUCAGCAUAACUUUGGUGAUGUAUAUUUUCUUUUGGUAAUGUGGCAUGUACAUAGGAAUUAUAAGUUUUAUAUAAAUGGUUAAAAAUGUUAGUAUUAUAAGUUUAUGAAUUAUAAUGAAAGAAGUUUAUCUAUUUUAAUCUAAUUAGUCAAUGGAUAAAUUUAAAUUGAUAUUAUGUUAAUUGAGUUUGAUUAGAAGUAUUUAGAAUAGAAAAUGUGAAUGUGAAAUGAAUUGGUUGAUUUGGUUAUAUUUGAAAAUGUUAUGGAUUUUAAUUGCAGGGGGUUGUAUGUAAAAAUAAGCAGAAGUGCUGCCGAAAUUUUUCAAAAAAAAAAUGAAUGAAGUUUAUUAGCGAAAUUUAUAUGAAUUUAUGACUCUCUUUUAUAUGUUCGUUAAUUGUUUAUGAAUUAUUUGAAAUUUGUCUGAAAUGUCCGGUAAUGCCUCAUAACCCUGUUCUGGCAACGGUUCAGGGUUAGGGGGUGUUACAGUUGUUGGUAUCAGAGCUAUCAGGUUUAGCCGAUUCUCGGCCUAAAUCGAGCUCGGAAUUGAGUCUAGAUGUACAUGCCACUGUCGAGUCAAACUGAGUCGAGAUUUUUGGAUGCUGACCUAUUUGUUUGCUUUGUUUUAUAGAUUAAAGAUGUCUGAAGAAAGAAUAAAUGAUACUGAUGAAAGAAUGUAUACUGAAGAUAGAGAAUUAGAUGAAACAGAAUCUGCUGCACCGAGUGUGAAUCUGUUAGGCAACCAGCCUCCUAAUGUGGAACGGGAAAAUGCCAGAGAUAGAGAUGAAUCCCAAUUACUGAGAAUUAUAGCUGAUGCAUUACAAAGAGUAGCGAGAACUACUCCUGCUACGACUUCAGUACCUACUGUUAGACGGGCCCCGAUAAAAGAACUGAGAAAAUAUGGUGCCACUGAAUUUAUGGGUCUAAAAGGAGUCGAUCCAUCCGCAGCUGAAAAUUGGAUGGAGUCGAUUAAAAGAAUUUUGCAGCAAUUAGACUGUACCCCCCGUGAGUGUUUAAUCUGUGAUGUAUCGUUGCUACAAGGGGAGGCUUAUCUAUGGUGGGAAUCAGUAGUUCGACAUCUAUCAGAGAGUCAGAUAACGUGGGAUCUAUUUCAGAAGGAAUUCCAAAAGAAAUAUAUCGGAGAGAUAUAUAUCGAAGACAAGAAACAAGAGUUUUUAAUGUUACAACAGGGGGAUAUGUCAGUAAUAGAUUAUGAGAGAGAAUUCUCGAGACUCAGCAGAUAUGCCUCCAAAUUUAUCCUGACAGAAGCUGAUAGUUGUAAAAGAUUUCUAUGGGCUUUGCGAGACGAGAUCAAGGUACAGUUAGUAUCUCAUCGGAUCACUGAGUUAGUAGAUUUGAUUGAGCGGGCUAAAAUGGUGGAACAAGUUCUAGCCCUUGAUAAAAAGACUGAAGUUGUUAGACCAACCAGGAAAUGUACAGGAACUACGAGUUCGAACCUUCAGCCGAAAAGACCAAAGGAGUCUCAAGGUGGUUGAAGAUCCAGUUUCAGAUCAGGCAAAGGUGGUAGAAGCAGGGGAAGAUAGAUGACGGUAUCUACUGGCAAUGUGAGAGGUCCUUGUCGAGAAAUAGAAAUUCCAGACUGUCAACACUGUGGAAAGAAACAUAGAGGGGAAUGUUGGAGAUUAACUAGAGGUUGUUUCCGAUGUGGUUCUACAGACCAUUUUAUCAGAAAUUGUUUGAAAACUGAUAGUACUGUACCCGUGACAUCACAGAGAUCGGUAUCUACUGCUAGAGGCAGAGGGUUAGGAAGAGGUGGUUCGGUUUCAAGGGGAGGAAGUAUUAGGAGGAGUAGUGAUAUUGCUACCCAGCAGUCUGAAGCUAAAGUACCUGCCAGAGCUUAUGUGGUCAGAACACGGGAAGAAGGCGACGCCCACGGUGUAGUAACAGUAAGAUCAGAACUGUAUGUGAGUUUCCAGAUGUAUUCCCUGAAGAACUACCGGGUUUACCACCUGACAAAGAGGUUGAAUUUGCUAUAGAAGUGUAUCCGGGUACAACACCAAUCUCUAUACCACCGUAUCGAAUGUCGCCCACUGAGUUAAAAGAGUUGAAAGUGCAAUUACAGGACUUGCUAGAUCGUGGAUUUAUUAGACCGAGCAUUUCACCUUGGGGAGCUCCGGUAUUGUUUGUUAAAAAGAAAGAUGGAUCGAUUCGGCUUUGUAUUGAUUACCGGCAGUUAAACAAAGUGACGAUCAAGAACCGGUAUUCGUUACCCCGUAUAGAUGAUUUAUUUGAUCAACUAAAAGGAGCUUCAGUAUUUUCGAAGAUUGACUUGAGAUCUGGGUAUUAUCAGCUGAAAGUAAAAGAAAGUGAUGUUUCGAAGACUGCAUUUCAUACUCGAUAUGGUCAUUAUGAAUUUUUGGUAAUGCCGUUCGGGUUGACUAAUGCUCCAGCUGCUUUUAUGGAUUUGAUGAAUCGUAUUUUUCAGCCAUAUUUAGACCAGUUUGUGGUGGUUUUUAUUGAUGAUAUAUUGGUUUAUUCAAAUUCGGAGUCAGAGCAUGAUCAGCAUCUCAAAACCGUGUUACAGAUUCUGCGGGAAAAAUAGUUGUACGAGAAACUGAGUAAAUGUGAAUUCUGGUUAUCAGAGGUAGUAUUCUUGGGACAUGUUGUAUCUGCGGAUGGGAUUAGAGUUGAUCUGAAGAAGAUUGAGGCAAUUGUUCAAUGGAAGGCACCAAAGAAUGUAUCAGAGGUACGCAGUUUUCUUGGUUUGGCUGGGUAUUACAGAAAAUUUGUAAAUGGGUUUUCGAAGAUAGCUUUGUCGAUGACCAAGUUACUACAGAAGAAUGUUCCAUUUAUCUGAGAUGAUCAAUGCCAGAGAAGUUUUGAAACAUUGAAACAAAUGUUGACAGAGGCACCAGUCCUAACUUUACCAGAAUUAGGGAAAGAUUUCAUAGUGUACAGUGAUGCUUCUUUGAAUGGUUUGGGUUGUGUAUUGAUGCAGAAUGGAAAAAUAAUAGCUUAUGCAUCUCGACAGUUGAAACCACAUGAACGUAACUACCCGACACACGAUUUGGAGUUAGCUGCUGUAGUAUUUGCAUUGAAGAUUUGGAUACAUUACUUGUAUGGUGAGAAAUGUUAUAUUUACACUGAUCAUAAAAGUCUCAAAUAUCUUCUGUCACAAAAGGAGUUGAAUCUGAGACAGAGACGAUGGAUAGAACUUCUGAAAGAUUAUGAUUGUGUUAUAGAUUAUCAUCUAGGAAAGGCAAAUGUGGUAGCAGAUGCAUUGAGCAGAAAGGCAGCGGCUGAAUUACGGACAAUGUUUGCUCGGCUUAGUAUUAAUGAUGAUGGAAGUUUGUUAGCUGAGUUAAGAGUUAAGCCGGUAAUGUUUGAUCGAAUCAGAGCAGCACAACUAGAAGAUGAGAAGUUGAUGAAGAAAAGAGAAAUGGUACAGCAUGGUACGGUAGAAAAUUUUAGUAUUGACGAGCAUGAUUGUUUGAGAUUUCGGAAUCGAAUUUGUAUUCCAGCUACUUCUGAGAUUAAAGAGCUGAUUCUUCGAGAAGCACAUGAUAGUAUUUUUGCUUUGCACCCAGGUGGAACGAAGAUGUAUCGCGAUCUACGAGAACUGUAUUGGUGGCCAAGAAUGAAGAACGAUAUAGUUGAGUAUGUCAGUAAAUGCUUGACUUGUCAGCGGGUAAAAGCAGAACAUCAGGAACCAACAGGUCUGUUACAGCCUAUUACUAUUCCCGAGUGGAAAUGGGAUCGCAUUACCAUGGAUUUUGUUAUGGGGUUGCCAUUGUCAGUGAGUAAAAAGAAUACCAUUUGGGUGAUUGUUGAUCGACUCACAAAGUCAACUCAUUUUAUAGUAGUUAGAACCGACUGGUCAUUACAGAAGCUUGCCGAGGUUUAUAUUCGAGAAAUUGUUAGAUUACAUGGUAUUCCGGUAUCAAUAAUUUCAGACAGAAAUCCUCAAUUCACUUCGAGAUUUUGGAAGCAGCUGCAUGAAUCAUUGGGUACUCGACUUAGUUUCAGUACAGCUUUUCAUCCUCAAACUGAUGGACAAUCUGAACGGGUAAUUCAGAUAUUAGAAGAUAUGCUUCGAGCUUGUGUCAUUGAUUUUGAAUCAGGUUGGGAACGUUAUUUACCAUUGGCCGAGUUUGUUUAUAAUAAUAGUUUCCAAUCUAGUAUUCAAAUGGCUCCGUAUGAAGCACUUUAUGGUCGAAGGUGUCGGUCACCAGUAUGUUGGACAGAAUUAAAAGAAAGAAAAGUGAUUGGGCUGGAAUUAAUUCAAGAGACAGAAGAAACAGUUAAGAAGAUUAAAGAUAGACUGAAAGCCGCUUUUGACAGACAGAAAUCUUACGCAGACUUGAAACGACGAGACAUUGAAUAUUCCAUUAGUGAUAAGGUAUUCCUCAAAGUAUCGCCGUGGAAGAAAAUUUUGAGAUUUGGUCGGAAGGGAAAAUUAAGUCCGCGCUUUAUUGGGCCGUAUGAGAUUGUGGAAAGAAUUGGGCCUGUUGCUUAUCGAUUAGCCUUACCUCCAAAGUUACAGAAAAUUCAUGAUGUUUUUCAUGUUUUGAUGCUUCGGAGAUUUAGAUCGGAUUCUUCUCAUAUCAUUCCCACUGAAGACAUUGAAAUUCGAUCUGAUUUAACUUAUGAAGAAGAACCAAUUCAGAUAUUAGCACGAGAAGUGAAAGAAUUAAGAAAUAAACGGGUUCCUUUAGUAAAAAUUUUAUGGAGAAGUCAUAGUGUGGAAGAAGCGACUUGGGAACCGGAAGAGACAAUGAGAGCACAAUAUCCUCAUCUCUUCUCAGGUAAAUUUCGAGGACGAAAUUUAUUAAGGGGGAGAAAUGUAAUGACCCAAAAUUCACGGGCAUCGGAAAAGUAUAAUAUCGGGCCUCCGUCUUGAGUUUAAAAAUAAUUAUUAGAAAUAUUUAUGAGACUAGUUGUGUGUUUAAUUAGGUUUUAGAUAGGUGAAUUUGGCUCAAUUAAGAGUAAUUAGCAAAAGGGAUUAAAUUACAAUAGAAGUGAAAAUCUAAUCAUAGAUUAAAAGAAAGUAAAAAGGGCUAAAAUGGCAAUUAAGCCAUUUAAAAUGAUUGAGGCGGCAUAAAGGAAUAAAAUUUAAGAUUUUAUUUAUUUAAUUAUAUAAUUAAUGAUAUUUAUUAUUUAUUAUUAGUUAUUAGUUAUUAUUAAAUUAAAAGAUAUUUAGUAAUUAAAUAAUUAGUAUAAGAUUUUUGGGUAAUAAUAAAUUAUGAUUUUGUCAAGUGUGUGGUAAAAAUAAAAUACAAGUGUAUUAUAUUUAUUUAUUUACUUGAAAAUUAAGUAAAAGAUAAUUGUUAAUUAAAUAAUAAUAUUAUGAGAUUUUUAUUUGAUAAAUUAGUUAGAUUGAGACAAGUGUAUGUAAUGAUUUAAUGCAAGUGUACUAAUAAAAUACAUACAUUUGUAAUAUUUAUAAUUAAUUAAUAUAAUAUAAAGUAAAUGAAAUAAAAUGAAAUAAAAACAAAGCAAAAGAAAGGAAAGAAACAGAAUAGAAGAGACGAAACAGGGGAGAAACAGGGGAGAAAGAAGAAAAAGAAGAAAAUAGGGAAAAUAGGGUUUUUGAAGCUUGAAAUUUAAUUUGGUAAGUCAAAUUAGCCCUUUUCUCUUAAUUCUAAUGUUUUAAAAGCUUUAAAACAAAGUUUUGAUGGAAUUAAGUUGAUAUUUUGUAAGUUCAUAGGUUUUCAAGUAAUGUUUAUGUUGAACAAAAGAGAUGAAUUAAGAAUUAAAUUGAAUGAAUUUUAAGUUAGAAUUGAAAAAGGGAUUAAAUUGUAAAAGAAACUAUAAGUUUUAUGUUUUAGGGACUAAAUUGAGGGAAAUUCGAAAUUAGCAAAAUAUGCUGAAAUUUCGAUAGUUAAAUUUUAGUUUGGAUGAAAUUUGAAUAGAAAUAGAGUGUGAAUUGAAUUAGGAAAGCAAGUGAAUUUAGUUAGGAUUAAAUUGAGAAUUAGGAAGAAAUUGAAUAGAAAUUCAAUUAUUUAUUAUAAUUAGUGCUGUAAUUAAUAUUACAAAUUAUUAUUAUUUUCGUAGCUAACAAAGAACCCGAGGCAUCGGCGUCAAAAGGAAAGGAGAAAGUUAUCGAGGACUAAAACGGGAGAUUUACGGUUUGUAUUACUAUAAUUCAAAUUAUUUAUUUUUAAAUGUUUAAUUUUAAUUUAUGUGUUUAGUAAAUGAAAUGUGCGGUAAGUAUUAUUAUUAUUAUUAUUAUUAGUGGGAAUUAAACUGAAUAUUUGAUAUGAAUUAAUAUUUGAAUUGUUUGUUGAUUGAAAGUGGGAAGUGAAUUUAAAUCGAAUAGUGACUGAUAUUAAAUUGAAUGGAAAUGUAUUGAGUUGUGAAAAUGUGUGAAUUGCGGAUUAAUUAUUGAUUGAAAGGUGGAAAAAUGAUUGAAUUGAAAAUGUGAGAAAUUGUGAUUGAAUUGGGAUUAUAUGUGAUUUAAAUACCCUAUUAACUAGUCGGGCUGAGUCGGAUAUAGUUGGCAUGCCAUAGGAUUGGAAGAGUUCAGGGAUACUUCGACCUCGAGUCGAUGAGACACUGGGUGUCACUAUAUUUUUUCGGAUAGAUUCGAUGAGGUACUGGGUACCAACUUUCUUCAGCUUUGCCGAUGAGACACUGGGUGUCAACUAUUGCUUCGAACUAUCCGAUGAGGCACUGGGUGUCAUACUGGUGUGUUUGGUUGGAUCCGUGUAUCCGCCAAAGUCUGAUUUUUGUUAAUAGGGUAAUUAAUGAAAUGAUAAACCGAACGAGCUACUGAAAUGAAAUGAAAAAGUUGAAUUGUGAAUUGAAAUGUGAAAUGAGAUUGAGAAAUGAACCUAAAGUUCAUGAGAUGUUCAAAUUCAAAUUGUGGAUAUGUGAUAUUGAUUGAUGGAUUGCUAUUGUUGAGAUAUUGAAUUUAAAUUGUAUAUACGAUUUAUGCAUUACAUGUACAUUAUUGUUAUAAUUUGAAUUAUGGUAAUACCACUGAGUAUGAAUUACUUAGCGUACGGUUGUUUCCGUGCGCAGGUCGAUAGAAGUCAAAGGUCUCGGUUCAGCAUCCAGAUUAAUCCCGGCUUCAGCAUAACUUUGGUGAUGUAUAUUUUCUUUUGGUAAUGUGGCAUGUACAUAGGAAUUAUAAGUUUUAUAUAAAUGGUUAAAAAUGUUAGUAUUAUAAGUUUAUGAAUUAUAAUGAAAGAAGUUUAUCUAUUUUAAUCUAAUUAGUCAAUGGAUAAAUUUAAAUUGAUAUUAUGUUAAUUGAGUUUGAUUAGAAGUAUUUAGAAUAGAAAAUGUGAAUGUGAAAUGAAUUGGUUGAUUUGGUUAUAUUUGAAAAUGUUAUGGAUUUUAAUUGUAGGGGGUUGUAUGUAAAAAUAAGCAGAAGUGCUGCCGAAAUUUUUCGAAAAAAAAUGAAUGAAGUCUAUUAGCGAAAUUUAUAUGAAUUUAUUACUCUCUUAUAUAUGUUCGUUAAUUGUUUAUGAAUUAUUUGGAAUUUGUCUGAAAUGUCCGGUAAUGCCUCGUAACCCUAUUCUGGCAACAGUUCGGGGUUAGGGGGUGUUACAACAUCAUCCUAAUACCCAACGACUGAUAGUGUUGUUCCAUUUCCCACAAGAAGUUGUCCACUUCUCUAGUGGACCUUCCCCCUCAAACUUCUCUGGUUUGGGAACAUCCAUCUUCCGUUGAUUUGGUCUCGAAGCCAACAUCUUAUUGCUCAAAUUAGCCUUAUAGAUUGUGAGCUCCCCCUUAAGCUCCUCAAUUUUUUCUUUCAAGGUCAUCAUUGUGGCCUCAAGAGCAUCAUCCGUCACGGUCAACUUAUCCACAAUGGAACUAAGCAUCCAUUGCAUCACUUCCACAUUAGAACCGAGAGACUCCAAGAUAAAUUCCUUGAAUUUCUCCUUCAUCGAGUUUAACUCAUUGGUGCGUCGCUCAACUACCUUGAGUGUCUCCCCCAUAUCUCCAAUAGGCUCCUCAAGAUUGGUCACUUGAAUUGCCAAAGCCGACAGCAUUUCCCUCGAUCAAUUAGCUUUGCUAGAGCUCCCGUGGGUCUCCAUAGGCUUAAUUUGAUCUUCUACUCCUUUUGUCAUCUCAAGUGGCACUUUCAAAACCUUAGCUCUAAUACCAACUAUCACAGGGGUAGAACUUUAGUCUCACAAUCCGUGCGACCUUAGGCAAAUUCUUAGGUUCAAAUCCGCCUAAGUUAGUCUAACUCUUGCAAAGUGAAAAAUCUUGAUAGAAAUUCUCUAAGGUGCAAAAAAUAAAGUGAAAGUAAAUCAAAACAAAAGAACAAAAAAUGCCACAAGAAAGCAAAGUACAUCAAGUGUUUGAGUAAAUGUUCUCAAAGUAUUCUAUUACUCUGGAAAUAAUACAAAAAAUAGGAUAGGAUACAAUGGAAUAUUACAAAUGAGGGAGAAUGCCUCUAUUUAUACUUGAGCUCCCCAAGCCAACGAUAUAGAUUGAGUUACAUUAAUGAUUGAGAUUAAAUCCUAUCUACAAUUGAGAUUCUUAAAGGAUUGACUUAAUCUUUUAAGAUUAUAAAAUCAAGUCUUAUCAUGUUACAUAUCUUCUAAGAUUGGUUUCCUUAUUUGCCAAUAUAGCCCUAAUUUUCCAUAAAUGCUUCACUGGACUAUCAAUGCUUCAAGUAGACAGGCUUCUCCAUAUGCUCCACAAAUCGGGCCAGUUCAAAUGCGUCGAAUGAGCCAUGUUUCAUCAUUUGACCUCCAUGGGACAAUCCUUGGCAUUCAUCACGGGCUCUGAUCCGUGACCCAUGACAUAAGCACAUAAAUGUUUAGUAAGUUUAAUUGACAAGUAUUAUACUUAUCUUGCUAGGUGGACCUACAAAUUCAUUGCUCAACAAGCUUCAUAUUCUCGUAUUAGUUACUUAGCAUAAGAUAAGGAAAAUGUGUAGGUAACCAUGUUCAUUAAGUCUAUACAAGCAAAUUAUAACAUGUCCAAUAAGUGUUCAUUAUAUUCUAUUGAUCACAUGUGCACCUAUUUCCACUUUAUUACUACCUUUCAAUUCCAAUUUACGAGUUAAGAUAAUCAAGUUCAUACCUUUUUCAACCUUAAUUCUUUUCUUUAACCAUUUCUUGUCCAAUUUCAAUUUUGUAGCCCAUGUAAUCUUAGUAAAAUAGGACUCGGCUACUAUGAGAAAACCAAAAAUGCUAAGCCCAAAGGCCAUCACAUAUCAUAUCAUGUAGGCCUCCGAAGAGGUAUUGAAAGUCUAAUGGUCUAUAACAAAUGUUCUACCAAGGGUAAGCUAGAACUGGGUUUUCAGAAAACAAACCACAUACCUCUGAACCUCACACCACAACAAAUGUACUUAAGUGUAAGGCACAAAGGCAACAUAUAACAAAUAGGUUCAAAGGCGACAUACACAUAUAACUCUAAUUGACAUGUCAAUCGUAUCCUAACCUUUCUACCAAGUUUACAUAAGCUAUCAUUAACAUACUAAAGAAUUCACAUUUAAGUACCAUUAAGGCAAUUUUUCAUAUGUAUCGUCAUAUUUCCAUAAUGCCACACUUUAAUCACAAGAGUUAAGAUCUUCAAUUGAGGUUUUCAUACCACAUGAAUUUACGUGUUUGUUUAUUCACGUUAACAUGGUUACGUAUAUCAUAAUCAUACUAAAUCUUAACUUGACAUAGUCAAUUACCAUAUUUAACACGUUCUUUCAUAUUUAAUUCUUUGCAUAACAUAGUUCAGUAUAUAAACAUAUUAACUAGUAUAUUCCAUUAAGGUUCUGUUAAUAUACUCAUUAAUUAAUCGUCCAUUCAUGAUCUUAACAUGUUAUAUUCAUUAUGCAUCAAAUUAAAUGUUGUUGAGCUAUUUAACACCUAUAAACAUUGUACUAAAGACACAUAAUAAGCAAAUAUUGUAAGUUCAAGUGAACUUACCUAUUAAGAUCAUUUAAUGAUCAUCAAUUUAAAUUUUCAUUUCCUUAACUUAAGAUUCUACUCAAAAUACACACAACACAUACAAGCAUUGAAUUAAUAAUUUGAAUCUCCUUUGGUUAGUCUUACAAGCAUUGGAUUAAUUGAAUUCAACACUUGAUAGCCAUAUAGUGGCCAUUUUACUUGUUGAAAAUUCAAGAAUGCUUAACCUUUGAGCCUUAGACUUUUAUAUCCAAAAUUGAUAUAACUCGUAAUUUUCCUAUUCAAUUUUUGUUCCAACUUUAAAGUUAUAAUUUCAAGACCUCAAAUGAUCCAAAAACAUGUUUAAACUCCAAAGUUCUCAUAAUUAUCUCUAAGGCUUCUUAAGUACUCAACAAUGGUGGUAUGAACAUCCUUUAACCAAUUUUUAAUCCACCUUCUUUUCUAACUUACACUCUUCUAAGUUCAUCCCAACAUAAGCAUUGAACUAUCAUGAUCAAGCUUCAUCUCUUUCAGUUCCAAGCAUUCAUCUAUGAUUAUCUAAGGAUUUUUCUCAUCAAUUUUAACAUCGAAAAUGAAUGGGCUCAUGCUUAUCUAUUAUUUUAUGCUAUCAAUUAAACCAAAAUUCAAAGGAAACUUAUCAAUUUCUUGAAGAGCAACUCACGGCACCAUGAAACCUCCAUGAAAAUUUUCUUUUUCUUCUUUGUUCUUAAACCAUGGAGAAUGGAUGAGGAUGACCACAUAAUAAGCUUAUUCUCCCACCCACUAAGUAUAUAUAUACCUAAUUAAUCAAUUUAUUAACCUUUAAUAAUAAUCAUCCAAUGUUGGGAUUUAAGCAUGGCAAAUUGAGCGGAAAUGUAUGGCUUUUACCAUGCUUCUCCACUAAGUAAAUAAAUGAUGGUUUAUUUGUCAUUUUAAGGCAUUUGAUUAAUUUUUCAUCCAAUCCUCCAAACCUUGCUAGUGCAUAUUUAGAUCUUAUGCAUCAAUUACUAAUUUAUCAAUUUAAUCCCUUUAAUAAUUCUCGACAAUAUUUCAUAUCUACUUCAUUAACUUCUCGAUUAAUAAUAAAUUUUUGAAACGGCUUGAUCGAGAAAUCGAAUUAUUCCUAUCACAGCGAAAAAUAGAUCAUCAAACUAUUUUAAUUUGAUUUAUUAAUGUCUUUUCCAAAUUCGUAUUUAAUUAAUAAAUAUUCCACAAUAACCUUCAUUAAUUGAUAAUUUUUCCUUGUAUUAUAGGAGAUUUAUAAAUAUUCAUAUUGUAGCAUAAGUAAACUCAAUUUAAAGUGCACAAGGAAAUAGUCAAAUAUCUCAAACUUCAAGAGCCUUUAAUUAAGCCACAAUGUGUUCGCACACUCUAUUAACACUAGUGAAUUUCAUUAAUUAUAAUUUGAUCAUUAGAGUACUAGCUAAAAUUUUAUCCCAAGAUUCAAAUUGUCUUUCAAUAAAUCCUCGACAAUUUUGUGGUCUCUAACUCAAAAUUUUUUUACUUUUGUGAUAUUCGUAAAGAACAACUUCAGCAAGUAAUUCAUCUUUAUGAAUAGUCAUCACUAAUUAAAUCAUGCAUAUUAAAUUUGAUAUCAGAAAAGCUUACAAGUCGCAUCAUAAAUACAUAAUUGUGAUAUAUUUGAAUGGUUUUCCACCUCAGCAUAGGCUUAUUUUAGAGUAAAUUUGUAUGCAUUUUAGGGAAAAAUACCAAAAAAACCAAUUUUUUUUUAAAUUUACCGAAAUGGGCUCAGUAUUUUAUUAUUUACCGGAAUGGGCAUUUUCCCCGAAACCGCGUCCACGUCAGCACGAUGUCAAGGUACGUGCCAGGAAAUCGCGGCCACGUCAGCGCGCUUUGCUGACAUGGCAACAAAUCGCGUCCUCUAAAGCGCGAUUUGUGUCCACGUCAGCAAAACGCUCUGACGUGGACGCGAUUUCCUGGCACGUACCCUGACAUCGUGCUGAUGUGGAUGCAAUUUCGCCGUGUCUCCCACGUUAGGGUUUUUAGGGGUUUUAGGGCUUUUGGAGAAAAAAGUAAACAAAUAAGGGAUUAGGGUUAAGGGUUUCGUAAUUAAAUUAAUUAAAUUUUAUUCAAAAUUGGAUUACGUUUCGUGUUUAUGGGUUUUUAAGAUAAAAUCAAAGCAGGAUGAUUUAUCAGAAGGAUUUUUGAAGUCGCACCCACGUGUACGCGCUUUUGCUACAGUAGGUCUUGGGAAAAUAAUUUCGACUUGAUGUUUUUGAGCAAAUAGUUUAAAAAACAUUUCAAGCAGAAUGCUUUGUGAGAAGAAUUUGUGAAAUCGCGCCGUCGUGGACGCGCUUUUACUACAGUUGGUCCUAAAAGAAAUAAUUUCGAGUUGAUGUUUUUGAGCAAAUAGUUUAAAAAACGCUUCAAACAGGAUGCUUUAUAAUAAGAAUUUGUGAAGUCGUGCCCACGUGGAUGCGCUUUUGCUACAGUAGGUCCUAAAAAAAUAAUUUUGAGUUAACGUUUCUGAGCAAAUAAUAUAAAACAACGCUGCAAGUAGCAUGCUAUUUGAGAAGAAUUUGUGAAAUUGUGCCCUCGUGAACGUGCUUUUGCUACAGUUGGUCCUGGAAAAAUAAUUUUGACUUGACGUUUCUGAGCAAAUAGUAUAAAAUCGAUUCUAGAAGGAUGCUUUAUGAGAAGAAUUUGUGAAAUCACGCCCACGUGGACGCGCUUUUGCUACAGUAACAUGUUUGGGCUGAGGCUAUAAAUGAGGCAAAAAAUGUUCUGAGAUUGCAUAAGUCACAGCAAAAACAAUUUAGAGAGGCUAAGAAGGUUAGAGUUUCAAAUAUGAGUGAACGUAUUAGUGCUGUUAUUUACUACAGUGGUGAGGUUUGCCACACUGAGAAUGGUGUUGUUUUUUUGUCGAAGAAUACGGUGCGACUGGUUUUUAACCAAAACAUAGAUUUGACAGAACUUCGUAAAAGAAUUAGGCGUAAAAUUUUCGAAACGACGCCAAUGAAAGUUCUGUCUAUUACAUAUCGAUUUUGUUCCUCUGUUGAUCCGGUGACAUAUGACUCGUUCGACAUAAAAGGUGAUCGUAGCUUGGAGGCAAUUGUGCAGACUCAUCUUGCUAGUCGAGCACAUUAUAUUGAGUUAUAUGUACAAUUUACAUUGCCAAAUGAUGUACUUGCGACCAGUGUUCGAGAUGUAUACACGACCCCUGGCCAACAUUCGGUUAGCGGGUUAGAAAACACGAAACAGCCCAUGUUUGGUAGUGGUGUUGAAUGCACAUCCCCCGCAGGACCUCUGUCGGUGGAUGGGACAUGUACGUCGGUGGUUCGAUGUUUGAUGCUGGAAAUACGUACUGGGGAACGUCAUCAAGUUCUAGUGAUUAACAAUCUACAUCCAAUUGGGGACGUUAUGAAAUGCCCAGAAAAAAGGAUGAUGUACUCCCUACGACGUCAAUUGGUGAGGGGACCUCAUACGCUGCAGAUGAUUAUGGGUUAGAAGAUGACUCCGAUGUGGAUCUACCUCGAGAGCUCGGGCCUGAUGGUGUAGAAGUUGGCUUAUUUUCUGAACCGGAGUCUAUUCCAACAAAACUUGAAGAUGCUGAAAGGAGUUCAGAUGAAGAAGAAAAUCCACGAUUCAGAGCAUACUCACCUUCAGCCCACAUGCAUAAUGUCGAUCUGUCUGCAGAUGAUACAUUAGAGUUUCCAGAUCUACCACACUGGUUGCGUGAUCGUACCAGUUCAGGGCUAGAUUCAGGUGAAUUUUAAGUUGGUAAUCAGUUUACCAACAAGGAUAGUUUUAUUGGUGUUUUGAAACAACAUAGCAUCAAAAAAUGCGUUAACUACCACGUCGUUAAAUCCAAAUCUGAUAAGUUUGAAGCGAAAUGUACGGUGCAAUAUGGCACAUGUUCAUGGAAAAUCUACGCUUCGUUAAGGAAAAAGACAGGGUUGUGGGAGAUUAAAAAGUACAAAGGUCCACAUACAUGUGCUGCAGGUACAAUAUUGACGGUAUCUGAAUAAUACUUUUAUUAUGUAAUGUUGCAUUAUUUAAUGUAAUCCGUUUAUAGGUGUUUCACAAAAUCAUCCGAAGAUGGAUUCAGCUAUGUUAGCUAGCUUGAUACUGCCCACGGUAAAAGCAGAUUCCAGGAUUUUAGUACCGGUGUUAAUUGCCAAUAUUCGUAGCCAAAUGGGGUACACGCCCUCUUACCGUAAGGCUUGGAUAGCUAAGAAAAAGGCGUUGAAGAAGAUGCAUAGUUGGUGAGACGCCUCAUAUACUGAAAUAUGACAGUGGUGUCAAGUGCUAGAGAGAUACGUCCAAGGUGCCUCACAGACCUUGAAACGGAACAUGCGUACUACAACGGCCAAUUGCUACGUGGAUGCCAAGUGUUCAAACGUCUGUUUUGGACCUUUAAGUAAUGCCAAGACGCAUUUCCAAGCUGCAAGACAUUGGUACAAAUUGACAGUACCUUUAUGUUUGGUAGGUAUACUCAUCGGCUAUUGCUUGCAGUGGUACAGGAUAGCGGUGGGAGAAUUCUUCCAAUUGCAUUUGCAAUAACACCGGGGGAGUCGUCUGAUGACUAGGAUUUCUUUCUCUCUAGGUUAAGGAGGCAUGUGUGCCUCCAACCUGAUAUCUGUGUUAUUUCAGAUCGGGGCACCGGUAUACUAGUUGCAUUUGAUCGACAGGGAAGCUUAUGGCAGUGCACACACCAUCGAUAUUGCGUAAGACACGUUGCUUCCAACUACUACAGGCAAUACCCAUCUAAGAGCGAACGACGACAAGUGACCAACAUGGGUAUUUAGUCUAUAUCUGUGUUAUUUCGUUUCUCAAUUUGAAUUAGUUUUAUUAGUAGAAGUUGUAUGUAAUAUUCGCUAUGAACUUAUAUUGGCAGGGUAUGAAAUAAAUAAAUAUCGUUUCCACGAGAUGUUGGCAACUUUACGUUCAAUUAACGGAGAAGGGGCAGACUACCUUUGUAACAUACGUUUCGAACAGUAGGCACAAGCAUACGACGGCGGCCUACGAUAUGGCCAUAUGACGUCAAACCUGGCUGAAUGCAUAAAUUCUAUUCUUAAAGGAACAUAUUUUCGUUCAGCGACGCUAUUUCCAAAGCGAGCAGCAAGUUAUGCAGGCCAGAUGCAGGGAGGACAUGUAUGGUGCAGUAAGGUAGUUUAAGAAAUUAACAAGGCCAAGGCGCAGGCAAACACCAUGCACACAGUGUGUCACGAUCGAGACAACUUAUGGUUUCACGUGACAGAGUUUGACAGACCGCACCAAGGUGUUGUUGGCGGACAAUAUCGUGUACACUUGCGAAAUAGGACUUACAACUGUGGGAUGUUUGAUGCACUUCGUUAUCCAUGCGCUCAUGUUAUUGCAGCUUGUCAGAAUCUCCGUCUAGAUCCGAUAAAUUGUGUGGACGAAGUGUACAAAUUAGAAAACAUGUACAACGUCUGGAGACUCGUUUUUCCACUGGUCCCAGAUGAACGUAAGUGGCCCCCCGUAUCUCUUUCUCAUUUUAAGCUGUUACCGGAUAGAGAAUUACGUCGUAAACCAGAGGGUCGACCUUGCUCGACUAGAAUACAUAACAAUAUGGAUAUCCGAGAAACAGUCAAUCAACAUAAGUUGUGCAGAUGGUGUAGGAAUCCAGGCCAUACAAGUCGAUCAUGCCCUAAUCGCAAUAGUUGAAUGUAAUUUUUUUAAAAAAAAUUAUAUUUUUUCAAUUAUUAACUGAUAAUUGUAUUAAUUGUUAGUAAAAUUAUCAAAUUAUAUCAAAUAAUUAAUUGUUAGUAUCAGUCAAAACAUUUUUUCAAAUCUAACAUUAUGUGAAUAUAAAAUUAUUAACUGAUAAUUGUAUUAAUAUUAGUAAAAUUAUCAAAUUAUAUUUAAGUUAAGGGUUAGGGUUUUUAAGUUAAGGGUUAAGGGUUAAGGAUUUUAAAGUUAAGGGUCUAGGGUUUUAAAGUUAAGGGUUUAGGGUUUUUAGGUUAAGGGUUAGGGUUUUUAGGUUUAGGGUUUAUGGUUUUUAAUUUAAGGGUUAUGGUUUUUAAGUUAAAGGUCUAGGGUUUUAAAGUUAAGGGUCUAUGGUUUUAAAGUUAAGGGUUAGGGUUUUUAGGUUAAGGGUUUAGGGUUUUUAAGUUAAGGGUUAGGGUUUUUAAGUUAAGGGUUUAUGGUUUUAAAGUUAAGGGUCUAUGGUUUUAAAGUUAAGGUUUAAGGUUUUUAGGUUAAGGGUUAUGGUUUUUAGGUUAAGGUUUAGGGUUUUUAAUUUAAGGGUUAGGGUUUUUAAGUUAAAGUUUAGGGUUUUCAGGUUAAGGGUUAGGGUUUUUAGGUUAAGGUUUAGGGUUUAGGGUUUUUAAUUUAAUGAUUAUGAUUUUUAAGUUAAGCGUUUAGGGUUUUUAAGUUAAGGGUCUAAGGUUUUAAAGUUAAGGUUUAGGGUUUUCAGGUUAAGGGUUAGGGUUUUUAGGUUAAAUGUUUAGGGUUUUAAUUUAAGGGUUAAGGUUUUUAAGUUAAGGGUUUAGGGUUUUUAAGUUAAGGGUCUAUGGUUUUAAAGUUAAGGUUUAUGGUUUUUAGGUUAAGGGUUAGGGUUUUUAGGUUAAGGGUUUAAGGUUUUUAAGUUAAGGGUUUAGGGUUUAAAAGUUAAGGUUUAGGGUUUUUGGGUUAAGAGUUAGGGUUUUAGGUUAAGGGUUUAGGGUUUUUAAUUUAAGGGUUAGGGUUUUUAAGUUAAGGGUUUAUGGUUUCUAAGUUAAGGGUCUAUGGUUUAAAAGUUAAAGUUUAGGGUUUUUAGGUUAAGGGUUAGGGUUUUAUGUUAAAGAUUUAGGGUUUUAAAUUUAAGGAUUAGUGUUUUUAAGUUAAGGGUUUAGGGUUUUAAGUUAAGGGUCUAAGGUUUUAAACUUAAGGGUUAUGGUUUUUAGGUUUAGGGGUUAUGGUUUUUAAUUUAAGGGUUUAUGGUUUUUAAUUUAAGGGUUUAGGGUUUUUAAUUUAAAAGUUUAGGGUUUUUUAAGUUAAGGGUUUAAGGUUUUAAGGUUAAGGGUUAAGGUUUUUAGGUUAAGGGGUUAGGGUUUUAAAGUUAAUGGUUAGGGUUUUUAGGUUAAUGGUUUAGGGUUUUAAAGUUAAAGGUUAAUGAGUUAGGGUUUUUUGGUUAAGGGUUUAAGGUUUGUUAAUUAAAUUAUGCAUUUAAUUAUAAAUUAUAAAUUUAUAAAUUUUUAAUAAGUUAAGCGUUUAGGGUUUUUAAGUAGUAACUCAAAAAAAUUUCUAUUUUUAUUACAUCAAAAAAUAUCAAAAUAUUCAAAAUAUUUGUACAAAUAAAUUUAAAUACAAAAAUCAAUGUCUAUGCCCGCGGGAUUCAGUGCCACAUGGCAGCCGUCGACAGUUACGCGCUGGAUUCCUCCUUGUCCAGCUUUUGGCGGCGAUUAUAGUUCUUCCGGCGGCGGUUGUGGUUCUUCCGGCGGGGAUUCUGGUUCUUCCAGUAGGGCAUCUGGUUGUCGGAGUUGUGACGAUGAGCCACCUUGAUAGAAUUGUGAAUGUGGAGGUGUUUGCAUCACCAACGGCAACGGUGUUUGAAACCCAUACGGUGGUGGGGAUUGGUAAAAAGAAGAGCUCCCCGACGGCCCCUCUUGCGAUCCCUCGUGCGUCGCUGGCCUAUACAUCGGCGGUCGACUCGGCGUAACAGAAAUAGAGCUGAACCGGGCCAUUGGCUCCAACCUGCCAUAGGACUCGAAAAAGGAAACAUAUAAGGGUUAGGAUACAUAAAAGGGCUAGGAAACGCACCUGGCAUCAUCUGAAAAGGCGGUUGCGUGGGUAUCAUUGGUUGAACUGCUGGGUCGGGUGAAUGUCUGGGAGUCGUUGAAGGGCCAGCGUCGUCGUCCUGUCGUCUUGGAUUUAAAGGAUCGCGUCUUUCCCUUUGGACACGUAAUUGCCGCUGCCUCUCCUCUAGCGAUAGUAAAUACGGCUUGCCAUGGAUCCUAAACCAUGGCAUGCAUUCCGGCAUGCACGCUAACUCCGGAACGAUGAUCGGUUCCAUACUAGGUAUAUAGUCAUACCGAUCUUCCCACAUUUGGAUGUACUUGAACCAGAAUCUCGGCCAAUCCGUAUUCAAUUACCGAAGGUCGAUUUUGUGGUGAUCGUCAAACAUCUCAAGUUCCAUGGAAAUCGGUUGUCUACAUCCAAAUUGCCAUAACACCCUGUCUGACUGGUGCAUCUCCACGGUCGCGUAGUUGAUCAACGCGACUUUCGCCUGCCAAGCGUUUGGAUUUUGUAAGAACUCUUUCGGAAUUACUGCCCAAAUUGCCGGAUCCUCAUAUGGUGUCCAUUGAAACUAUAUGAAAAUGAUAGAAAUAUUAAUUAUAUACAUAAUACUAAAUACUAAAUACCAAUCGACUAGCGAAUGAUGGAAAUAUCAAUUUUAUUUAAUACUUACAUGUGCUUCCGACUAUUGGUCUAAUAGAAGCCGUAUAUCUUCAAGAGAGGUAGGUAAUCGAGCAUGACUUGCCGGAUGGUUCCACCUAAUUAAAUAAAUUUUUAGCAUACUUUUAUUUUUAAAAAUCUACAUAAUAAUUGUAAAAUCUAAUAUAAAAUUUACCUCGUUAUCAGUGGGAAUGUAUAUGGGUGGUCCACUCGAGGAUGUAGAAAUGAAAAGCGAAACCGUGCCCAUGAUUGCAGUAGGGACAGGCAACCUCCGAUUUUUGCUUUCCUCGGUCGCAUCGCCCCGUACAUCUCCUUAUAUAACGUUGUCAAGACGGCAGACCCCCAACUUAAUUCACCAGCUGCUCUAAAAUCAACGAGUUGCAGCAGCCAUCUUAGAUGUACGCGGCUCCGUGACAAGUCAGGCAUCAGAUAACCUCCAAUUAACUGAAGAAUGCAUGCCCGAGCAUAUCGGAUUCUUUCUAUUUCGGUUGAAUCUUCAUCCGGAUCCGGGAAUGUGUCUCGAAACCAGCCCAUCUCGAUCUUACCUCCCUCCAUUUUCUCCAGAAUAGCGCCCAAAAGCUCGUAGCACACCGCAAGCCAAUCGCUAGAUUGGGUAGACCCGGUGACUGGGUACCCGUCCACCGGCAAUCCCAAUUGUAGACUGACAUCUUCCAAAGUGAUAGUGCACUCUCUACAUCUUAAAUAAUAUUUAAAAAUUAAAUUUAACGCUUACCAUUUUCAUUUGUUCCACCGAUAUGUGAUGCUUAUCAAGACGAGUCAAUUCUUCGGCCAUUGCUGAAAUCGUACAAAUUUUUAAUGUUUAAAAAAAUUUUAAAAAAGUAAAAUUAUUUAAAAAAAGAGAUUUAAAAGAAAUUUAAGAGGAACUUGGGAGUAAAUUGAAAAUAAAUAUGAAUUUGAGAGAAAUUUUAAAGGAAUUUGAAAGCAAAAGAGUGGGGGUAUUUAUAGUUUUUUUUUUACCGUUCGGGGGGGCAAUGGUCAAUUUUUUGACCGUUGCACUGUUCACGUACGGGGCAAAUCGCAACCACGUCAGCGCGAUUUGCUGACGUGGACACAAAUCGCAUCCUCUGAAGCAGAAUUUGUUGCCACGUCAACGCGCUAUUUGCUGGCACAUACCCUGACAUCGCGCUGACGUGGACGCAAUUUCGAGAAAAAAUGGCCAUUUCGGUAAAUAAUAAAAUACCGGGCCCAUUUCGAUAAAUUUAAAAAAAAAUAGACUUUUUUUAGUAAAUUGCCCUACGUUUUAGUCUUGUUACAAUAUCCAAGUCUAAUGCCAAUAUUGAAGUAUACCGUAAUAGUAAUUAUUCUCUCUAUCUAGUACUCGAAACUGGUUUUAAAUAUCUUCCAUUCACUCGACAAAUAGUUAUGGUCUAAAUAAAUUUCUGGAAUUCAUGGCUGCCUACUUGCGAGAGGAUUAAUGAAAUAUGCGAUGCAAGUUGAUGAAAUCUUAUUAUUUGUAAUAUAAAAAACAAAACCCAUGCAUCCUUAAUAACAUAAAAAAAACACAUUCCAUAAUCAACAUCUGAGAAUUUAAAACUUAAUUGUAAUGUUGGCUGAACAAGACUCAAAAAGGGGAGAAAAGAAAAAUAAGUCCGAACCUGAAAAAAGUGACCGUAUAAAAAACCCUGACAGGCAGAACAGUAGCAAGCAACAUAAAACCAAGACAUAUUAUCACUUAAAGCACUUGGCAUCCAAGAGAGGCUCUCCCUCAAAUGGCUCGCAGUCUUCAAUCAUCUGAUUCACCCGUUCCUUCUGGGCUGCAUCUGACAGGUCAACCUUCUUCCACUCGUAGAGUUCCAUGUCAUAGCACUCGUCAAUCACAAAUUGAGGAAUCUCUUGCCCACGGAAAAGCCAUAGUCCUUUCACCUUGAAUGGAGGGUUAGCACCGAUCACCAACAUCUUCCCAAAUGCAUACUUGCGGGCCAAAUCCAUUCUCUGCAGGAAUCCUCCAACCUUGUUCAUUGUGACAAAUGAAACUGUAUUCUCCUCAUUGUACUUGUAGUCACAAAACCACAGUGAGUAUCCCUCGGGAUCAUACAUGUCCCAGAAUCCUGACACGAAUCAAGUAUCAGAUAUCACAAGCCCAAACAUUGCUUUUAAAAGGGAGUGCUACUGUGAAAACAACAGGGAUACCUUUAAUUGCAACCUCUCGGAAAUUGGUCUUUGUGUUAGAGUAAAGCCUCUUCCAGUCAUCCAGUACCAUCUUACUUGGAGGCAGCAAAUCAAGAGGAUUCUUUGGUUUGGGCUUUGGUGCCUCCUCCUCAGCUGCCUCUGCCUUUGCUGCCUGUUUCUCAACCUCCUUUUUGGCUUCUUUCUUUGGUUCAGCCUUUGGUUUAGUUUCUUUUGGCUGGGCAGCAGGCUUCUUUGAAGGAACAGGUGGUAGAGAGACUGCCUGCUUCACUUCACCAAGAAUCUUCUUGAUUUUUGGUUGAUUAACCAAGGUCCAAAAGUACCUCUCAACAUGAGGGAACUCCGAGGUAAAACUCUUAGUCAUGAUCUGGGAGAAACCCAAGUAGAGGUUACAUGUCAUGAUAAUGUCAGCAAGGGUGACAAAAUGUCCAACAAGAAAUGUGUUGGAAGCAAGAUGAGUGUUCAAAGCGCCAAGGGCUCUCUUCAAUGCAGCAAUAGCAGCUUCCUCAGCCUACAUGCAAAAUACAUAUAAGAGAUUAAAAUGAAAUAGGUAGGCAAAAUCAUACCAUUGAAUUAAAAUGAACUACUACUGAAUUACAAAAAUAAAAUUUAACUCUUAAUAUAGAUUAAUAAAUACAUCAGAAUGGGGGAGAAAACAACCUAGUCUCUUAAAAAAAUAAUGAGGAGAAAACCCAUGCCUACUUGAUUAUCAAUGCAAUGGGCAUUCCCUUCAACCAAAAUUACUUAAUAGUGCUUGAGUUGAUUCCUUUCCAGAAACUAUGCAGGGGAAAACACUACCACAUUAAGCAUGUACUAAAUGUUGUCUAACUAAUCCUCUCUAAAAUAAAUAAAACAAGAAUCAUAGACAGGUAAUCAAUGCCAAUUUUCCCUUCACCAUUCCCUCCUUAAUAUAUUGUAUUUCGAUGACUAAGUUGCCUUAUUCAAAUUUUAACACGGGACCAAUUGUCUUAUAAUUAGAAAGAAACAAAGACUAAGUAUGGCCCCAGCAAAUCAAGCCCAAUUAAAAUGACAAAAGAAUCUGCGAGGAAAGACAGUAGAACUUACUGGAGGAAGGUAAACACCGUAACCAAGUCUUGGAUACAACCAUUUUGCAAUAUUAGCAUCAAUUUCCAUGGCUGCGAAAUCAAUCCAUUGCUCGAUAUGACCCUAAGAAAGCCAAAGUAAUACAUACAAACAAUUACUUCCAUGGUUUAAAAUAAACUCAACUGAUGACAGAAGAAAACAAGACCGUUGUACUAUAAGAAUCUUACAUAAUCAAUCAAUGUAGAACCACAUAUAGGGUUGUUAACCUUUGAGCGAGCAACUGCAGAGAAAAGUAUACCAAUAAGUAAACAAACAUUAGAGGAAGAAAAUUUAGGAUAUGGAGUCAGCAGAUCUUCUCACCAUAACGAGCAAUGGCAUUGCUCUCAAAUACAGGACCCUCAGGUGUUUCCAACACAGGAACCUAGAAGAGUUAUAAAUAUCUUCAGUGAACGGACCUAAAAAAAGGUUACAUAACAUGUAUAAAAAAAAAUCACUAGUUUAAAUUUAUUAAUAGGAGUUACAAGGUCACCUUCCCCAAAGGGUUCAUCUUGAUGAACUCAGGAGUCUUAUUUGACACACCCAUCUCAAAAUUCUCAACCAUUUUGACCUGCACACCACUAUAUUCUGCAGCAAUGAGUGCCUUAAAGGCAUUUUUGUUUGUUUUUCCUGCAUGCAAGACCUGCAUGUAAAUCAACACACCACAUUGAUUAGAAGAACCGGUUGAUUAAGAAGUUGAGUUGAAUGUCAAGCACCAGUCACUCCCUACAACUAAUCCAGUAAAAUCCUGAAAUUGAUCCUUUUCGCCCCAUAAAUUCUCUUAAAGACCAGUCACUUUACAUUCUAAACCGCUAGACGGUACUUAGCAUUUCCAUCUACCAUACACAAUUAACCUAAUUGACGUAACACCUCGCCAUCUAUCUUUCUUCUGAACAACGGAUCCCAAUUGAAUCGAAGGUAAUAUAGUUAAAAUCAAAUUAUUUUUUUAUCGUUACUAUUAGUAUCUACAAAUGCAUAAACUAUUACAUUGAUUUAGAGAGUAACUAUAUAAAACAUAUUCGAUCUGCCACUUCCUUCGCAAUGUAAAAAACUACUUACAAACUUCACUUUCGAAUUCUAUCUGAAACAACGCCCACCAAAUCAUUUGGUGUCAAAUCUUUCAACAGUUAGACUACCACAAGAAACGAAACUAGUCUAUAUUCACACAUAUAAACCUUACCAGAGCCAUUGCUUGAUAUAAAAGGGCGCUACAAUUUGAGAAUUGAGAUCUGGAAAAUGAAAAACAGAGAAUAAAAUAAAAGGAAACAGGAAAAAUCUACAACGAGGAGAGCUUGGUUCCUAUGAAUGAAAGAAAAAAAAUGAGAGAAAGAACCUUGCAGACGAAGACGCAGCGAGCAGGAGAGGCUGCGGUAAUAAGAGGGCGAUAAAUAUAAAAGAAGGGGGGACUAGGGUUUUUGUUGAGUAGAGUGAGUAUGAUGUGGGGUUCUUUAUCGGUUCGGGUUCGGCUUCGGCUUCGGGGUCCGGUUUGGAUCCAGAUUUACUAACCCUCCUUUUUUCGGCUUUUUAAGCGUGUCUUUGGUGUUGCAAGUGGAGGGUGUUCCAAGCAUCAAUUUACGGAUAUCCUCUUUUAGGUUAAAAUAUGCCUAUAGUCCUUGAACUUUUCAACCAUUAAAAAAUUAGUCCCAGUACUUGUAUUUUUAGGAAUUUAGUCCCUCUAUUUUCCAAAUUUCAAAAUUUUGGUCUAACUGUUAAUACAUUUAAUUUGUUUAGUCAAAUUUGUUGCUGUGACAUUUUGAAAUAAAAAAUUACUCACUUGAUAACCAUGUAAUUAAAAAAAUAACUUUACAAUUAACUUGAAUUUAACAGAAAAAAUUAACAAUAUUAACAGUUAGACUUGAAUUUUAAAAUAUGAAAAGUAGAGAGACUAAAUUCCUAAAAAUAUAAAUAUUGAAACUAAAUUCAUAAUUUUUGAAAAUUACAAUAAUUAUAGGCAUAUUUUAACCCUUCUUUUAAUUAUUUUAAUGGAAACUAUGAUUUUUUUUCUUAAUUAUUUUUCAAAAAAAAUUCAGUCAAAUAUUAUCAAUUUUCAUUUCAAUAGAUUCAACUAUGAAAUCAAACUAGAAAUCAAUAGUAAUUAAAUAAAAAUAAAAUUACAAAAAAUAACACUUAAUUAUUGAACCGAUUGAACGAUUUCUUUUUCCUAUUUUUUUCUAAUUAUUCAUCAGUUUACAAGUAUAUGCUCUAUUUGCAACAAACCAAUGUAAAUAACGAAACAACUGCUCAUGCUUGUAAAUAUUAUAAAUAGGUAUGUUGCUUUUUAUUCAAUAUUUCCUCUUUUAAUUCGCCUAUUGAACAUGUUGGAAUAAGUAAUAGGUAUUUUUUAUGUUUUUUCUAUUAGUUUUUAAGUUAUAAGUGUUAGAAACAUAAAAUAAAUUUAAAGCUUAAUAAAUCAAGAUCUAUCAUAUUAAAUCAUCUAGGAUAAGUCAAGAGCAAAACUAGAUACGGAAGCGUACCUAAAUUCAUCAAUUUUUUAAAAUCUAAGUUUUUUGCGAUUUUGAUCUUUCAAAUUAGCACACAAGUAAUUUUAAGAAGGUGACUCUCUUUUUUCUAAAGAUGGGAUAUUAGAUCUAUUAACAAUUAACUUUUGUAACUUUUACGAAUCAGUCUUUUUUUCUUAAUUAACAACUUAAACUAUAAAAAUUUUAAACCAAAAUUUAACACAACUCUAUAAUAACUUUAAGAACAUCAAAUAAAUAGAAAAAAGAAAAAUAUAUGCUGUCUCACUAGUCGAAAUUGUGGUCUUGAAACCAUUGUUUUUGACACCACUAAAAAUGAGAUGUUACAAAUAAACUUUAUUUCUGCAAAAAAUAAACUUAAUAUCUGUAAACUGAAAUAAUUGAAAAUGUAUUUAUAGCAUAAAAACAUUUAAAAGUACAAACUCCCAUUAAAACCAAAUAUCCUUAAAUGACAUUACACCCAUAUGAGUAGUGUACUCAUGAAAAACCUUAGGUGUAGUCCCUUAGUAAGUGAGUCUGCAAUCAUGGAGUUUAUCUCAGUAUGCUUUAUAGGCACCUAACCACUUUGAACUUUUACUUUAACAACUAGGAACUUAAAGUCUAUGUGCUUUGUGUAACACCCCUUACUCGUAUUCCCUACCGGAACAGAGUAUGAGGUAUUACUAAAUUUUUAAAAAAAUUUCGACAGCAUUCCUACUUAUUUUUGCUUAAACCUCCUGCAAAUUUAGAACACAUUCCAAUAUACCAACCAAUUUCAUUUGUAUAAUCACACAUACAGUUUAACUAUUAAUAAACACUACAUUUAAAAGGGAAUCAUAACAUAUAUUUACAUGAUGAUCCCACAUUACAUAAGUCGUCUAUACAUGCCAUAAAAUUUCGGAACACUAGUAGUAAAAUACCCCAAAUGUGAAGGAUAGUGUAGAUGAUUGUCUGACUUCGUUCCAAUUUCCGAGUUGUUGGAAGUCACUAUAAUCAAGAGAAAAAUAAAAUCGAGUAAGCAUAUAGCUUAGUAAGUAAACACAUGAUAAAUAAGUAAUUACUCCCAUAACUACACCAAAAUAUAAACUUAUUCAUGAAUAACUUUAUUGUUUAGGCAAUUUCCAGUAAGCUGUUUUUCUGCGUCAUAGUCGCUAAUUUAUUUUUAUCUGGAGCUACAGGGCUCCAAUUUGAGUUCCGUAAAUUUUCCCUGAAACUAGACUCAUAUACCAUUUCACCAUAAAAAUUUCAGAAUUUUUGACCCAGCCAAUUAGUACAGUUUAUUCAUUAAACCUUCCCCUGUUUCACUGCCCAACGGUUCUGACCCUUCCUCACUAAAAUUCACUUAACUCUCUGUACAAAAUUUGAAAAAUGGUUUUGCUUGUUUCUAAUAAAAAUAGACUCAAUAAGGAUUCCAGGGAUAUAAAUUUCAUGCCAUAAUUAUUUUUUUACAAUUUUUGGUAAUUUUCCAAAGUUAGAACAGGGGAUCUCGAAAUCAAUCCAGCCCUGUUUCAGUAAAAUUCAGAUAUCUCCAAAAAUACAACUCUUUUGCUUAUUCUAUUUCUUUCAUAUGAGAAUAGAUACAUUCAACUUCAAUUUCAUAUAUUAUUCAGCUUCCCAUUCAUUUUCCACCAUUUAUGGUGAUUUUUUUAAAGUUACCCAAUUGCUGUUGUUCAACACAGUUUAUAAUUAAAUCAUUCCUUUUUGCGUUUUUGAUAUUUUCUCCCAUCUCAUACAUGGGUCGAUUUAGUAUUCAACUCAAUAUUUACCCCAUAAAAUUUUCCACCAUAUGGCAAUAUUCACCUUCCACACUUUUUUUGUUGAACACUUAGAAUGUUAACCGUUAUCGGUAGAUCCCGCACUUAGCACCACCACUGAAUCGGGGAAUCAGCACUUAGCAACCCCUCGGGGGAAUCAGCACAUAGCAACCCCCUUUUUCAUUUCAAAGAUACGGUGGAUAUUGCACUUAGCAUCACCAAUGAAUCAGGGAAUCAGCACUUAGUAACCCCUCGGGGGAAUCAGCACAUAGCAACCCCCUUUUCAUUUCAAAGAUACGAUGGAUAUCGCACUUAGCACCACCAAUGAAAUCGGGGAAUCAGCACUUAGCAACCCCUCGGGGGAAUCAGCACAUAGCAACCCCCUUUCACAUUUCAAAGAUAUGGUGGAUCACGCACAUAGCACCACCAAUGAAUCGGGGAAUCAGCACACAGCAACCCCUUUUAUAUACAACAUACUCCGGCUUAUUCCGAGUGUUCAACCCAUAAACCAUAUAUUGCAACCCUUUAUCACCUUUCCCGAUUUAACAACAUUUUUAGGAUAUUGCCAAACAUUUAUUUUAAUUCCAAAUAAAUCUCAACAUAUAUCAAAUAAUAUCAAAAUAAUACAUUAAGUCAUGUGUUUACUUACCUCGGUGCAAAAUAUCGUAAUUUUGCACUUUACUCCACUAUCUUUUCUUUUCCCCGUUUGAUAUACUCUUCACGUCUUUCUUGAUCUAUAAUAGCAAAUUUAACUCGUUUAAUAUUCACAUUUAUUAAAAUAAUCCACCACCCAACUUUUUGAAAAAUUACAAUUUUGCCCCCAAACUUUUGCAUAAUUACACUUUUGUCCUAAAGCUCGGAAAUUAAACUUCAUCACUUAUUCUUAAGUUUUAUAACAUGCUGAACAUUUUUUCCUUCUAUGGCAACAUCAAAUUCCCACUCCAACACAUACUUUUGAAUAUUAAUUAUUUUUACCAAUUAUGUCUAUUUACCCGUUUUCGCUUAAAAUUGCUUAGCAAAAGUUGUUUAACAUAAUCUCUAGCUUCAUAUUCCACCAUAAAACAGCAAAAUAAACACAUUUCACCUAUGGGUAUUUUUCCAAAUAUGAACCCUAACACGAAUUAAUGGUAGAAUAAGCUAAACCAAGUUACCGGGACUCCAAAAAUACGAAGAACAUUAAAAACGGGGCUUAGAAUCACUUACUAUGGAGCUUGAAAGCUUAAAAACCCUAAAUAUGGCUUCCCCCUUGCUGAUUUCGUUCACCAUGAAGAAGAUGAGCAUAUUUUGCCAUCUUUUUCCCAUUUAAUUCUAUUUAAUAACCAAAUGACUAAAAUGCCCCCAUUUAAAAAAAUCUAUUUCACCCAUUUCUUAUGUCUAUUUUUGUCCAUCAACUAACUAAUGGUCUAAUUACCACAUAAAGACCUCCAAUUUAAAAUUUCAUAACAAUUAGACACCUCUAAGAUGUAGAACUCAACUUUUGCACUAUUUACAAUUUAGUCCUUUUGACUAAAUUGAGUGCCCAAACGUCGAAAUUUUCGAACGAAAUUUUUACAAAAAUUUUUCGUGAAAUUGUAGACCAUAAAAAUAUAAUAAAAACCAUAUUUUCCCUCGUCGGAUUUGUGGUCCCGAAACCACUAUUCCGACUAGGCCUAGAAUCGGGCUGUUACAACUCUCCCCCCUUUAGGGAUUUUCGUCCCCGAAAAUCUUACCGGAAAAGAGGUUUGGGUACUGUUUCCUCAUAAUUUCCUCCGGUUCCCACGUAGCCUCUUCCAUUCCAUGUUUUUGCCACAACACUUUCACUAAGGCUACACUUUUAUUUCUUAACUGUUUGACCUCCCGAGCCAAAAUCUUUAUGGGUUCUUCCUCAUAAGUCAUAUCUGGUCGAACCUCAAUCUCUGUAGGAGAAACUAUAUGUGAAGGAUCCGAACGAUAACGUCGCAACAUCGACACAUGAAAUACAUUAUGUAUCUUUUCCAACUCUAGCGGUAAAGCUAACCGAUAUGCUACAGGGCCAACUCUCUCGGUAACUUCAUAUGGUCCAAUAAAACGUGGACUUAGUUUGCCUUUACGACCAAAUCUCAGAAUCUUCUUCCAUGGGGAUACUUUCAAGAACACUUUAUCACCCACUUGAAACUCAAUUUCUUUUCUCUUUAAAUCCGCAUACGACUUUUGCCGAUCUGAGGCAGCUUUUAGGCAAUCACGGAUUAUUUUCACCUUUUCUUCAGUUUCUUUCACCAGGUCGACUCCAUGAAUCCGAUUCUCACCGAGUUCAGUCCAAUAUAAAGGGGUUCUACGUUUACGCCCAUAUAAUGCUUCAUACGGUGCAAUUUGUACACUUGACUGAUAACUAUUAUUAUAAGCAAAUUCAACCAGUGGUAGAUAUUUCUCCCAACUGUCCUUCAUUUCUAAAAUACAACACCGGAGCAUGUCUUCAAGAACUUGAAUCACCCUUUCUGAUUGCCCGUCAGUUUGCGGAUGAAAUGCAGUACUGAAAUUCAAUUUCGUACCCAAAGCUUCCUGUAACUUUAUCCAAAACCUCGAAGUAAAUCUCGGAUCUCUAUCCGAUAUAAUAGAUUUAGGCACCCCAUGUAAUCUUACUAUUUCAGCAACAUAUAAUUCCGCCAACCUGUCAAGUGAAUAAUCAAUGCGUAUCGGAAUAAAAUGGGCUGACUUUGUCAAUCUAUCCACAAUUACCCAAAUAGCAUCUUUCUUCUUUGGAGUUAAAGGCAAUCCUGUCACGAAAUCCAUCGUGAUACUGUCCCACUUCCAUUCUGGAAUCGUUAUCGGUUGAAGUAAACCCGAUGGCACUUGAUGCUCAGCCUUCACUUGUUGAGAGAUUAAACACUUUGUUACAAAUUCCGAGAUAUCCUUUUUCAUGCCCGGCCACCAAUACAACUUCUUCAAAUCAUUGUACAUUUUCACACUACCCGGAUGGACUGAUAAAUCACCACUGUGUGCCUUACCUAAAAUAGUCCGAAUUAGCUCAUCAUUUCUCGGUACACAUAUUCUGUCCCUGAACAUCAGGCAAUCAUCUGAACCAAUUUGAAAAUCUGAGUCAACACCUGCUUCACACUGAGCUCUCUUGGCUUGCAAUUUACUGUCAUUCUUUUGAGAUUCCCGAAUUUGCUGAAGAAAUAACGGUCUAGCUCUCAAUUCAACCAACAUUGAGCCAUCAUCAGAUAAAGUUAACAUCGUACCCAUAGCUCUCAAAGCAAAUAAAGAUUUUCUGCUCAAGGCAUCAGCAACCACAUUAGCUUUCCCGGGGUGAUAAUCAAUCACUAGCUCAUAGUCUUUGAUUAGCUCGAGCCAUCUUCGUUGCCGCAAAUUCAAGUCUUUUUGACUCAUCUAAUAUUUCAAACUCUUAUGAUCAGUGAAGAUUCGGCACUUUUCACCAUACAAAUAAUGACGCCAAAUUUUUAAAGCAAAAACAAUGGCAGCCAAUUCUAAAUCAUGCGUCGGAUAAUUCUUCUCAUGCGGUUUCAACUGUCUCGAAGCAUAAGCUAUUACUUUGCCCUCUUGCAUUAACACACACCCACGGGUUGCUUGUUCUCGAACGAGCAAUUUAUCAUAGUCAUUUGUUGAUAGUGGUCAUAUUAAUCAUUAAGAAGACACAAUGGUGAUAAUGAGAUAAAAUAAGAUUGUAUUAAGUGAAUGGAUUUAACUCAAAUGAAUCAAUGAUAUCAUAUGAGGGUAACACACACAUGACAAAGUCAUUAGACAAAGUAGUUGGAUGAAUUGCUUUUGUAAAGAGUAUAUAAUAAGGAGUUUUCAGUCAUGGUACUUCUUUUGGAUUGACUCUAUGAUUAAGUAAUUGUGAAUUAUCGAAACGGUGCUUCUCGACAUAAUUGUUGUAACACCCAUUUCUCGUUUUGUUAUCGAAAUAGGGUUACGGAGUAUUAUCGUACAAGUCGAAACAUUUCAUUUCAAUUAACUUCAAAAAAUAAAAUAAAUUCAUAAAUUCAAAUAAGAUUCAAUGUGAAAUAGAACAUACAUUAAUGGGCCUUAAAUCAAGCCUUCAAAGCUCUAAAAAAAUUACGAACAUCUAGGGACCAAAUCGAAACGAAUUAGAACAUUCAGGGAAAAUUUAAAAUUUUUCAAAAUAGGGGUCUCACGGUCGUGUGGAACUACUAGACCGUGUGAUGUAGGGACAUGACCAUGUGGAAAAUCAUACUUCAGGCCGUAUAACAUUCAAAUUAAUUCUACACGGUCGUGUCGUAGGUCAUGUGCUAGCCCAUGUACCAUUCGAAAUACCCUCACACGACUGUGUCGCAGACCAUGUGUUAGACCAUGUACAAUUUGAUGUUAGGUCACAUGGUCGUGUCUCAAACCGUGUGAAUACUGCACUUAAACACAUUUAGGGCACACGCCCGUGUGUGACACACGGCCAUGUGAUAGCCCGUGUCCCAGGCCGUGUGUGCCCAAAAUUGACCCAAAUCAUACUCUUUUCUUUACCCAUAUGCAUAGGUUCCUAGACAUAUUAAAACAUACCAUUUACAAUCCCAUCAAACACCUUCAAUAACAUUUAAAACAUGUAUAUACAAUCAACCUAGGUGCCUAACUCAUGUGCCAUCAUCGACACUACAAUGUAAUUCACUUCCAUGGUUACUUAUGCAAGAUACAAUUUACACAUUAAAAUUCUACAUCCAUUUCAUUUCAUAUCAUAAUUCAACAUAGUGUAAUUGUAGUUCAUUCUUGAUCAACCAAUUCAACUUAAGUAAAAACAUGCAUACUUCCAUAAGUUAUUUAAACACAAUAAGACAAGUUAAAGGUAUAACUUGCACAAACCAAGUACUUAUACAUCCUAUCCAAAAUGAGUCCUGUUACAUGCUAUAUAUGCUAAACCAAAAUCAAAGUCCACCAAAGAUUCCUGGAUAGUGUGAUUUCUCUUGUUGACUCGAUCUUCCGAGCCCACAAAAACAUAAUCUACAAAAAAAUGAACCAAAUACAAGUAAGAUUACAUAAAGCUUAGUAAGUUCGUUUGAAUAAUCAAAAAAAUUUACUAACUUAAACAUGAUAAAUCAAACUUUGCAUUUAGGCAAUGAAAUUCCUAGCAAUCACAACUUCCAUCAAAUGAAUAAUAUUCAGAGCAUUAUUUCAGGGUUCGUUUCUCAACCAUCGAUAGAGAAAUAUCUUAUUCAGUAUAAUCAGUGGAUAUCGCUCAUUUUGAGCAAACAUUCAGUAUAAUCAAUGGAUAUAUGUAACACCCCUAACCCAUAUCCAUCGCAGGAACUGGGUUAUAGAGCAUUACCGGAGUUUAUAGAUCAAACAGAUAGAAAUUUCAAACAUUUCAUAUCAUCAAAAUAUAUCAUCAAAGCAUUAUUCAAAUCCAAAUUAUAAACAUACCAAAUUCAAUUCAUUUUUCCAUGUACAUAAGCACUUAAACAUCAACUUAAUUUCACAUGCACAUAUCUAGAUUUGGUUUAAUUUACCAUGCCAUAAUAUGGCUUCAAAAACAAAUACAUGUUUAUAUAUAUACCAAACCAAUAUUAAAAUUAUAAUCUUAUUUACAAUCAAUCUACAAAAUAACUAUUAUUUAGACACCCUAGGUACAUUCUGACACAAAAGAUAGAUAUCGCCACAUUUGAGUUCAGGAUCAUUGUUGAAUGCUGAAUCGGCGAUCAAAAAGUUAAGUACCUAACCUGCGCAUGGAAAACAAAAUCGUACGCUAAGUAAAACUCAGUGGUAUUUCUAUAAUUCGAAUAUUUAAAGACAAUAGAUUACAAAUGUAUAAUUGAAAUAUAGACACAUAUUAAUAUUUUAAAAAAAAUUACAACUACCAUAUGUCAACUCUUUGAAUUCAUACAUAAUAGCAUAUCAUAUUUCAUUUGUUUCACAAAUAUCUCAAUUCUCAUACUUACUAUAUAAAUAGCUUCUCACAUUUGAUUCACAUUUCAUUCAAACAAUGGCAUUAUUAAUUCCAUAUUCAAUUCAUCAGUAUAUAACUCAUAUAUUCCAUGUAUUUAAAACAUAUUUCACAUUUUAUUUUCAAUUCACUAUAUCACUUCCAUUUCUCAUACCAUGUCAUUUCAAUAUCAAUUAUAGAACUUUAUUAUUUAUUUACCCCUAUUAACACGACUCGGACGAAUACACGGAUCCAACCAACAUACCAGUUUGGCACCAAGUGCCUCAUCAGAUAAAUCUGAAGUAAUAACCGCGCCCAACGCUAUAUAAAUUUGACACCCAAUGUCUCAUCAGUUAAACUGAAAUAAAUUGGCACCUAGUGCCUCAUCGACUCGAAGUCAAAGAAAUCCCUGAACUCUUCCUAUCCUAUGGUAUGCCAUUUAUAUCCGACUCAGCCCGAUAUAGUUAAUAGGGUUCCAAUUCACUUUCCAAAUACAACCAAUAAACAAUUAUCAUAUUUGCACAUUAUCACAUUUACAUAUAUAUAUAUAUUCAUAAUAUAUAUAUCAAUUCCAUCCAAUUCAAUUCAAUCCAAUUCAAUUCAAUUCAAUAAUCAAUACAUUCAAUAUGUAUCUACCAUUUCAAUCAAUUAUCAAAUGUCAAUUACUCACCUCAAUACUUACCAUAUACAUUAAAUUGAAUUAUAACAAUUAACAACUAGGUUUAUAGAAAUACAAAUCAGAAAUUCCGAGCUCUUCGACUUUAUAUUUCCCCUUUUUAGUCGAGGAUUCCGAUACGACAUUAGCUACAGAAUUAAAACAAUUAAAAUUCAUCAAUAUAACACAAUUCAAUUUCAUAUUGAAUAUUUCAAAUUUUUACUCAAUAUUUUCCUAUUUUUCAAAUUAGUCCCUAAAGCGAGACUAAUUUUUAUUCUUCACAUUUAAUUCUAUAUUUUCAUACAAAUUCCACUUUAAACUAAAUUUAACUCCAUAUUUUUACUUAAAUCCAUAAAUUUUGAAUUUUUCACAAUUUAAUCUCUAUUACUCAAAAUUUACAAUUUAUUCUUUGAACUUUGAACAAUUUAAAACCCUAGCAUUGCGUCUUUCUCCUUUCUUCUUUCUUUUUUUCUUUUUCUUUCUGGUUCGUAUGGCUUUCUUUCUUUUUUAUUCAAUUCUUUUAAUACUUUUGUUUUAUUAUACAUUAAAUUAUUAUAUAAUACAAUAUAUAUACUUAACAAUAAGAUUUCGUAUUAUAAUAUAAUAUAUAAAUUAAAUUUACAUAUCAUAUAUAUCACUAACCGUUCCACUCAAAAAACAAUGGUAAAAUUUCUUCUUUAGUCCCUUUAAUUAUUCUUUAAUCUAAGAUCUAACUUUCACCCUAUAUGCAAUUUAGUCCUUACACCUAAUUACUCUUAAUUCAAGUAAAUUCACUUAAUCGAAACCUAAUUAACUACACAAAUAGCUUCGUAAGUAUUUAUUAAAAAUGUUUAUGAGUCCGAUUUACGGGAACAGAAUCCCGAGAAUGCACUUUUUUUCAAUUUAGCCCUUUUUAAUUAAUUAACUAUCAAAACAUUAAAAUUUCUUAACGAAACUUUAAUACCACCUUAAUGACACUCCGUAAAUAUUAUAAAUAUUUACUGCUCGGUUUAUAAAAACAAGGUCCCGAUACCUCAUUUUCUAAAACCACUUGAACUUAAUAAAUCACUUAUAUAACAUAAAUUAUCAAAUCAAAAACCUUUUUAAAAAUCACACUUGUCUCGUAAAUAUUAAAUAAUAAUAUUUACGAACUUACUCGUUGGAUUUGGUGGCCCCAAAACCGUUGUUUCUGACACCACUAAAAAAUGGGCUGUUACAAUAUCGUUCGUUUGAACAACUUUCAGUAUAUUCAAUAGACAUUGCUCUUUUGAGCAUGUUCAGUAUAAUUAGUAGAUAUUGCUUGUUUGAGCAACUUUCAAUAUAAUCAGUAGAUAUUGCUCUUUUAAGCACAUUUAGUAUAAUCAGUAGAUAUUGCUUAUUUGAGCAACUUUCAGUAUAAUCAAUAGACAUUAUUCUUUUGAGCACGUUCAAUAUAAUCAGUAGAUAUUGCUCGUUUGAGCAACUUCAGUAUAAUCAGUAGACAUUGCUCUUUUGAGCACGUCCAAUAUAAUCAGAAGAUAUUGCUCGUUUGAGCACAUUCAGUAUAAUAAGUAGAUAUUGCUCAUUUGAGCAUAUUCAGUAUUUAAUCGAUUCACGAUGCUGCUCAUAAGAGCUUCAAAGUGUCCACAACACAUGCAGGACCUCAAGCCAUCGUUACUGUCCAUAUCACCGACUCAAAGCCUGAUUGUAAAUCACCUACCCAAGGCCUGAUAGAUAAUUCGUAUUCCAUUUUCGUUUUCAACAUCAUACCAUUGUACAAUAUAACAUUUUAAAAAAUUAUAUUAACAUAGAAUAUAUAAGAAUUAACAAAAAUAUAAUAAAAGUACGAACUUACAGAAUUGAUUUGUAGUAAGGGCUCACCGUAUCUCAAUCAAUGAUUGACGUAAUAUCAAUUCAUUAUUUCCAUUUUCAAUUACACACAUCAAUAUAAUCUAACAUUAUGAAAUUAGAUUAAUAUAUUACAUUUAAAAAUUGUACUAAAAUUGGACCGAACGAACUUACCAGACUAACUGCAGCAAUAAUGGAAGUUCAGAAACUAUUUAGUAAUUUUCUCUUUUCCUCGAUUAUUAGCUUGUCCUUGAUCAAAAUAAUAAUUUCAUUCAAUUAUAAAUUUCCAGCAACAUAAUUAACUAUUUUAUGCAACUAAAUCCUUUUUGACAUUUUUAUAAAAUUACCCUAACAUUUUACUUUUAUGCAAUUUAGUCCCUAAGCUCAAAACUUGCAAUUUAACUAAUUUUAAUCUAAUUUAAAUUCAGCUGAAUUUUAUAGGGCCCCAUACAACCCAUAAUUUAUGUCAUUUCACAAAAAUUUCCUGUAAUUUUAUCACUUUCACGAUUUAGUCCUUAAACAUUAAAAUUAUCAAAAAUUAAUUUACAAAAUAGUCCUAUUUAACAUUCAAGCUUUAUAAUCUACAAUAAAACUUCAAGAAUAUCCAAAACUCAUCAAUAGCAUAAUCCAUAAUUUUUAAGCAUUUUGAAAACGGAGAAACGGUUUAGCUGGACCUAGUUGCAACGAUCUUAAAAACAUAAAAAUUACAAGAAACCAAUUAAAAUUGGCUUACCAAAUUGAAGGACAAGCUUGGCCGAAGCUUCCUUCACCUCCAACAAUUGUGUUUUGGCUUUUUUGGGAGGAGAAUCAAAGAAAUUACAUUGUAAUUUAGCUUUUAUUUUAAUUAUAAUUCAUUUAUUUACAAAAUUAUUAUUAUAACCUUUUAAUUAUAACGUAUAUAAUUUAUAAAACAUAUCCAUAAAUGUUCGAUAUACAAUUAUAUGGUAUAAAUACCAUCCAAGAAAGGUUUGAUUGCACAAUUAGUCCUUUAAUUGUUUCAAAUUAUUGAUUAAUUAAGUUUUAUUUCAAUUUAACCCUAAACUAAUUAAAACUAAAUGAGAAAUAGCCCAAAAAUUAGUGGAUUUAAUAAUGUCACCACCGCUUGGACUUUUUGACUAUGGUUUAAUCACCAUUUUGGUCUAUUUAGUAGUUUAAAUCCAUAGCAAUUAACUUUUACCUCUUUUACAAUUUAAUUCUUUUACCUUAAUUAAGCAAUUAAUCAUAAAAAUUACCGGACCAAACUUCAAUUCACCUAUAAUAAGACUCUAUAAAUAUUUAAUAAAAAUAUUUUUGCUCUUAAAUUAUAGAAACGAGGUCCUAAUACCUCGUUUUCAAUAACCACUUGACUUUUGAAUCGAACCACCUAUACUAACUUUUAAUUCUGUUAGUUAAAAUCCCUCAAAUUAAAAUUCAAUAUAAAAAUUAUUGUUGACUCAUAUAAUUUAAAUACUAAUUAUACGAACUCACUCAUCAAAUUUGUGGUUUCGAAACUACUGUUUUCAAUUCCACUGAAAAACGGGUUGUUACAAUUGCAAUCACUAAAACAUAAUUGUUUAUGUCCGAUUGGUCCCUCCGCUAUCACAACAAAAGCUCGACUAGAAUGCAUUUGAAUCAGAAGAAAAUUUUAGGACUUUAGGAAUACUUUAAUUGAGUUGAUUUAUUCAAUGUGUAAUUAAAUUAGGUGGUCGUGAGAAUUGUUCAACUAGAGAUGAUGAGUCAUGAAACUAACUAAAAAUACGAUAAAGGCAAGUGCACCUAUUGAUAAAUAGUAUAGCAACGGUGAAUAGAGAUAUCGUAUCCACGAAGACUAAAAGUACUAGUAAUUACGGUUUUCCUAUUAUUUAACUGACAAAUUGGAGUGAUUGGUUUAAGCUAAAAUCUACUAAAUUAAUUAAUUAAAGAACUCAACAAAGAAUAAAACAGGAAAAUAAUUAAAUAAUAACUAAGAAGCUAAACAAUACACAGGAAAAAAUCUACCUAAACUUCAUCUAUCAUUAUAAAUCUGAAUUAAACGAUUUAUUCACUUGGUAUCUUGAUAUGUAGAAAUCCCUAAAUUAUGCUAAUAUCUCUUUCGAGAGUAAAAGCAAUUGGCUCUAGGUUGAUUAAUUGAAAAUUUUUUCUAAUUAAAACCCUUAUUGUCGCAUUAACUUUAUUUAUGAAUCCUCCUAUUAGAUUUGACUCUAAUCCGGUAGAUUUAUAUCAUCCUAUUUCUAGGAUUGCAUGCAACUUCACUCAAUUAUGCUAGAUCUACUCUUAAACAGGGACUUUUCCUCCUCUGAUUUAAUCACAUUAAACAUGUAUUAAUAUUCAGGAAAUAUUAAAAAUAAGAGAUAAGCACACAUAACUGAGUACAAAAAUCAAGUAUUUAUCGUGUAAAAUAGAAAUCAAAUAAUAGAAUUCAUCAUAGGAUUCAUCUUCCCUAGGUAUCUAGAGAUUUAGUUCAUAAUUGUAAAUAAAAAUAUCUCAAAGUCAAUAUAACCACUAGAAAUAAAGAAACUCAUAAAAACUUCAAAGAAAUUAACAGGAGGUUUUCAAUCUUUGAUGGAAAUCUACUUUAGAGUUGGCUUCAAUGGUGUUUUGCGAGUUGUUUUCUUCAAUACACUCUAAUGGCUCCUGAUUCUUUUCUUCUAUUUGGCAUUUAUAGACUUUAGAAUGCCCGAAAAGCCUAAAAAUUAUGUUUUUCAGAGUGUUUGGGAUGCGAAUCGCGAAAUCGACACAGUCUGGCACAUGGCUGUGUGUCCAGCCCGUGUGGCUCCUUAAAUAUGCUCUAUUUGUCCGAUUUUAGCUGAUUUUUUGCUCUCAAAUGUUCUCAUAAGUAUAGAAACAUGAAUUUAAAGGAUUAGGAGCAUAAAAUUCACUAAUUUGCAUAAAUAAUCAUCCAAAAAAGCUUUAAGAACAGGAUUAAAAUAUGUUAUUUUUAUCACUUGUCAAGAGAAUUUGAUUAAAGAAUUUUCUUGAAAAUUUAAUUUGAAAAAUCUAAGUGAUUUUUGGAAAAAUUAAUUUUGAUAAAGUAAAAUUAAAUUAAUCAAAUCAAUUAAAAUUAAUAUGAUAUUUUUGGAAAUUAAUUUUCAAGUCAAACAAUUGGCCCAAUGGGUAAUUGAACUUAAAAAUUGGACCUGAGAUCGUAAAUUGGGUCUAGGAGCUCAAAAUCGAAACCAAUAUCCAAAAAUUGGUCGAACCAGACCUGAUAUGUGAAACUGGACCAACGGUCUAACUGGUGGUUAGACCAAACUGGUCAAAUCGUCAUUGACUCGAACUGAACCAACAGCAGCCGAAUCGACUUAGGGUGCCGUAAGAGUGCUGCACCUGCGUCACCAGACACAACGGUGUUAGUGGCUGCGAUGGCAACGUCCUGGUGGUUGGCGACGGUUGGUCGUCAAUGGUUGAGCAGUGAAAGAGUUACACUCCUAUUGGGACUCUACUAGAGCAUUUGAUUUCAAAAUAAUUAUUCCAAAAAUAAUAUUAUUUUAAUAGUUUAAUAUUAAAUUUAAUUUAAUACUUAUCUAAAUAGUAUUCUAUUAAUUUAAUAUUAAAGUGAUUAUCUUAAUAUUAAAUUUAAUUUAAUGUUUAUCUUGUAGAUAAAUAUUCUAUUAUUUUAAUAAGAUUUAAUAUUAAAUUUAAUCUAAUAUUUAUCUUAAUAAACAUUAUAUUAAUUUAAUAUUAAAGUCAUUAAGUUUAAUCAUAGUUAAACUCUCUAAACUCUCCCUAUAUAAAGAGGGCCUUGAGUCAUUAUUUACACACACUUGAAUUCAAGAGAAAGUUGUAGAGAGAAAAUUCUUUAAAGAGAUUAUUCUAGAAAAUUUAUAGAGAUGUUUUUCUAAUUUACAACUUGACCCAAAAGUUUAGAGAAAUUGCAAAAUUACCUCACUGGUAGGUUUUGUGAAAAUUUUUCUAAUUUGAAGCGAGCCUACACUCGGCAGACGUGAGCUUGAGGAUAGCGUAGAAGACUACUUGGUCGAAGCGCUCAUCCUAGAUGAACCGAAAAGGUAAAAUUUUGAUUAAGUGUUUAUUAUUUUAGAUAUCACAACCAAGAUCUUGUUUUAGAAAAAAAUUAAAACUUUGGUUUUUCCCUAAAUUUAUUUUCCGCAGCAUUUUUCAAACUCGUUUUUUCCAACAUGAGCAUGUAAUCUUUUGUUCUCUGAAGAUAUCUCAUAACCCUAUUGGCUAUUAUCUAAUGGUUCAUACCAAGAUUGCUUAAAUAUCUGCCUAACAAUGUACGCAAUGUCCGAAUGCAUACAUACUUAAGCAUACAUUAGACUCCCCACUCUUGAGACAUAAUGAACCUUGCGCAUUUCUUUAAUCUCAAAAUAAUUAUUAGGGUAUUGGUCGAGACUUAACUUAUUAUUGACAAGCAAUAUGUUAUUAACAUAUAAAACCAAAUAUAGAAUCUUACUCCUGCUGAACUUUUGGUAUAUAAAAUUAUCGACCAAAUUCAUCUCUAAACUAGAUGAGAUAAUCAUUUGGUAAAAUUUGUAAUACUAUUGACGGGAAAUCUGCUUAAACCUAUAGAUGAAGUUCUUUAAUUUGCAAAUUAUUAACUUUGCAUCAUCAGACACAAAAUUUUUUAGUUGCUCCAUAUAAAUGUAUGACCAAUGUUACCAUUGAAAAACCAUUAACUUAACAUUCAUCUGAUGCAGUUUAAAGUCAAAAUAAUUCACUAAAGCCAUUAUAACCUUUUCUUUAGUGGACCUUCUUAAUGACAUUUGUUUUUGAGGCUGUUGAGUUUGUUCUUCUAGAACAAUUACCUCAUCUUGAAUAGGGAGUUAUUCAAUAGUGUCUUAUUGAGGUUCUAGAUUCACUUCUUGAUCAAUGAUAGGUAUGAGAACCUGAACAUUGUCAAAAGUGAUAACAGUAACUAAGUUAAAAUCCAAUUCAUCCUCAAAAGUAACAUCUCUAACCUUAUUUCUCCUCCCAAACUCAACAUCCCCAAAAAUGGUGCAGUUUUCAUAUAAAAAUAUUCCUAAUUAUGGUUGUCUUUAGAGGCACUGUCCAAAUGAACACUUUCAGCCUUAUCAUAUUUCAACCUUUCUUCCUCUUGCACACAAUGAGAAAUGGGUUCAUUUAGAGUCCAUUGCUCCUUUUGACAGUUGUAACUAAUUUUAAAAUGGUUAAAAUAAGCAAGAAGCAAUACCAAAACCAUAAGAACAAACAAUUCCUUAAAAAGCUUGAUUUUAAGUACCUUAAGUCUUGAAGCAACAUGGAACAUCUCCAUAAUGUACUCCCUCAUGUUUCAUUGACUCAUAUACUUCAUAAACAUCAAAGAAGUCAGAAGUGAUGUCAUCUCAACCUUAUCAUUUUUAACAAUUUCUCAAUUUCAUCAAGGAAACCCUUGGCCUGAGUAAUCUCUUCAGAUUUUGUGCCCCUAAAGGCUUCUGGAAUGUUGGGCUUCAUGAUCAUUAGACUCAUGCGAUUUGAAUGAUCCCACAUCUCAAAAUAGCUUUUAGUAUCAGGAGGCUUUCCGUAUUGAGAGGUGCGGGUUGUUCUUCCCUUAGUGCAAUACCUAUGUCUAUAUAACCAAGCACUAUAAGUUCCUUUUCAAUUCCUUGAAAUUAGUCCCAUUAAGCAUGGGUAUAGAAUUUAUAUUAGCAGAUAUUAUGGCAGCAUAAGAUGAACUAGUUAAAUAUGGAACAAAAUAGAUAAAAACAAGCUCACAUGAAUAUUCAUAUCCAUAAGUAAACAAUAAAUUCAAAAUAGUGGCUUCAAUUCCAAGAUGCCGAACACCAUUAAUAUCAAGUCUUUGGACAAUAAUAUUAAAAGGAAGCGUUACUCUUUUUGUAGCAAUCAAACAUUAACAAUAAAUUAUGUCAAACAAUGAAUCAAUUUUUGGACUAACUUAUUGCUCACAUAAAAUACCUAAUAAUUGUCACACAUUUAUCACCACAGAUGUGUUGAAAUUCUACCAAAUAUUAACUUACCUUUGGUUCAAUUAAUAAACUCAUGAAUCACAAAAACAUAUAAUCAUCUUGAUAUUUUAAAUAAACUAAUCUACGUAAAAGAUGUCACUUUGGUGGCAUUUUGUUUCAACUAAUCUAUUUAAAAUAUUAGACAUCCUCAAUUAAAUCCUAAAGCCAAAAUCUAAAUUUAUUUGUUUCAAAAUAUUUCAAAUUUAAACCAAAAUAAUUUGAAUAAAGAUAAAUCUCAUCUCAAUAUAUCAGACACUUCAUUAAUAUUUCAUCUUUGGAUAAAAUAUUAACUUGUAAGUGAUAUCUGAGUAUAGUAGUCAAACACUGACAAUUAGAAAUUAUUUUUUAUUUUAAUUACUUGUAUUUUUAGCUUGUAAAUAGGCUUAGCUAACCACUCAUAUCAUCAUAGGGUGAAAUAUAUUUUUCAUGUGAAAUUGUGUUAAUUUUUUGUGAGAUGUAAAGAGUAUUUUGAGGAUUAACGUGAUUUGACUCAUAGGUUUUUUAAGUUUAUUACUUUCUAAGUGUUUCGAAACUUCAAGGUUUUCAACAUGAAAGAACUGAGUAAUAUUUGCUAGAAAGUUGAGCAAUGCCAAAAAUAGUGAUACAAUCAAUACCAAUUGCUUUAGGCGCUGAUGAAGAACAAAGAUGAACACAAUAAUAUGUUUACGCAGUUUGAUUUUCCUCGUACAAGUGAUUACAAGUUCUGGCCCUUAUCAUAUUAGCAAUCUCAUUAUUGCACUUAAGAUUUGUAUCACUCUCCUCUAAGUUUUUAGGAACUUAGACUGAAAACAAAGUAAUUAACUUAUUUUUAAACUCAAUGCACUUACGAUUACAAGUUCUUUAUUUAACAAAUAAGUGCUAAAAUUCUUUGUACAAAACCUAUACAAAUCUCAAGUGUAUAAACUAAUUUCGAUUUGCUAACAUACUAGAUCAAUUACAAUCAAUCUCUCCCAUUAAACUAGCAGGAUAAUAAGCUCAGCGAAUAUCUUCAAUAAGUCCAAGAUAAGUCUUCAAUAUUCAAAAUCUAAUCAAAUCUCUACAAAACAGGGAAGUCAAUUUGCUUGAUCUAAUCCAAACCAAUCUUUAAGAUGUGUUCGUAUAACAGGUUUGGAUAUCGUAAAUGAGCUUACACACGUCCAACCUAUAACAGAUCUGGAUAUCAUAAAUGGGCUUGCACAUGUCCAACCUAUAACAGAUCACUCUUAUUUCUUUGCAUUUAAUGCUCACACUUGACAACACACACCUAUUAGAAGUUCACCAAUUAUUUGUUAUUUCUCCUUGCAUUUUAAAGAGUGUAGUUAAGGGUUUUUUAGAUAUAAAACCAUAAGGAAUUAGAUAAGUUCCAAUUGAGCCUUUAUAAAAGUUAAAGGGUUUUUGCUAAGAUAUAAAAAUUAGCAGAAAAGUUUUAUAUUAGACUUAUUAAAAAAUAUAGGGAUUGUAAACAAUAAUACAUUUUUCUUAGAGUACCAAGGUAGUGGAGGUAGACAAUUAAGGAUGAACCACUAUAAAUUGAUUGUCCAAUAUUUUCUUUCUUUUUAACUCUUUUAUUUUAGAAAACUUUAUUGAAAUUUUAAAAUAAUAAUUCAUCUUUCUUAGUAUUUUUAGGCCUAUCAAAAUAUAUGAAGAAACUAAUUAAUUUUUAAUAAUUUUGCAAGGGUUUAAUUAAUUUUUUCUAUAUUUUCCAAUGAGUUUUUUUAACAUUUAAGCCUAAAAUUUUUAAAAAUGAUUAAACAUUAUGAAAAUGAUUUUAAAAUUUAAAAUUUAUUGCAAAUUUUUUAAGAAUUACAAAAAGUUAUAAAAAUUAAAAUUAUAAAAUUUAUCAAAAAUAAAAAAUGUUUAUAAAAAAUUAAUAUUUUAAAAAAUAAAAAAUGUUUAUAAAAAAUUAAUAUUUUAAAAAAUAAAAUAAAUAUAAAUAAGUAUAGAUACUUGUUUUAUUUUACAAGAGUUUUUGGUUUCAAUAAUAAAAAAAUGAAAAGAAUGAAAUGGGAUAUCAAUCAGUCUUACGUGUAUCGUAGACCUGUCCAUGGGCCGGGCCGGGCCGGGUUCAGGCUGGGCCCAGAAAAAAUUUUCGGCCCGACUCUUAGGCCCGGGCCCAGCCCGGCCCAAAAUAUGGGCCUAAAAUUUUGCCCAGGCCCGGCCCGGGAAAAAAAGAAUAAGCCCGACCCGGCCCGGCCCGAUUUUUAAUAAACACAAAAAAAUAUUUUAAAAAUAAAAAAAUAAAAAAAGUUUUAAAGUAUUUUAAAAUUAAAAAAUAAAAAUAAAAAAUAUAUAUUUAUUAUAUUCGGGCCGGGCCGGGCCGGGCUCGGGCUAAAAAAGUUGAGCCCAAGCCCAUAUUUCGGGCCUAUAUUUUUACCCGAACCCUCCCAUAGGCCCAUGGACAGGUCUAGUGUAUCGAUCAGUCUUACGUGGAGAGUUGAGUGAGAGGUUUGAAUGAUGAUGUGCUUAGUGCUUGGAACAAUUGUUAUGGUUGAGGAAUUGUGAUUCAAUUGAGGUCUAUGAAUUAGAGCUGCUCAGGGGUUGGGCCGGGCCCAGAAAAAAAUUUCGGCCCGGGCCCGGCCCGGCCCGAAAUAUGGGCCUAGAAUUUUACCCAAGCCCGGCCCGAGAAAAAAUUCAUAAGCCCGGGCCCGGCCCGUUUUUUAAAUAAAUACCAAAAAUUUAUUUUAAAAAUUAAAAAAUUUAUUUUAAAAAUAUUUUAAAAUAAAAAAAAAAUAAAAAAGUAUUUUAAAAAUAUUUUAAAAUUAAAAUUUUUUUUAAAAAAGUAUUUUAAAAAUAAAAAAAUAAAAAAAUUAUUAUAUUCGGGCCAGGCCGGGCCGGCCCGGGCCAAAAAAGUGGUGCCCGAGGCCCGGCCCAUUUUUUAAUCGUGCCUUAUUUUUUUUGCCCAAGCCCAUAUUUCGGGCCUAUAUUUUUACCCAAACCCUCCCAUAUUUUGGGCGGACCGUCAGGCCGGGCCGGGCCGCCCGGCCCAUGAGCACCUCUACUAUGAAUCAUGAUUUGUAUCAAAUUAAGUACAAUUUUUGAAGGAUGGACUUAAUUGAUUUUUUAAUUAUUUUCAAAAGGCUUACUUGACAUUUUAACCAAUAAUAAUAAUAAUAAUAAUAAUAAUUAAAGUUGAAACAUUUUAUUGACAAAUUAUAAAAAUCUGUCCAUUGUUUUUGAUUUUCUCUCACAGAUCCAUCCUUCCGUCCCUUGGAAAUACAAAGGACUUCUCUGCUAUUCUCAAUUUUUAUCCUAAAACGCUUAAAAAAAAAAACCAACUAAAAAGAUGGCGAGGAGACCGGACGAGGAAUACGAUUACUUGUUUAAGGUAGUGCUAAUCGGCGAUUCUGGUGUUGGAAAAUCUAAUUUGCUUUCUCGAUUUACUCGGAACGAGUUUUGCUUAGAAUCUAAAUCUACCAUCGGCGUCGAAUUCGCCACCCGCACUCUCCAAGUAAUAAAUCUCCCCUUUUUCUGCUCUUUUUUUUCGUUAAUUUAUUUGUAUAUCUGUAAUGAAGUGUAAUUUUGGUUUACUUUGGAUGCUUGGAUUUAGAUCAAUUAUUUCCCGUUCUUAACGUGCGGUAGAUCUGAUUCGUUCGUUGUUUAAUCGUUCUUUUUAAUUUGAAUUUCAACUGCUUUACUUUCAAAAAAAAAAAAAUUUCUCCAGUUUUUUCUUGAAUGUAUGAUAUUUUAGAUUGAGCCAAUCAGUGAUAUAGUAUUUGAAAGAAAAUGGAGUUCACUCCUGAUUUUGAUAAUCUUUAGUAUUGAAUUGUGUUGAAGCUAUGUGAGACAUGAAUAAAUAUGUAAAAAUUUUCUUUGAUUGUGAAGGAUUUGAUAGACGCCUAUUUGGCGGUGGAUUUGAAAUAACUAUAUAUCAUUAAAUAUUUGUUAAUUAACUGAAAUGAAAUUAGGUGGUUAUCUAUUAAAAUAUAUGUAGUUCAUUUGCACGAUCUCAUCAGUUCGGACAUUUGAAUCAAGUUUGAAUUUUAGAGUCUAUUUGAAUCCGCUCCCGGCCCGAACAGAACUAAUCCUAGAUUACAAAACGAAUGAUGAUACUUGUGGUUAUACCUAAAAAAAAAAGGUUGUGGCUGCCAUCGGAUUAGGUGGCCGCUGGUGAGUUUAGUCAUGAGUUAUCAGCCCUUAUAGGGGAUGAUUAAAGGGCAACAGGUUCCUGGCUAUGCCAAUCCAUAUUUCUUGAUGGAAAAUGUGCGAGUUUUCUUGGUUAACUGAUAUUUAUGACUAAAGGGUAUCUUUUUAAUACCAAAAAUGUUGAAUGGUGGAAUAAGAUAUUAGCUAAAUUUAAUUAUUAUAAAUAGACAUUUUAGUUCUCGUAUGAAAAUAACUGUAAAAGCUGAAAAAUAAUACAUUGUUAUUUGUACUAACUUGGCUGUUAUGAUCAAACAAGGUUGGAAAUGUUCAUCUAAAUCCAAAGUCGCAACCUUUUAAGAGCUGAGUUGCACACAUGUCAUGUUAUUUCGCUCAGUCUACUUGAUGGCCUACCUUGUUACAACUAAUCUAACAUAAAGAAGUUUAGAUUUUAGUCUUUUUGUUUCUCUCUUGUCGGAAAUGACUGAAAAUGUGGAGUUGGUCUUUUUUACAGAGAGAAUAUAGCUAAUGUCCAUUUCUUGGAGAAAGCCUCGAAUGCGUUUCUGGUCUCUCUGUUUGCCUUUUCCCCUGCGUGUUAGGCAUGAGAAAUACGGUUACGGGUCUGGUUGUUAUAAGUUAAAUGUUCUUAAUACAGCUUCUUUCAGGUUGAAGGGAGGACUGUGAAAGCUCAGAUAUGGGACACUGCUGGUCAGGAACGGUACAGAGCAAUAACCAGUGCUUACUAUAGAGGUGCUCUUGGAGCUCUUCUGGUGUACGAUAUUACCAAGCCAACGACUUUUGAAAAUGUGAGCCGAUGGCUGAAAGAACUCAGGGACCAUGCAGAUUCUAACAUUGUAAUUAUGAUGAUUGGGAACAAGACUGAUCUGAAGCAUCUCCGAGCAGUUGCCACAGAGGAUGGUCAAAGCUAUGCCGAGAAAGAAGGCCUUUCAUUUAUUCAGACAUCUGCACUAGAAGCAAUAAAUGUUGAGAAGGCUUUCCAGACCAUUCUGUCUGAAAUAUACCGCAAAAUUAGUAAGAAGUCACUUUCUUCAGAUGAGCCAGCACCAGCAAGUAUUAAAGAAGGGAAGACCAUUGAUGUUGGAGCACCCGAAGCCAACACCAAGAAGGCUUGCUGCUCAUCAUCUUGAACAUGUUACAAUUUUCAUUCCUUUCUUUUGUGUAAUCAAUGUGUUGUAUUGUCAAGACAUUCUUGUUGUUUCUAUUACGUUAUUUUGUAUCAUUACAAACAUUUGAAUUAUUCAUGUUCUUGUGUUGUUGCAAGUUAUUGAUUAUUUUGACAUGGCUGUAAUUACCAUCUCCUCUGUUAAUGAUCUUAAGGGGGGUAAUAAUUUUCGACUGUUUCAGAUACCGGGAUUUUAUCAUCAUUUUUGUGAAGGCUUACAGGUUAAACAUUGAAGGUAUUGCACCCACUAAUCCUCAGUUUUGUCACUCAUGCAUUUCCUGUGGUUUGAAUCUUUUUGUCCUCGUGAACACCAGAAUAUCAGGAAUUACUAAUAAUGGUUCCUGCACUCAAGUUCAGUACUUCCAACAUUUUGUUUUUCAGCAAAUACGGUAUAUAAUCUAACGAAAAUAUAAGAUACAGAGGAACAUGCAUUGGUACUUCAACUUACACAGAAAAAGUUCAAGUAGGCAGCAUUUUAGUUUCUGAAACAUUCAUAUGAUAUGCAACAUGUUUACGAUCUAAAAGAGUUCCGGCUACUAGCCACAGCAAUUGUUCUUCUGUUCGAUCGGUUGUCCCUUCAUUUGAACAGUUCCGGCUGACUUGUUCCCAGUUGGCUGGUUACCCAUUCUACAUAAAAUUGGAUAGAAAACCAGAUAGGUAAACUUCGUAAUUAAAUAUAUGACAUAUAAAAGAACUAGAAAUAAAUAGAAAGUGGAGAUUUUAGACAAUAAAUAAUGUAAACAUCUUAUGAACGUCUGGUGAACUCCAGACUAAGCUAGCAAUGUGAAAUCAAUUAUCAGAAGCAUGAUCAUUACAUUAAAUACUCUGUGGUGCAUUACGAACCUAUUGGUGGGUGACCAUGACAAUUGUGACAUCUUACCAUAAACAACAUUCAUUUAAUAGCAAAUAGGUAAAAAGAUUAUGGAUUUUGAAAGGAAAAAAAAAAAGGAAAAGUACGACAGAGUGGAACUCAUUGUACUUUUUCUUAAUCUCGCCAGCCAUGGUUAAGAAAGCCUGCUCCACAUUGAUUGAAUCUUUAGCACUUGUCUCCAGGAAAGGAAUCCCAAUUUCAUCUGCAAAUGCCUGUAGUUCAAUGAAGAACAGAAUUGCAAAUUAAUAAAAUUAUGAUUUCCUGCAGUAAAUUAUAUUUAAUCACCAGCUGUAGAUUACAGUAGUGUAACCAAACUGUUAUCUUAUCCAUUCAUAACCAGCGAGAAAUUUCAAGAGGACCAAAAGCAUCUAGAAAUCUCAAAGAGAUUAAAAACCUUCAAGGAACACCCCGGGUAAACAAGACAAUUAACUGAUGAUAACUGUCCCAACAUAAAAAAUAACAAAACAAACCUUCGCUGUCUGCGUGUCGACAACCUUGUUCUCAACUAAAUCACAUUUGUUCCCAACCAGAAGCUUACAUACACUGUCAUUAGCAUAUCUGUCAAUCUCGUUCAACCACUGCUUGACAUUGUUGAAGCUCUCCAUCUCGGUAACAUCAUAGACGACCUGUUGUAAUACCAACAAAAGGAUUCUGAGACACUUAACAGGGUCAGAUAUGAAAUAAGAAAGUAAAAUGUUUAACAAUAAAAAUAUAUGUUCUAUGUUCUUUGACAUGCUAGGAUUUGAUUUUGACAAUUUUUUUUUUAUAAAUUUCAGGGUGUUCAAACAGCAGUAUGGACUUAUAUUCACCUAGCUGACCAAUGGAAUCAGUAAAUGGGAGGCAAUUAGCAAGAGCUACAGUGAACAUUUCUGUCACACAUUCCUGAUUGGAAAUAAAUUUACACACCCAAAAUAGAAAAUUCAAAACAGCAGUAAAAAGCCAAUAAUAUGUAUGUUUAGUAAAGCAGGCUCCUCCUCUUUCACCAAGUUGAGAAUUUAUAAAUAAGGUAGUUUUGGGCUCACAUUACAAUUAGCAUGACGCAAGAACAUCCAGAAUAUUGACUGCAAGUUAAUUAUAUUUGCAAGAAAGAAAAUGGAUAUCAAUUAGCAGAUAACCUGAUGGUCAUAUUUUCUUGAAACACAUCCCAAUACCCACCCUGAAGGUCUAGUUGGGAUAAAAUUUUAUGAUCUGAGAUCAAUCAGGUUCAGUUUCUUACUAUUAUCCCAUGAGCUCCUCGGUAGUAGCUGCUAGUAAUAGUCCGAAAACGCUCCUGUCCAGCAGUAUCCCACUAAAAGAAACAAGAGCAAAAUGUUACACAUUAAUAGAGAGCCAGUGAGAAAGGGGGAAAAACUUUUAGAGGAAAGUGAUGCAUGGCUCUUCCGUCACUAAUUUCUCCCAACAUUAGACAGCCAUGGUCAAACGUAAGAAAAGUAAUUAAAUUGGAUUAACUAAACAAACUUGUCCUACAAACACCUUCUUAAUGGCCACAACUAACAACUCCUGCAUCAGUUAUACAACUAAAGUCUCCAUUUCUGGGGUGAAAGUACUUGUGAAAUCCCUCUAUUAUAGGGACUAGACCAAAUUAAUCCCUAUACUAUUAAAUGGAUCAAUUUAAUCCCUGUACUGUUAAAAAGAAUCAAAUAAGGCCAAUUGCAAUAAAGUUAACAUUUACUGUUAAAAACAUAACAUGAAAAUUAUUUUUUAUCAUUUGCAAUUCAACUCCGGACAAAAUAUUUCAUUUGCAGAACCAUAAAAAGCUUUCAAAAUAGUAACUUUGUUAACAGUAAAUAACAAUUUCUAACAAUAAAUGUUAACUCUAUUGAAAUUUGGACUUAUUUGAUUUUUUUUAAUAGUACAAGGACUAAAUUGAUCAAUUUAACAAUAGAGAGACUAAUUUGAUCCAAUCCCUAUAAUAGAGGAACCCGCUAGGUACAUUCACCCCAAUUCCGGUGUAUCAAAAAUAAGUCAUUAGAUUAUGCAAGCCCUUCUUGGUAGGAAAUUGAUAUAUGGCACUAUCUUCUCUCAAUCAUUUACAACUAAACCAUCUAUAUAUAAAGCCAAACACUAGUAGCAGCCUUUAUUGACAGUUGGGUCAUAUACUCGUAUUCUUCUACCAAGACAAUAAUUUGACACGGGACUCUCGCAAGCCCAUAUGGCUUUCCUACAUGACAACAAAAUUAUAUAGGGUUGUAAAUUUAGCGACAUUCAAAAUUUUUUUGACCAUAAAUAACUUUGAAAGAAUGAAAAUAUCAGCUUAAAUUAAAGAAGAUUGGAAAUGCAUUGUAAUUGGCUUUGAAAAGUAAAUUACAUUUAGUAAAGAAACAUAUUAUACUCACAAUUUGCAGCUUGAUUGUCUUGCCGUCCAACUCCACUGUUCUGAUUUUCUGAAUAUAAACAAUUAGGUAAAUUAAUUUUCACAUUUUUAGCAGAUGAAAGUAUGAAACAACUUCCAUUAAAAAUAUUUGUCCAGCAACGAAAAAAAAACUCACGAAAUCAACACCGAUGGUACUGAUGUAGCUAUCCACAUAAGAAUCAUCCUGGGAAAAAAACAACGUAAAAAACACUUAAAAUUCAUAACCCUAAUUACUCUAACAUUAACCUUAAAAUCAAGUUCAUUACUCAUUCUUCUUCUUAAUUUACAACAAGAAAGAGGGGAAAGCCCAAAAGGCCAAAACCAAACCGACAAUGUAAAAAAUCGAAAAUAACAACUGAAAAGCAAUCUAAAGAAUAGUAAGAAAUUAAAAUUUACAGCAAAUCUGAGAAGCAAGCAGGAUUUUCCGACGGAGGAAUCGCCGAUAAGCAGAAGCUUGAACAGAUAAUCACUAAAAACCAACAAGAAAGAAAAGUUUUGAAAUGAAAUGUGAGUAGUAAUAUAUGGAAAAAUUACUGAUAAAUGGAAAGAGAAAAGGGAAGAGGAAAUGGUGGACUCACUAUUCGUUACUCAUGAUUGAAUCGAAAAGGGGAAAUUUUUUGAAACAAUUUCAGAGAAAGAGGAAGGGAAAGCUUUGGCCGUCACUCUAUCCCCUUCUUAUUGUAGACAAAUUAAAUAUUAAAUAUUCUUAUUUUUAUUAUAUAAGGGUAAUAAAACGUUCCAAAGGCUUUGAAAGCCUUCCAACAAAUUAUUAUAUACGGACACCCAUAAUCUGUAUGGUAAAGAUUACCUAUGCUAGUAUCUAUAAUUUUUCCUAAAUUGGCAUCAUACUCCCAUGCAAUUCAUACUCGAAUCAGGUAAGUCAUUCAUUCGUGAAUUUAAUCAGUUUCACGGGUCUAACUCAUUUAUAAGAUUCGAUUUAAUAAAUUAUUACAAAAUUUAUAAAAAUAAAAUAAUAUUUCAAAAAUAAAAAAAUAGUUUUAUUAUCGUUUCAAUCAAUUUAUGAGUUAAUCGAUCUGAUACCUCUCUUAAACUGGUUUCUCAACUGAUUUAAUAAAUAUGAUAGACCGAUUCGAUCUUGUUCAAACAACCAUACCUUCAAUUGAAUUCUAACCCAAUAGAGAAUUUAUAAAAAAAUCUCUCAUUUUUACAAAGUAAUAAAUAAUAUUUUGAGAGCAAUUUUAUUUUUUCAUAUAAACAAAAAAAAUAUUUACGCAUAAUAAAAUUUAAACCUAAAAUAUUAACUGCACGUUUGGUUCGCUGUAAUGGAAUAGAGGCGUAAUAGCAAUUCAAUUGUUUGGUUGAAUGCAAUGGAAUAGAGGCGUAAUAGUAUUCUUGUGUUUGGUUGAAUGGAAUAGAGGCGUAAUAGCAUAAGAAAAAAAUUAAAAUGACUAAAAUACCCUUAACAGAAUUUUUUUUAGGUAGAUGAUUUAUUGUUAUUGUUAUUAAAUUUUAAUAAGAUUAUUAAUAUAAAUAAUAAAUAAUUUAAUAAUAAUUUAAAUUAUUAAUAUAAUUUAAUAAAAAAUAUAUAAUUUAAUAAAAUUCUUAAUAUAAUUAUUCUUAUAUUAAUUUACUAAAAUCAUAAUAUAUAAUAAUAUAAAAAAAUAUUUAAUCUCAUUUAUUAUUUUUAAACCGAAAUACAAAUUUAAUGUGCUAAAACAUCAUUAGUGAAUCAAAUAAUUUAAUUAUUCUACAAAAAAAUUAAAAGUAAUAAAUAACUUGAAAAUUAUAUUUUGCAUAAAUAUAAUAUUCAAAUAUUAACAAACAUACCCUAAAUUAAAUUUCAUGUAUAAUUUUAAAAUUUACCCCAAAGAUUUAGUAUACUUCUUGACUUGAACUUAACAAUUAAGUUUAUUUUAGUACUUGUAUAUUUUUUGUCCACUUUAAUAAUUGAACUUGACAAUUAGAUAUAUUUUAAUAUUUGAACUUGAAAUAUAUAAAAUUUUAUUGACAUAACACUUUAAUAAUUGAACUUGACAAUUAGAUAUAUUUUAAUCUUUGAACUUGAAAUAUAUAAAAUUUUAUUGACAUAACACUUUAAGAUUGUCUCACAUCAUUAAAUUUGGACGGAAUAUAAAUUCAUAGUCAAAAUAGACCUACUUGUAAAGUUAGAUACUAAAGUAGACCCCAACAACAUAUAAGUAUCAAAACGAAACUAGCUCACAAAGCGAAACUUCUUAUGAAAGAAGAUAAACAAAUUGUGCUACUUGAAGGGAACAACACUGGCACUGGAAAAACAUUCCGUGGUUGAGGACAUAAAAUCUCUUAAGCACUGCGUCCAGGUUAUGAGCUACUCACAGCAACACAGAUCGCUGAGAAAUAGUGUGCCAAAUUACCUUUUGUAUCUCUUCUUGCAACCACAUGGACAAGGAGCAUUACGGCUCAUUUCUCCACUCUUUACCAUAUUAAACUUGGCAAGAUCCAAUGGUGUUGAACCCAUUAGCUUUUGCACCUGCAAAAGAAAAAAAAAUAAAACGAAUGACAUUUCCAAUGGAGAAAGAGAGAGAUGCAUAAACUAAUACUUGUCAUUGAUGUUUUAAACUGUGGGAGAAACAUUCAUCCGAACUCAAAUGCGAAUUUCAGCAACUGAAGAUGAAUGAAGGCAGACAUCUCAGUCUUUUAAGCAAUCUGGCAUUGAACAAAAAAAGCAUAACGUAGAUCAGCAGACCAAACAUCUGUAACUCUAUGUUAGUUCGACUCUUUCUUUUCCUUUAUGCAUCCAUGUUUGAUGCAAGCGUGGGACGAGAAUGAAUAUAGGGAGAUAAUCCUCUAAAAAUCCUCCAAAUACAUUAAAAAACUUGGACAAAAAAUGAACAUAACACACCCGUGUCAAACAUAUAUAUCAGACACUCAAACUAACUCCCCUACCUUCUUAGACAAAUAUCUUACUUGUCUUUCAAAUAGCUCAUCCUACAUUCAACAUCAUAUUCACCGAGUAGCAGCCAAAAGACAAAAAUACAUUAACUUAGAGAAUUUAAGAUCAGACAAAUUGAGCAAUAAGCAUAAAUACACUAGCUCAUACAUUUGUAUCAUUCAACAUAUGAUCAGCAAAAACAUAACUGAAAAAAACCAGUGGUGAACCUACCUCAGCAAAGUUCUUUGGCAUCGGCUUGCCUUCCUCUUUCAGCGUAACCAUCUUCUUAUGAACUUCUUUAGCCCAUGUGAACUUCGCAAGCGCAUUCUCAACAUCUAAUAAGGUACAUCUAAUAAGUUAGAUGUUAUCCCUUUCUCACUCUUAAAGUCACACUUUAUGACAGCAUGCUCAUUUGUGCCUUUGAACGAGUUACGAGCUUAUUACAUAAUUAACAAGAUCGAACAACAAUCACCAUUAACAUAAACAGAAUUCUACAAACAACUACCCCUUACACUAGCUCUUGAUUGCAAAAAAACAUAAUAUCCAUCUUAUAGACCAUAGUAUGAAGCAGGAGCAAGUUAAUUUCCCAUUUCCAACUUGUAAGGUGCUCUUGUACUCUUCAUUUUUCCAAAAAUAACCGUAUCGGAAACUUGUAUUUCAAGCAAUGUUCAACAGAUUCUUGGGCAUGGAUAUGACAUUAAUAUAUUCCAAAGAUUCCCAAAUACAUAAAAGAAUACACUUAUGAAGCAUACAUACACAUAUCUUACAAAAACACCUGAGUCCAAUUAACAUUACCUCCAAAUUUAUGUAAAACUUAAAUGAGAAAACUCGAACCCAUAUCCAACAUUCAUCAGCAGCAACAUAGCCGACAAAACAAAAAUAAUUAUUUAUAGAGCUACUAUCCAACGAGCUAAAACAGACAAACAGAGGUAUAUUUUAACAAUGAAAAUAAUCGAUUGCCUUAAACACCAUAUAGUGUUCCAAUCAAUCAAAUUACAGCAGGCAUUAAAACCUUUCCUUUUCGUUAAUUCACAACUAUUAGCUUCAUUAAUCAAAUCCUAUGUACAGUUGAUCGAUUGAAAGUGUAAAAUUUCAAAGACGAAAUUUAAACACAAAACUGGUUAACAUUGAAAUUACAUGUAAAUAUAACCUAAAAAACCAAAAAAUUAAUCAUAUUUUCAGAUUUCAGGCCGAAAUGGAAUGAAAUGAAAGGCAAAUCCAUUUUUUCCCCAAAAAAACAAAAAUAAAGAAACAAUAUUUCAAGAACAGAUCAUUAAAUUCAUGGUAUAUAUAAAGAAAUUUAUUUGAAAUCAAAGGAAUAGAAGAAGGGAGAAGCGUACUUGGGAACCAUUGCUGCUACUCUCUGUUACUCUGUUACCUCAUACAAUUCGUAAUUGAAGGCCUUGUUGAGGGUUGUUAGGGUUUGUUAAAGGGUUGGUCAGGAUAGAAGCAUGAAAAGGAGGGAGAAGGUUGGAAGGAAAUGGAAAGAAAAAUGAAAAAAAGAAAAGAUGCUACAACGGCUUGGGAGGGUAAAAGAGGACCGAUUAGGUAAUCCUUUCUUUUGAAAGGGAUUACAAAUCGGCGCUGCAUAAGGGAAAAUGGGGAAUCCGUGCGCAGCGUAAUAGGCCCGUAUUAGGGCAAUACAUCCAACCAAACAAGGUAAUCGGUGGGGCCACAGAUUAAAAAAAUUUUAAAUUUGUUACAUAAAUUCUAUAAUCUAGUACUUAAAAAGAUUAUAUAAGAAUUAAGUUUUUGCUUAAAAGAUAAAAUUAACAUUUUAAAAAUCAUAAUUUUUUUUUCAAAUACGAUGGUUCUUUUAUUGAUUUUAAAGUUUUAUUUUUACUCAAACAAUCAUCAUUUCCUAGAAUACUUUUUUUUUUAAACAUACUGUUGUCGAUUUUAGUGAGAAUGUUUACACAAUCAAAAUUUUCAUGCUCCGUUGGAAUCAGAAUAAUUAUUAUGAAAUGAUUACAGCAUAUUAACACUUGUUGGUGUCAACUGUCAAGCUCCUUUUUAAAAUAUUUAAUAUUUAAAUGGUAAAAAUAUAAUUUAAUUUUUUAACGAAUGAAUAUAAAAUUUAACCUUAAAUUAAACAUAUAUUUGUGUCGAGUUUUAAAUAAUAAUUUGUUAAAGUAAUUUAACUAAUCUGAAUAAAUUUUAAUAAAAAUUUAAAUGGACCUGAACACUCAUUUAAAAUCCUAAUAAAAUUCUAAUUUUUUUGGAUAAAAUAAUCAUACAUAAAAUAUUAAUAGCAUCCAGCAUCAUAAAUUCAUGGAUAAAGAUUAUCAAAAUAUAAAAAAGCAAAAUAUCCAUACUAUCAUGUAACUAACUAGCUAAAUAGUGCGAAACUGAAUUACCAAUACAAUUAACAUAUGGAAGGAAAUAGUGGUAAGACAACUAAUGAUGUUAUAAGCCUCUAAAAUGUGCACACCAUGGAUUCACCCUCCAUCACAACCUCAUAACAAAAUACAUUAGUUAAAAACAAUAAUUAAAAAAUAUCAUCAAAAUAUUAAUUAAAAAUAAAAAAAAUUAAAACAAUAUGAAAUAAAAAAUACAUUAAUAUGCUUAUAAAAAUAAUGGAUCCUCAUACUCAAUGAUGUAAUUGCAAUUAUCUAACUAUCUAACCAAAAAAUUAAUAUGUUAAAAAAAUUAAUUAAAAUUUUUAAAAAGCUUAAAGCAGCAUGAAAUAAAAAAAAAUACAAAUGUGUAUAAGAGAAGAAUCAAACCCAAGACUUAAGGAUAAUAGCAUUAACAUCUAACCAUUUAGCCAAAGCCAAAAGCACAUUCAAUUAGAAGCGUUUUUUGCCAUAUCCAUUGAAUCGACUAAUCCGGGAAUUAUGAUUGAAAAUCAACAUUUUAGGGUAAUUCACCCCAAUUCCAUUAUUCUCAUUUAAUAUUAAAUGCACAUGAUUGGGUACUGAAAAUUACAUUUUCACCUUUUUCUCGACAUAAUUAAUUUAUUUACAAUAUAAUCCUUAUGCUAUCAAAUUUUUUCAAUUUGAUCUCAAAAGUGAUUUUUAUUACGCUAAUAUAUAAUCUAAUUUAUUCUCAUACCAAUUAGUGACUAAUAAUUCACAUUUUCCCAUUUUGAUCAAAUUUACACUUUAUUCCUCAAACUUUUUAAAAUGUACAAUUUAAUCCUUUUUACCACAUUCUCCCUCUUAAAAUUCUUUUUAUUAUUUCCCAUUCUCCCCUUAAAAAAUUUCAUUCUCAAAAUUUCAUCCAGAAAGUCACCGAGUAACUCUCUUGAUGCACUGAUUCUUUUUCCAUAAUUUCUUAUUACUUGCUUAAGGCAUCAAUUCUAAUUUCUUCUUAUUUCCUUGUCAAUACAUACGAUCUUAAUCCCAAUAGUUAUUGGAUUGUGCUAAUAGUUAAUCCAUUAAAACAAAUAAAGACUUGCAGUGAAUCCAAAACAUACAGGAAUGAGUUUUAGAUUUCGUAUCACAAGUUCCGAGUUCGUAUCCAUACAUAAAGCUUAUCAAGUUUCAGACUCAAUUUCUUUCUUACAUAUCUUUAGACUCAUGACACAUCAUCUCUUCGGAGGAUUCCUACUAUCCGAGGUGUUCAUCUGUUCAGAUUGCACUUAAUACUCUCCAGGUCUCCUGAACGGAUUAAAUCCACAUGACUAUCUUAUGUCGGAAGAAAUCACAACACCCAUUUAGUACUAUAUAACCUUGUAGGGUCUUUACUAACACUUAUGGCAUGAGCCGUAUAGCACCAAAACCACUCACUCUCCCUAGUCAUGCUCAGCUUUUCUUAACGUCUAUUUUUAUCAACCACCUCAUUUUUGGAACAAGCCUUUCAUGACUCAUUGUCCCAACGGGGUAGUCACGGUGGAUUUAUGUUUGGUGACGACUUUCUCUAGAAUUUUUGCCCUAACUGAGAAUUCUUUUAGUUUGCUAAUGUCUCUAAAAUACAACAUAAUAAUAACAAUGAUUUAACUAAGUAAGCCUUUCAUAUAAAUAAAUAAUGAAUGAAUGAGUUCAUCUUUACAUGUAAGAAUUCUAUCGACAACUAACCAUGAACAAAUAGAAUUUGAAAGAAUGACACAACAAUACUUUUUUGGAAUUUUAUACAUUUCUUAGAACAUUUUGGACUGCUAACAUAUACCACACACCAUUCUCUAUUCUCCCAUCUUUUUAUUUUGUUACAGCUUCAGAUUGAAAUGGGAUGGAAUAGUUAUUAUCCAGCAGUCAACUUGAAAUCCAUGGCAAUUUCAUGAUUACUGAAUAUCUUGUGGCAGCAAGACUAGUCAGACCUCCAAAUGUAGUUAUUCUUUUCCCUAAUACUUCAAUUGGCACUCUGCUCACCACCUUCUGUAUCAAAAUAAAGCCCGUAAAAGCUUCUUUUCCACCUUUCGCCAACCAAUUCAGUUUGUCCAAUAUCAUCCAAAUUACUUUUUACCUGUCUUGUCUAAACGAGCUUUGCGGACAGCAUCUUGGAUCUGUCUCUCGUGCUCUUUGAGCAUUUCGUCAAGGUUUUCUCCAGGAGGCAUCAAUGGUCCAGAAUAAUGGAUUCGGUUGUUCGGGGGAACAUAAGCCUAGAUUAACACACAAAAGUAAGUGACUCACUCCAGACAGAUGAGAUAUUAGGAAACGUUAUAAACUAUGUUCUUUGCCAAGUAAAAGCUUCUAGCUUCAAAUUUUUGCCAAUUUUUUAAGAUAUGGCAAUCAGAUAAAAGCUUUGCAUCCAACGAUCAGUUGUCAGAAGAAUGGAUAUAGAAUCUGCCACUAAAGGGAAGAUAAAUGAUGUCUAGGACAAAACACGUGAUUGAUAAAACUGUCCAUAAUUCUCUUACCACAGAUGAUUCCUUGGAAGACAAUAGUUCAUCCAUUACAAGUGAAACUUUUGGCCUACCACGUAAUUGAUGUGACCAUUCCCACUCUUUGGAGGAGCCAGAAUUAUCCAGAUGGUUACAUCUGUUGCCAAGACACUCCUCUGGGCAAUGUGGAUUUAUAGUAUUUUCUUUGGUCAUAUCAAACCGUGAACUGCCACUAGCUGCAACCGAGUUAGAAAAUCUAGACAAUUCCGCUGCUCCACGAUGAGCAUUUGCUGUCUGAGCUCUCGGCUCUUCAGUAUUCCUUGAAGAGCCAAAUGCUUGAGCAGAAGCCUUCACAGACUCAAUCUCAUUUGCCUUCAUACUCGGUGAAGACCCAAAGUUGGCAGGGGGCAAUGAUUGGCCAGAACGAGAGUAUACAGCUCUUGCCGUUCCUUUUGGAGGUUCAAUAAGGAAGCCGGCACUCCCAUCCUUUUGAGGAUAGCUUACUCCACUCACACUUUUAGCAUUGAAAUGUCCUUGCCGCUUCUGUCUCAAGCAAUACAAUAAAUAUAAGUCCCGAUCAAGGGGCUGACUUCCAUUGAGAAAAGUUCAAACACCAUAGUUACAUACUAUCAUAAUAUAUGUAUUAUGCAUAAGCAAAUAAAUCUCACAAGUUAGAAAGUACCUUUAUGGAUGCUCGUAAUUCAGCAUUUAGCUCUGGGACUGGAACAGCUCUAGAAACCUUUCUAACUGAACCAUGCCUACGCAGUUUCCCACCAACUGCUCUUUGCCUGGUUUUCCAAUUACCAAACAGGCAGGACAAUUGUUUUUAUACUUUAUCAGAAAAUUUUAAAGAACGCCCAAAUGACAAAUUCACAAAACUUCGAUGAAGAAUAACAAAUUUUCAAUACAAAUAGCAGAAAAAUACCUUCUGGAUUCAUCAUCUCGAAGCUUGACAUCAAACUCCUUACUAGGUGGGUACUUAGGCAAAUUAGAUGGACCGCAGGGAAGAGGAUUUGUUGUAAAGAACUGGAUGAAAAAUUCCAGAGUUAAAACAAACUUACCAAAAUGAAAUACUGUAAACAAAAAGAAUGUUAAGAUACAAUGAUGAACUACCCAGCAGGGCACAAACACAUGUUGUGCAAUACUAUUCCCUAGAUAACUUUAGCAAAUAUGUCAUUUCUCAAGUAAAAUGAAAACCUGAUGUGUACCAAUAUACCAACAAGCUGGAUAUCUGAAACACCCAACCAUAUGUGGAAGAUUACACUAUUAAAGAUCAUAAAUAAUGGCAUCCCAAUUGAAGGUAAAAUGCUAAGGAAUACCAAAAAAGAGUUAAAAUGCUAAGAAAGGCUUCUUGCUUAUUAUACAGAUAUUUCAAAUUCCCAACUAAACCAUGAAGAGUUCUCUUAUGAAGAUUGUGAAUGGUAGAUGUCAGAAUGCAGUCAAGCCAAUAAGCUAGGAGUCUUUUCUCAUCUUGCUUGUAUAAGAAGGAGGUGCCACCUUUACUUGUUCUCAAGGAAAAAGUACACAAAGAAGCAGUUGGACUAACAAAAAGAUUGAUCCCAAAAAGAAGUACAUGUAAAUAAUAAGGAGAUAACUAAAAGAGCUGUCAUAACCUAGAUAAAAAUGUAUGACUUGGAGGGAAUAUAGCUUUACCUCACUCUCAAGUGCUGAAGAAGCAGUUCCACGACACUCAGGUUCUAUUGCAAGAAGAACCUCUAAAAGGGCCAACACAUUGGUAGGGAAGUCCUUGAAUGUCUCAGAAACACAACGUUUAUAAGGAUGCUGAGGUUUGAAAAUAGUUGCAUGAGGCAAUUUUGAUCUCUUCCAAUACUCUUCGGAAGGUGAUCCACAAAGUUUGAAGAUUUUAUGCAUCUGCUCAACCUACAAAAGAUAAAUGUUGAGAUCACCACACUCCAGAAAUGUUCAACUGUAGGACUAAGUGUACUGCACUUGGCUAGUUCUAUCGGUAAAUUCUGAACAUUUAUAGACAAUUCUAGUGUAGACAAUACAUUCAUUGUAUGUUCAUAAUUAUGUCAUGCCAGUGAAAAGUACGACAGAAAUAACAGUUCAUCAGAUAAUGCAUGCUCCAGUAAAUUUUCAACUAAAAGUAAACCACAUCAUCUCUGUGGGUACGCACUACACCAACAGCAAUGCCUCCCUCUCCCCUGCAGACUACAUUAAAAGCAAACACUGACACAAAACAAACACAAACUCAUACCUCUCUCCUGAAAGAGCAAAUAAUUUGACACCUACAAGAGAAAUGAGGUGACAAGUAAAUUCACAAAGCCUAAUCCCUAAAUAAGAUCAUAGUUUUGGUCUAAGCAAUUCUAUACCUAGAUCAUAGAACAGUGCCACUAUGCCUGCAGAAUUUGAAGCAAAAUAGUCAAUUUGCUGUAUGGUAUGACUUGAAAGUCUAGCUUUUAGCAUCCUGGUCUGCCAGUUUCAUAAUGUGAAAAGAAAUGCAGAAGUCUCUUUGCAUGUAUAUUUUUCCAUUCUUCAUGCAUGUUCACCAACAUCCACACCCACAAACACAUACAACUAUAUAUAUAGCCAGGGAUGCAUACAAACAGUAAUAAUUCUACUAGAGGAUUUAUUUCUUCUAACAUAAGAGACACAAAACUUCAUCAGAAACUUGAUGUACAAAAGAAUUUCCAAAAUACGGGUCAAUACCCCCAAAACUUAAAUAAGUACCUCAGUUCUUCCAGGCAUGAUAGGCUUUCCAGCAAAUAAUUCAGCAAGAAUGCAACCAGAACUCCACAGGUCAACAGCAACUCCAUAGUCUGUAGAACCGAGCAAAAGCUCAGGAGGGCGGUACCAUAAAGUUACUACACGACUUGUUAAAGUCUGCUUCUGGUUGGGACGGAAUAGUGUUGCCAGUCCAAAAUCACCAAUCUUGAGGUUGCCAUUAUAAUCUAUCAAGAGAUUUGCACCCUUGAUGUCACGGUGCAAAACACCUCGACUAUGGCAAUGGUCAAGACCACGAAGCAGCUGUUGCAUAUAACACUUGAUCUGCAGAGAUAACACAUAAAAUUUAUCAUUUGAGCACAAACAACAAAGUUUAAUGCUUUCAUUUGAGUUAAAAAAAUGAAAAGGGGUAUAUAAUUCUUCAGAAAUCAAAUAAUGGCACACUAUAAUGGAAGUUAGACAAACUGCUACCAAGUGUAAGUAGCUAAUAUCUGAAGAUUGGUGUUUCCACCAACUGUUUUGUAUUUAAGCAGUGAAUGCUAACAAGUUUAUGCAUCAUGCCCAAUAUGUACAAUCAAAAACCAAAGAAAAGCCACAGUUCAAGAUGUAGUAGAGUUCUUUUAAAAGAGUGUUCUUCACCAUCCAUAUAUUGUUUAGAAGCCCAGAAGAUCUUUAUGGUUAUUUGAACAACAUUAAUGAAAUAGUCAAAUAAACAUCGAAGAUGAAUAUACCUGAGCCUCAGUGAACUUGAUCCCAGGUGUUGCCACAAGCCCUGCAAGAUCAUGCUCCAUGUAUUCAAAUAUAAGAUAUAAACUUCCAGACACCCUAGAACUAAUUAGACCUUCAAGAUUCAUGACAUUAGGGUGAUCAAGCCUACGUAAAAGAAUAAUUUCUCUCGACAUGAAGCGAACACUUUCAGGGUCCAUAUUAGCAAAUCGCACUUUCUUCAAGGCAACUAUCUUGUUUGAUUCAAGGUCGCGAGCUUUGUACACACUGCUGUAAGUACCUUGACCGAUCUACAUUAUUAGCAGGAAGUCAAGUUGUGGAAAAGGAAAAAAGAGUCAGUAGGCAUAAAAGAUUGCGACAAUAAUUCUAAGAGCUACAUUAACAAAACAUACGCUCAGUUUAGCCACAUACACUAGCUAGUAUAUAGAAUAUAAAUUUCAAAGCAAGCAUAUAUAAGAAAAACACAAAUUUCUGAACCAUUUAAUACAAUUAGCACUAGAAUCAAAACUAUAAAUGAAUUAAGAAAAGGUAAAACCAAUUUGUAGACCUUUUCCAACUUUUCAAACGACUCAGCCGUUCGAGGUAUCCACCCAUUGAUGGCUUCUCCAGCUACAGCUGCAAGCCAAGAAGGCCAGCCAGCAACCACCUGUGCACCUUUCUCACCACCAGUGACAUCAAUGAUCCUGGAAAUCCUCAUCUGGUUAUGUCCACUCCUGUCCCCGGCCUCCAUUGACAGGCUUUGCGAGUGGGAUGGGGUCUUUUUAGGCCUCUCAACAACAGACAAUACAGUCUUCUUUUCGUCAUCAUCAGAAGAGGAUGCAGCCUGAGAAACUGCAUUGUCCUUCUUAGAGAAAACAGGAAACCUUUUUGCGGUUUUUGUUGAGUCUUUGUGGGCCUUGCCUUUUUUGUGACGGUUAUUUUCGAAAUAUUUAGUUGAUCGAUUUCCUUUCCAGCAAAUGCAACCCAUGAUUUGAAUGCUUCAUACAACAGGGUUUUCUUCUUGUGUUGUAGGAUUCAAUUCAAUGGCCCCAGAAAUAAUAAGGUCCCCGGUAUUAGAACCCAAGUUUCGUCCACAAAUGCAGGUUUCGAAUUGAAUAAGGAAGAUCCCAAAAGGCUUAUAGUACAAUCAACAAGAACUCAGAUCCCGAAAUCAAUGAAAACAGCUAGGGAAAAUUGUGCUGUCGAAAUUUGUAAAAAGAAAAACAGAAUAUGAAGUUAAAGUUUCAUUAAAUUACAACUCUCACCUAGGGAAAAUUUACUAAAAAUAUUUUUGGGGAGGUAUUUGAGAAUUUGAAACACUUGGUUUUUACUUGGAACAGUCUUUUUUUAGAACAUUCAAAAUUUCAGUUCUUACCAAAAAGAGAGAUUGAAAUACGGGUCAAAGCAUCAAAAAUAGCCCUUAAUAUGAUAAUUUUGGUUAUUCAGGCAGAGCAGCCAUAAUUUGAUCCUCUCUUUUUUAAAGCAAAACCAGAUUGUUUAUUUUUAUUAUUUUCUACAAUACCCAAAUAAAGAAACUACUAUGAUAAACCAGAGGAAGAGCAAAUAAGGAAAGUUGCGCUCUGUUUUGAGCCAAGAAAAAGGAAAGCAUUGUUGUGUUUUCUGUUUCGGACAUGGGAAAACAGAACCAACAGAUCUCUGCUUCACGACAGUGGAGGUUUGACUUUGACUUUGACUUUGGUCUCCGCGGAGAAAUAUCCUGAGUGAUAGAGACGUGACGGAAAGGAAUGAGCUGCGCUAACCUAAGUUGGUAUAUACUUUUGGCCCAAUCCAAACCAGGGUAAUAAUACAAUGUCAGUUAUCUUCUCUGGUAUCACGCCAUUAAAUUCUCCUCGUUAGAUUAUAAUGGGGUGUGAUUUUUGAAAAUAUUAAUUAAAAUCUUGAGGGUUCUCUAUUUUAUUAAGAAUUAUAAUAAAUUUCCAAAAUUCUCUCAUAAAAUAAAAUAUAAAUUUAAAAUUUUUCAAUGAUUGCUUUAUUAUUAAUUUUAAAAGUAUAUAUUUUAUUAUUAAUAAACAAGCAAUUUAAUAUUUCAUUUUUAAAUAAAAAUAAAUUAAUAUAUUUAUCUCAUUGAUAUAUGAUUAAAUUGAAUAUAAAUUUUAAACAUUUCAAAUUUAUUAAAUUAGAGUAUAAUUUAAAAUUUAAUUCAUUAGUAUCUAAAAAUUGUGAAUAGGGGAAAAAGUAAGGCAUAAAAAUAAUGGAAAUAAUAAAUAAGAGAAAGAAGGAUAAUUUUAUCUCAAACAUAAAUUUUAACUUUUCAAUUAUACGUAUUUUCCCGCCAAUAUUCAAAAGAAUCACAUUCUCAUAUUUAACAAAAGAUAAUGGAUUUAGCAUCCUAAACGCAAGUGCCACUCUUAUAUCAAUUGAAUUUUUUAAAAAUAAUUAUUUUUCAUCAUGCUAAGUGUAUUUUUAAGGACAAUCGUAGGUGAUGUGAUGAUAUAACUAUUAAAGACAUAAAAAUUAAUAUAUAAUAUGUAAGUUUUAAAUUAUUUGAUACAUAUAAAGUAACAAAAAAUUAAAAUUAUAUUUAAAAUAAUAAACUUAUUAAUGAAAUGAUGAAAAUAUCUCAUUAUUUAUAUAAACGUUUAUGGUUUAUUUAAUUAUUAUUUACAUUAGUUUCGUAGAGCAGUAAUUAUUUUAAUGGCAUUCGACAUUUAAAUUUCUCUAAUGCUAUUUUAUAAGUUUAUUUAAAUAAUUGAUUGUUUUUACUUAUUUAUUAUAUUGAAUUAUAAAUAUAAUUUAAAUGAAUUAAGUAAUUAACUUAUUUUUAGUAAUGAGAUGUGAACGAAAAGAAACAUGCAAGGGCUAGGACCGAAAAUAUAUAUUCACAUUUUAUCAUGGUAAAUUAUAUAAGUAGUUACUCAAUUAUGAAUUUUUUUUGUCACCUCAUUAUGAAAAGUUAUAAAAUGAUUACUUAAAUAUUUUUUUUUCUUUUUGGUCACCCAAUUAGGGAUGAAUAAAACUCAAUUCGACUAAAAAAAUUGAAUUUUUUUUAAUUUUGAGUUCGAAUCGAGUUGAGUUUUCGAUUUUUAAUAAUUCGAAUAAACUGAAUACUAAAUUAUAAUAUUUUAAAUUUUUAACCCAAACCCCUAAAUCUUUUUAUUUUUCCCCUAAACUGAAUACUUGGAUCUUUUUAAUUUUCCCCAAAACUUUUACCUCAAACCCCUAAAUCGAGUUGAGUUUUUGAAUCGAGAAAAUUUCAAAUCGAGUUAGGAUGAUAAAAUAUGAUUCGUUUACUCGAUUAACUUAAAAAAUUUUCAUUCAAUUAAAUUCGAUUGAACGCUUACCUCUACAUCCAACUAUGAAAAGUUACAAAUUGGUUAUCUAACUAUUUAAUUUUAUUUUUUUAUUGUCAUCAAUUGACUAAUGUAAAAAUGAAAAUACCCAAAAAUUAAAGAUAAUUAGGUGACCAAAAAAGAUAAAAUUAAAUAAUUAAGUGACCAUUCUAUAAUUUUUCGACCAAAAAAGAAAAGAAUUAUAAUUAGAUGACUACUAAUAUAGUUUAGGGAGAGAUAGUGGGCAUAAAUGUGAAAAGGAGGCGUUAGUGGGUUGACUGAAACUUUUACCCGCGCUCCAACCAAAUUGCGGAAUUUGGCGUCAGUUGCCAAAUAUCACUGUAAUGAUGUUACCCAAACACCAACUAAAGCAGGUUUGAAAGCUGAAAAGCUUCUAAGUUUAAAGCAAUCCAAAGGUACCCAUAAAUAGAUAACUUUUUGGAGUGUUGUUGAGAUAUGUUUGUAUUAAGAAAUUGAUUUCUAGUUAUUAAAAAUGAAAUAUUACUGUUUGAAUGCUAAAACUCAUGUUUUCCUGUUAGUCUAUACAUCGAGGAUCCAUCCUUGCAUAAAGGAUAAUAUAAAUGGUAUUUUGGCUAGCGGGCUAAUAUAAAUUUCGAUUUAUAAAAGAUUAAAAUUGAUAGAAUUUAUAAAGAUUGUGGGAUAAAUUUAUUACAAUUGAGAUUAAAUCAAUAAAAUGUGUAAAUAUAUUAAUUAAAAAAAGUCACUUUAUCAUUUCUGUUAAUGAUUUAAAAAAGAGGGAUUAAAAUAAAACCGAUAAAAAAUGUUAGUGAAAAAAUUGAAAAUUUUUAUAAUUUGGUGACCAAAACAAAAAUUCGCUAAUAGUUUAGUGAUUAAUGGUAUAAUUUAUUUUUUUAUAUAAGGACAACAAAACUAUUUUGAAGAAAAGGUUUACCUCAUGUGUUAAAAUUUGAAAGGUUAAAAUAUGCUAUAAGUCAUUGUACUCUUUGUAAAUUUAAAAUUUAGUUCUUCUAUUUUUAUUUCAUGGAAUUUAGUCCGUAUAUUUUUAAAAUUUUAAAAUUUAGGUCCAAUUGUUAGUGUCUCCUUAAAAUUCAUCUGUCAAAUUCAAUGGUGUGACAUUUAUAAAUUAAAAAAAAAAUACUCACUUCGUAGCCAUGCAACAAAAAAGAACAUUUUAACAACUUUAAUAUAAAUGAAAAACUUUAACAAUAUUAACAACUGGGCUUGCAUUUUUAAAUUUGAAAAUUGGAGGGACUAAAUUUCUUAAAAUAAAAGUAGGAAGAUUAAAUUCUAAAUAUACGAAAAAAUAAAAAAUAUAGAUAUUUAGAACACAUUUUGAUCAAUUUAGACACAUGGUGACUAUUUUAAUAAAAAAUUAAAAUUUUAAUAAAUUUAAAUGAUAAAAAAUCAUAAAGUAAUCAUCAUGAUAAAAAUUAUGAUUCUUAAUAUUAAGGAAAACCUAAGUUAUAGGCUCAACUUAUUAAAUUAAUUCACAUCAGAAUUUUUUUCCCAUGUCAUACUCACACAUAAGCCCUCCAAAUCUCCUAUUUUUUCUCCCUUAAAAAAAAGUGAACAAAUGACCGGCAGCCAAUAAUAGUAGUGUUGUUGAUUUUCCGACAAAUCUAAAUGCAGCACUGCCUACACAUUCAUUGCUAGCUGCAAAACCUGAUGAAGACAUGGCUGCCGCUAUUAGGCUGUUUUGGUACAUUGAAUCAAGCAGUAAUAUAUAGCAGCCACAUCCAAGAAUGAAGGGAUGCGUUGAUGACCAACUCCUUUAGCAUUUGUAACACUUACUGUAACCCUAGUGCUGAUAUGUUGCUCCAAGAAAACCAACUUGAUUACCUCUACAACUACACUAAAAACACAGUGAGAAGAUAUAAGCAGUUGGUGAGUGAGGAUGAAAAUUAACUUAUGAGAAAUUAAUAAAGGUUUUAAGGUGUGUAUUAAUGCCACUUUUUUAAAGUUCUAUUCGCCUCACUUAUAUUAUGGCGUGUAAAGGAGUUACUGGCAAAUGAAUUUCGAGGAUACAAUGAAAGUUCAAUGACUAUUUACGUUUUGCAUUAACAGAAAUAAUUCACUAAGCACUUAGCGGAGCAUAGCAAUGAUACCAAUUUCUAUAAAGAAUUUAUGCAAUAAUUCUUUAUAGAUUAAUCUAGCAAUAUAAAAGAUGGUUGGAGAUCAGAAAGAAACUUUUUUCUAUAUUGUUUGGUUUAUCCUAUAAAUAAAAUUCCUCUCCUAUUUAUAGGAGGUCUCAUUUCUUUUCAUAAGAACAUAACUGCCCAAAUGAAUAGCAUAUAUUUAACCACAAAUAUAAUUAUUUAAUACGUAUCAACUUAAAUAAUGAUGACCCUUUGUUAUUAAUUAGGUGAUAUAACUUUUCGUGACAAGAGAUAUGACCGAUCAUAUAGAGAGUGACAACUCUAACUUAAUUAUCAAAUGACAUUAUUUUUGGAUUACAUGUAACUUUUUAGCUAUAACGUAUAGAACAUUAUAACUAUUUUGAAAAUAUUACAACAUAAGCAAACAAAUAGUAUCUAAGACAUUCUAAAUAUAAUAGUUAAUAGACUCAGUUUUUGCUUCUAUCAUUCUAUAUGGAGUUCUGUAGUUCAAGUAAACAGACUUUUAAAAAGACAAGGUUCUAAAGAGUACUCUAGGUGUCAAAUGCCCUUUUGCGGCAAUGGUGAGGUUAUAUUUAGAUUUCUUCAUGUGUCGAGGUUGGAAAUUUAAAAAAAAGUAGGUCCAAUAUAUUUCUGUUUAAAAAAAUAAAAUAUUAAAAAUAUAUUAUUUUAUAUUAAUAUUUAUAUAUUUUAUAUUUAAACUUAAAAUAAAAAAUAUUAAAAAAAGCUCAAUGUGCUAAGUCGGGUUGAGGUUGAAAUUUAAAGAAAUUUUAGUUUUAGUAUAUAAUUUUUUGUAUAUACAAUAUAUAAAUAUAAAAUGAUAUUAUAUCGGUAAUUUUGUUAAUAAUUUGUGAGAAUUAAAUCAAAUCAAAAUUUUAAGUAUAAAUUUAUACAUAAUCAAAUUUCAUGUAUAUUUUUGAAAUUCGUCCCAAACACCUUAAUGUAUGUUUUAAUAUUUACAUUGUAAUACUAUAUAUUUAAAUUUUAUACAAUAUAAAAUACAUAAUAUAUAAAAAUAAAAGAAAACAACAUUUCAUAAAUUAGAUUUGGAGCUUGAAUAUAAACCUGAUCAUGGGUUGGACUGCUCGCCCUAAAAGUGAGAGGGUUUGGAGAAAAUAUAGGUAAAAAAAAUGGGUUUGAAUAAAAAAUAAAGUUAAUUUUCUAAACGGAUUGGGCCUUGGGUAGGAUUUUUUGGCUCGGAUUCGGCCCACCCCAAUUGGUUGUUUCGUUUUUGUUUUGCUAUCAUUUCACUAUUAUAUUGCUACUAUUUUAGAGGCAUUGUUCGGUAAGUUGCAACUAUCUUAGUGUUAUUUAAGUAUAAAAACUUUUUUAAAUGUAUUUUCAAUUUGUUAUUUUAAUGUUUUUAGUGUAUUUGAUGUAUUAUAUUUUUUAAAUUUAUUUUUAUAUAAAAAAUUAUCUAAAAAAAUUUAAUACGGCCUGACCAGAUCGAGCUCAGGUUUAGCAUUUUUAAUCUGGGUCUAGCUUGGGUAGAAUUUUAGGCCCAUUUUUGAGCUAGGUCGAGCCUAGAAAAUGGGCCUACAAUUUUGCAUCAGCUCGACCCGAACUUGGCCUAGCCUGACCCAUGAUCAGGUCUACUUGAAUAUUAGAACACAAAUCCAGCUAAUAUAUAUAUAUAUUGUAAAAACUCAAUUUUUGAACAUGAUAUUUUUAUUUUUAUCUAAAACAUCCAUAGUAUAUAUUAUACAAAAGAAAAAAAAUGUGGAAGAAAAAGUUGAAACCUAUAAGGAUAGACUUGUAGCAAAUGCUUAUAUGCAAAAAGAAGGUAUUGAUUAUGAGGAAAGUUUCUAACUAGUAGCAAUGCUCUAGUCUAUUCGCAUUCUAUUAUCCAUCGUGGUAGGUCUCAACUACAAGUUUGGCAAAUAGAUGUCAAGACUUCAUUCUAGAAUGACUAUCUUGAAGAAAGUAUAUAUAUAUGGUGAAAUCCAUUGGUUAUAUAGCUAUAUGAAAAGAGCAUAAAGUUUGCAAGUUGCUAAGAUUCAUUUGUAGACUUAGCAAGCAUCCCACUCAUGGAACCAAAGGUUUGAUCAAGUAAUAAAAACCUUUAAAUUUGAAUAAAAAAAUGAUGAACCUUGUGUUUAUAAGUGUAUAAAUCAUAGAAAUGUAGUCUUUCUCAUUCUAUAUGUGGAUGAUAUUCUACUCAAUGAGAAUUAUGUAAGGACAUUAUCAUUGGUUAAAUUUUGGUUAACUAAAAAUUUUAGCAUAAAAGAAUUUGGUGAGGUUGGUUACAUUCGAGGGAUUCAAGUCCAUAGAGAUUGGAAGAACAACAUGAAAUCCUUUUCGAUAGCUUCAUAUAUAUAAGAUUCUAGAGGGUUUUGCAAUGAUCGAUGCAAAUAGAGGUGCACAACCUUCUGCAUCAAGUUUCCAUCUUUCUUUGGAUGAUUAUCCUAAGACAAAAAAAGAAAGAGAGUAUAUAAGAAAGGUUCCAUACACUUUGACAAUAGGAAGCCUUAUUUAUGUCAUAGUUUACACACGCCCAAAUAUCUACUUUGCAAUAGGAAUGGUGAAUUGAUAUCAGACAAAUCCUGAACCUAAACAUUGGCAAACAAUUAAGCAUAUACUCAAGUAUUUACAAAGAAUGAAGGAUAGUAUGCUUGUAUAUUCUAAAAAGGACCUAACACCCCUUAAAAAUAAAGAUUCUAACUUCCAAACAUGAAAAGCUUCGAGGAAAUCGACAUUGACUUGUGCUUUUUUCCUAAGCGGUAGAGUCAUAGUGUGGAGAAGUGUCAAGUAGACUUGUACUAUUGACUUCAUUAUGAAGGUUGAAUGUGUGACUGCUUCUGAAGCAACUAAAAGAAGCAGUCUAGCUUCGAAAGUUUUUUAAUAGAUCUUCAGGUCAUUCCUAGUUUGGAAAAACUAUCACACUGUAUUACAAUAAUAGUGUGACAAUAGCUAAUAUUAAUGAAACAAUAAAUCAUAAGAGGACAAGAUACAUUGAUCACAAAUAUCAUACUAUAUAAAAGGUGGUAGUUGAUGGAAUAAUAGAUGUAGUCAAAGUGUUACCAUGUUUAGACAUAUUGAGGAUGCUAAUCAACUCAAUGCUUUUAGAGAACAACAACUAGCGGACAACUAAAGUAUAUUGCUUGGGCAAAGUCGCCAGCGGGUUGGAUAAAGGUAAACACUAGUAAAUCUAUUAAACAUAAAUUUGUUAUGGUCGUUGUAGAUGGUUUGAUGUGAGAUAUAAGUGGUGUCACACUCGAAUAUCUUUAAGGACUCGAAUCUAGAGGAAUUUUGGGACUUAAUUGAACAAGGUAGAGAGUUGGCAGACUCUACCAUGAAUUUUGGAUAAAAAUUGUCUACGAUUGAGUAAAUAGUUAAGUUCUAAUAUUGGUUUGGUUAGGAUGAAACCAGCUAGUUCCAUAGUGAGAGACAUAAUGAUUGCCAAUGAUUGGCUAAGAGGGUUGGGGAACCAUGUAUAUGAGUUAUAUGUAUAAGUAAAGUGGCCAUUAUAGCAAAGAAGAAAAAUUCUCUUUAAUUCAGUCUAUUAGUUUCUUUUUACUUGUUUUGUCUUCUUUGAUUGCUCUGGAGAAUAAGAGAACUUAGGAAAGCUCUGCAUGGAGUAGAAGUUAUGAGAAUUGGAGUCUGAAAAUGGAGAAAUUGAGUAACCGAUAAGCUAUUUUAUCCUUCUGUACUCGAGGAUUCAAGGAAGGAGAAAGUAAGAGCGCCUAAUAGAUUUCUAUAAACUGGGUUCUAGGUUGUAAGGUUUAAAUGUCUUGAAAUUAACAGAGGUAAAGUUGUUACACUACUUCAUUGUUACACUACUUCAUAAAAACUCACUAACUUCAUCCGAAUUUGUGACCGUAUUAUUUUAGUUGCAAGAUCAAAUUAACAUAGUCGUUAAAGGAGAAGACCAAGCCAAACACCCCAUCAUUGUACGAAGGGCGUGGUAGUCGUAUAAUGCAUAUAGAAGGGCAUUCAUAAAAGCUACACCUCAGGGACUAAAUUAGAUGUAUCACUUUCAUAAACUUAAGUUAGAAUUGUAAAUACUGCCAGAUUUGAUAAUGUAGACAACUUGUAAGAAUUGUAAAGUCGAAUAAUGAGGAUUAUAACUAAAAGUAAAUAUUGUAAUUUGAUGGAGCCAAAAUAUUUAAGCCAGUCAGUCUAGAAGUCUUGGUAAGUUAUUUGGUUUGUUUGUGACAUUCGGUAUUCGGACCUAUCGGUCGGGUUGGGUAUAGGGUGUUACAAGUGGAUUGUGGAUCAAAGGAUUUAUGUGUAUCACAGGUUGCUCGUUUGUUAUUUAAGCUAAACCAUAGGGGUUUAUGAAUGUUUAUGAUUGGCCUAGGCUUGUGGAUUUCGUAAGGUUAUAUUGGAAUUGGAUAACUUGGCUGUGGUGCAAUUGUUACAACAUACUACGAAUGUGGACACUGUAAUAGUCUAAAUUCAAGGUUAUCGGAAUAGUGGUUUUGUAACCACAAAUCUGAUUUAAAGAGAAAUUUAUUUUAAUAUUUUUGCAUGAAUAUUGAUAUGAUAGGAAAAUUGUAUGAAAAAAUCGAUAGAAAAAUUUUAUCGAUUUAGUGGUUAGUUAAAAAAAGAAAUUAUUGAAGAAAUUGGGUAAAAAAAAGGUAUCGAGACCUCGAUCUCGUAAAACCGAGUCAAAAAUAUUUUUAUAAAUAUUUAUGAAAUGUUAGUAAUGUGGUAUUAAAAUUUCAUUAGAAAAUUUUAAUGUUUGGGUAGUCAAUUAAAUAAAAAUGACUAAAUUGGAAAAUGUGUAAAAGUGGCUUGGAUGAUUAAAUAGCUUAAGUGUCUAAUGAAAAAGGAUUUAAAAUGCAAUUAGACCCAAAAUUUAUUUGGCUAGACGGCAAGGGCAUGAAAUCAGCAAGAAAAUGGAUGAUUUAAGGGUAAAAUUGGAAUAUUGCAUAAUUAACUAAAUACAAUUAGAAUUAAUGUGGAAAUAUCUAGAUUUCUUGUGAUUUCUCUUCAUUCUCAUCAGCCAAAACGCCAUAGGAGGGGUUCUUUAAGCUGGUAUUUCAUAAUUUUUGCACCAAGUGAGUUAAUCCUUGCCUUUUUCUUGUAAUUUUUGUGUUUUUAAGACUUUUUACAACUAGGUUCUACUAUUAAAUUCAUUAGUUUUUGAUUUCAUGGAUGAAAUUGAAAGUCACCAUGGUUGAGUGCUGUAAGUUUAUGACGAAAUAGCAUGAAAUUGAAGCUUUAAUUUGUUUAUGAGAUGAUUUUAUUAGGUAAUUUCAAUAGAAAUUGAUUUUUAGGACCUAAUUUUAAAAAAGUUGGAGUUAAAGUCUAGUGCUAAAAUUCUGAUUCCCAAAGGUUAUAAAGUAGUUUAAAGUGAUAGAAUAAAAUGUUAAUUGUGAAAAAUCAGCUCAAUUGAGAGGUUAAUUGAGCAGGGACGAAAUUAUCAUUUAUUAAAAGCUUAGGGGAAAAAUGGUAAUAAACAUCUUGCACUAAAACAGUUUUGGACAGCAGCAGUAGGCUAACUUUGAAAAAUCAUCAAAUAUUGUGGAAAUCGAAUUAGAGGAUGAAAAAAAAUAUGAAUUAAAACUUAUUGAGUCUAGUUUCUCAUAGAAGAAACAAUGUAAGUAAUAUAACUGUAAAUCAUGAGAUAUAAUAAAUUUCGUGAGACAAGGUCAGAAUGAAUUCGGGUUCCCUUGUUUUAACUUUGGAAAAUCAUCAAAUAUUGGAGAAAAAUAAUUAGGGGUUAAAAUUUACAUGUUUAAAUUAUUAAUGACUAUUUUCAAUAGAAACAAAUGGAAACAUCAUCCAAAUUUUGUACUAAGAGAUAAUUAAUUUUUAGUAAGCAAAGGUCAAACCUGUCAAACAACAGAAUAGGAAUAAAUUUAAAGAUUUUACUGUACUUAUUGGCUAAACCAAAAAUCCUGAAAAUUUUAUGGUAAAAAGGUAUUUGAGUCUAGUUUCAGAAACACCAAGUGGUUUUUCAUUUGGAAUUCUGUAGCUUGAGAUAUAAAUAAUUUAGUGACUACGACUCAAGUAGACAGCUUUGAACGAACUAUAAAUAAUAGUGGAAUUAUAGAGAAUGUUACAUAUGAACAUGAAAUGUAUUAAAUUGAUGAUUAAAUUUAUUUAUUUAGAUCCAGAAAAUUCUAAUACGAAGCUAGAUCGAGGAAAGGAAAAAAGUUUGGGAUUAGUAGAUUUUUGUAUACAAACAAGUAUCGAGGUAAGUUCGUGUAAACUGAAUUAUAUUCUUAAAUGCUUGAAAUGUAUGUUAUUGAUGUGAAUAUGAUUUAAAUGUUCAUUGUAUGAAAAUUGAUGAAACAUUGAUAUACUUGAUAAAAGGGGAAGAAAUCUUGGUUGAAUGAAAGGAAAAUUCGAUGGAUUUUUAAAAAGAAAUUGACGAUAAAAAAGAUCUAGCCCGGAUGGGUGAUCCUAUCCUGAUAUAUACCUCUCGAAGAAUAUGUGUAAAAUGGAUUUAGCCCGGACGGGUGAUUCGAAUUAGUGUCUGAAUUUAGCCUGGACUGGUAAUUUAGAUCCAAGCUCAUUAGAGUAAAUUGUCGUUGUAGGAGAUUUAGUCUGGACUGGAAAUCCCGACAAUACUCUAUGAGUUUAUAUUACAGGAGAUUUAGCCUAGACUGGUAAUCUCGUUGUAAGGAUGAGGUUUGUGAGAGUGUGCUCUCUGAAAUGCAAAUGUGCACCAAUGAAUAUGAAUUGACGGACCCGGAAUUGUACGCUAAAAGUGUACCUCUGAAAAUCCAUUAAAAUUCUGAGAAAUUCAACGGGAUAAAUAUGGAAAUAAUAAGGGUAAUAGAAAACAUGGAAUUGAUGAGCUCAUCAAUCAUUAAUCUUUGUAUUGAACUCAUAUGAUGCUAUUUGAUUAAUGUUUUGGUUGAGUUUGUGUGUGAUAGGUGGUAAUUUGAAUGGAUGUAUGAAUAUUUACUAUAUUGUAUUGAAAAUAUUAGGUAAGUAUAAUUCUUGUUACAUGAGCUUACUAAGCACAACGUGCUUAUCCUGUUUCCUUUUUUCCUGAUUUGUAGUAUUAAGAGCUCGGAGGUUAGAUUCGGUUGGAGACACAUUACACUAUCAACUUCAAUAUUUUGGUAUAUUAAGAAACUUUAUUUUGGAAAUCAAUGGCAUGUAUAAGUUGAUAAAGUAAAUGCUAAUGUGAAAUGAAUGUAAAGUUAGCCAUUGGUAUGGUUAACAAAUCCUGGUUUUGGUAUGUGAUGAGGUUAUCUUAUGGAUAUGCGUAAAUCUAUCUUGAAAAUGUGUUGAAUUGGAUUGGUUGAUUUGGUUUGAUCUCGAUGUAUGUUUUGGACUUCGGAGGUCCAUCUAAGGGACGUCAUAAUAUGUUUCAAUAAAAGAAUAGUAUUUAAUUUGUAAUAACGGAAAAAAAAAUUAAUUUGGAGCCAGGUAAGCAUCAUACCCGUUUUUGACAUACCUCUAUGCUGCCAUUACUGAAAUCACAUCAGAUAACCCUUCUAUUUGAUCAGAUUUAACCUGGAGCAACUCGCCAUUCUGACAUUUUAGUACAAUAUAUUUAUGUCUACAAAUUACUACUGCAUCAUGCUGGGUUAGCCAAUACAUUCCCAAUAUCACGUCAAAUUCAUUAAAUAAUAGUAACAUCAAAUCAGCCAGGAAACAAUAACCUCUUACCAUCAGUGGACAAUUUUUACAAAUUUUAUCCACCAAAACAGAUUGGCCCUGAGGGUUCGAGACUUUAACCAAAAAUUCAAUAGGUUCAAUAGAUAAAUCUUUAACACAUGCAAGCUUUAUACAUGUAUAUGAAUGCGUAGAACUGGGAUCAAUUUAUGCAGUAAUAUCAGUGUCAAGUAAAGAAAAUGUACCAGUAAUAACAUCGGGUGCUGAGGCAUCUUCUCUGGCACGAAUGGCAUAUGUCCUAGCAGGUGCUCGUGCCUUUGGCCUACCUGCAGUAUCUUUCGUAGCUCCUCGGCUACCACUGACAUUACCGGAUAGUCGAGGUGGUCUACCCCUCGAAACUGAAUUACUCGGCUUCGAUGUCUGUUCAGGUUUUUUUUCACCCCUUCUGGACAAUCUCUGAGGAAAUGAUCAAAUGAACUGCGUCAGUAACAAGCCCCACUUUUCAGCUGACAUUCUCUAAAAUGAGCUUUAUUACAGUACUGCCAUCUCGGCUUAAGACUGCCGACACUACUCAUACUAGUCACAGACGAAAUGGGAGAUCUUGGAUUAGUGCGUUGGAAGCCCCGUUCUUUUCCAAAAUAGCCCGUCAUAGAAGUAGAUUGAUUAGAGUACUUUUUUAAUUUAUUUGUAACAGAAUAUGACUGAAAUUUUCCCAUCAGUCUUUUGCUGAAAACCAGAGUUUCCCUUUUAGGUUUUUUUUUCUCUUUACUCAAUUCCUCUGCUUUAUAAGCUCGCUCAGCCAGUGUAGCAAACUCCCAGAUUUCAAGCAUUCCGAUUAGUAACUUGAUAUCUUCAUUCAGUCCCUCUUCAAACCGUUUGCACAUCUCGGCUUCUGAUUGUACCCAUUCCCGAGUAUAUUUACUCAACCGAACAAAUUCUUUUUCAUACUCAGAUACCAAUCUGUUGCCCUAUUUCAGCUUAAGAAAUUCUUUUCUUUUCUGACCAAGAAACCUCUAGCUGAUAUAUUUCUUUUUAAAUUCAUUCUGAAAGAACUCCCAGGUAAUCUCUUCUUUUGGAACUACCGAAGCUUUAGUGUUCCACCAAUGAUAAGCUGUGUCUUUUAGCAGUGAGACGGCACAUUUUAGACAUUCUUCUGGUGUGCAUGAUAAGUCCUCCAAAACCCAAGUAGUGUUUUCUAACCAAAACUCAGCCCGUUCGGGAUCAUCAUCAACUGCAGCUCUGAAUUCUUCUGCCCCAUAUUUUUUGAUUUUAUCAACCGAAGCUUUCCCUUUUCUAAUAGAUUCAGUACUUGUACCCUGUGGAAUCUCGGAAACCGGUGGAGAAGGAGGAGCUUGAGCUUGCUACAUUACAGGGUUAGUUCUCACAUAUUGAUUAAACCAUUCAUUCAUCAUUUGAAAGAAAGUCAUUUUAGCCUCUUCUCUGUCCCUUGUCUCGGACCUUCUACUACUAGUAGCUUCAACUUCUCUUUUUCCCUUUCCAGGGCCAGAGCAUGACUCUCGACUUCCUCGAAUUGAGCUCGGCAGACAGACAUUUACUAUAAAAAAACACAAUUAAAUGGUCAGGAGAUAUCACACUAUCAAUAAUAAUUUCAAUGAUGUGUAUAGUUAAUCCCAUAUUUACUACGUCAGUCUGAGAACCGACUAAAUCCUAGCUCUGAUACCAACAAAUGUAACACCCCUACCUAUAUUCGUCGCCGAAAUAGGGUACGAGGCAUUACCGGAGUUUUUCAAAUUAAUUUUUUUCGUUAUUACGAAUUAAAUACUAUUCUUUUAUUGAAACAUAUUAUGACAUCCCUUAAAUGGGCCUCCGAAAUCCAAAACAUACAUCGAGAUCAAACCAAAUCAACCAAUCCAAUUCAACACAUUUUCAAGAUAGAUUUACGCAUAUCCAUAAGAUAACCUCAUCACAUACCAAAACCAGGAUUUGUUAACCAUACCAAUGGCUAACUUUACAUUCAUUUCACAUUAACAUUUACUUUAUCAACUUAUACACGCCAUUGAUUUCCAAAAUAAAGUUUCUUAAUAUACCAAAAUAUUGAAGUUGAUAGUGUGAUGUGUCUCCGACCGAAUCAGACCUCCGAGCUCUUAAUACUACAAAUCAGGAAAAAAGGAAACAGAGUAAGCACGUUGUGCUUAGAAGCUCAUGUAACAAGAAUUAUACUUACCUAAUAUUUUUAAUACAAUACAGUAAAUAUUCAUACAUCCAUUCAAAUUACCAUUUACCUAUCACACACAAACUCAACCAAAACAUUAAUCAAAUAGCAUCAUAUGAGUUCAAUACAAACAUUAAUAAUUGAUGAGCUCAUCAAUUACAUGUUUUCUAUUACCCUUAUCAUUUCUUAUAUUUAUCUCGUUGAAUUUCUCAGAAUUUCGAUGGAUUUUCAGAGGUACACUUUUAGCGUACAAUUUUGGGUCCGUCAAUUCAUAUUCAUUGGCGUACAUUUUCAUUUCAGAGAGCACACUCUCACAAACCUCAUCCUUACAACGGGAUUACCAGUCUAGGCUAAAUCCCCUAUAAUAUAAACUCAUAGAGUAUUGUCGGGAUUUCCAGUCCAGGCUAAAUCCCCUACAAUGACAAUUUACUCUAAUGAGCUUAGAUCUAAAUUACCAGUCCAGGCUAAAUUCAGACCCUAAUUCAAAUCACCCGUCCGGGCUAAAUCCAUUUUACACAUAUUCUUCGGGAGGGAUAUAUCAGGAUAGGAUCACCCAUCCUGGCUAGAUCUUUUUUACCGUCAAUUCCUUUUUAAAAAUCCAUCGAAUUUUCCUUUCAUUCAACCGGGAUUUCUUCCCUUUUUAUCAAGUAUAUCAAUGUUUCAUCAAUUUUCAUACAAUGAACAUUUAAAUCAUAUUCACAUCAAUAACAUACAUUUCAAGCAUUUAAGAAUAUAAUUCAGUUUACACGAACUUACCUCGAUACUUGUUUGUAUACAAAAAUCUACUAAUCCCAAACUUUUUCCUUUCCUCGACCUAGCUUCGUAUUAGAAUUUUCUGGAUCUAAAUAAAUAAAUUUAAUCAUCAAUUUAAUACAUUUCAUGUUCAUAUGUAACAUUCUCUAUAAUUCCACUAUUAUUUAUAGUUCGGUCAAAGCUAUCUACUUGAGUCGUAGUCACUAAAUUAUUUAUAUCUCAAGCUACAGAAUUCCAAAUGAAAAACCACUUGGUGUUUCUAAAACUAGACUCAAAUACCUUUUUACCAUAAAAUUUUUAGAAUUUUUGGUUUAGCCAAUAAGUACAGUAAAAUCUUUAAAUUUAUUCCUAUUCUGCUGUUUGACAGCUUUGACCUUUGCUUACUAAAAAUUAAUUAUCUCUUAGUAAAAAAUUUGGAUGAUGUUUCCAUUUGUUUCUAUUGAAAAUAGUUAUUAAUAAUUUAAACAUGUAAUUUUAACCCCUAAUUAUUUUUCUCCAAUAUUUGAUGAUUUUCCGAAGUUAAAACAAGGGAACUCGAAUUCAUUCUGACAUUGUCUUACAAAAUUUAUUAUAUCUCAUGAUUUACAAUUCCAUUACUUACACCGUUUCUUCUAUGAUAAACUAGACUCAAUAAGCUUUAAUUCCAUAUUUUUUUCAUCCUCUAAUUCGAUUUCCACAAUAUAUGGUGAUUUUUCAAAGUUAGUCUACUGCUGCUGUCCAAAACUAUUUUAGUGCAAGUUGUUUAUUACCAUUUUUCCCCUAAGCUUUUAAUAAAUGAUAAUUUCGUCCCUGCUCAAUUAACCUCUCAGUUGAGCUGAUUUUUCUCAAUUAACACUUUACUCUAUCACUUUAAACUACUUUAUAACCUUUGGGAAUCAGAAUUUCAGCACUAGACUUUAAUUCUAGCUUUUUCACAAUUAGGUCCUAAAAAUCAAUUUCUAUUGAAAUUACCUAAUAAAAUUAUCUCAUGAAAAAAUUAAAGCUUCAAUUUCAUGCUAUUUCAUCAUAAACUUACAACACUCAACCAUGGUGACUUUCAAUUUCAUCCAUGAAAUCAAAAACUAAUGAAUUUAAUAGUAGAACCUAGUUGUAAAAAGUCUUAAAAACACAAAAGUUACAAGAAAAAGGCAAGGAUUAACUCACUUGGUGCAAAAAUUAUGAAAUACCAGCUUAAAGAACCCCUCCUAUGGCGUUUUGGCUGAUGAGAAUGAAGAGAAAUCACAAGAAAUCUAGAUAUUUCCUCAUUAAUCCUAAUUUUAUUUAGUUAAUUAUGCAAUAUUCCAAUUUUACCCUUAAAUCAUCCACUUUAUUGCUGAUUUCACACCCUUGCCGUCCAGCCAAAUAAAUUUUGGGUCUAAUUGCCUUUUAAAUCAUUUCUGAUUAGACACUUAAGCUAAUUAAUCAUCCCAGCCACUUUUACAUCUUUUCUAAUUUAAUCGUUUUCAUUUAAUUGACUACCCAAACAUUAAAAUUUUCUAACGAAAUUUUAAUACCACAUUACUAGCAUUUGAUAAAUAUUUAUAAAAAUAUUUCUGACUCGGUUUUAUGAUAUCGAGGGCUCGAUACCUUAUUUUUACCCAAUUUCUUCAAUAAUUUCUUUUUCUAACUAACCACUAAAUCGGUAAAAAUUUUCUAUUGAUAUUUUCAUACGAUUUUCCUAUCAUAUCAAUAUUCAUGCAAAAAUAUUAAAAUAAAUUUCUCUUUAAAUCGAAUUUGUAGUUAAGAAACCACUAUUCUGAUAACUUUGAAUUUAGACCAUUACAACUCUCCCUUGCCUCGGUCAAAUUGAUGUGGCAACAAAGGUACAAGGAUUGAGAGGUAGUGAUUAAGCAUGUGUUUCAAGAAGGAAAUCAAUGUACAAAUCAUUUAGCAAGUUCGAUGACUAAUAUGCCUUUUGGGUUUCUUGUCGUCAACAAAGUUCAACAAAGCUUAAAUCAUUACUUAUUUGUUGAUAGGAUAAGGGUCUUAGUACUAAGAAUGUGUCUAACUAGUGUUUAAGCUUGUGCCUACAUUUUUGUGUAAAAAAAUAUAUUUCGAAUAAUUAUAAUUAGAAUUAAUCAUUAGAAUGCAUGAUAUUUGCAAUUUUAUGCGCAAGUGGCAUGCCUGUAGAAUAAUCCCAAAAGAGAAAAAAAAAUUGAGAGUAACUGAAACAAAUCAUAGAUGCAUCACAUCAAUCAAAUCGUUGAAAAUUGUAUCAUAAUCUCGUUAUCAUUUGGCCAACUUGACGAUGAACUUUAGUUAAUAAAAAAAACCACUACCAAAAGCUCUAAAAGGCCAUCGCAUCAGUGAUACAUAAAAAACCCUAAAAUUUUAUGUUUGGCAAAAAGAAAAAAAAACCCUAAAAUCUUAUGAAAUGGACUCGAAACCGAUUAUAGUCGACUAGUAAGCAAAAAGACAAUGGCAAGAAUCGAAUAUUGAGAUACCUCCCGCGUAAAAAACAAGCAUAAUAACUGGAUUAUAUAAUUUUCUUUGAAAUUUUCAUCUCAUUUUUAACUUGUUUUCUCUUGAUUCAAGUCUUGUUCAAUAAUACCCGCAGCCUCUUAUUCGAAGUUACUCUUUGAGAAAACAGAGCUUGCGUGCUAAAUUUCGCUUCGAGAUUAGUUGAUAGAGAAAGGGACUUGAUUAACUACCUCAGAAAUCUUUCCACCUACAUUAUUUGCUUAAUGGAAUAAAAAAUAAUUUCAAAAACGAUUUUAGAAAAGUAAAUUGUAGUAGCACUUUAUAACAAAAUUAAGGUUGAAUAUUUUCUAUGAGUCACAUUGAUUAUAAUUUUAACUUAAAAAAAGAAGAAGAAAGAUAUAGGAUCAUAAAAUAAAAACCUAAAAGUCAAGGGGCUUAAAUUGAAAUAGCAUAAAUUAUAAGACAACAAGAUCAGCUUAGAAUGUGUGAGGGGCAGGAUACAAAAACGUCUUUUGAUUAAUCUUAACAUGUUUUCUCUAAAUCUCAUAAGCCCAUUCCUAUAAAUUUGAGGAUUCAAGCAUUUGAUCUUUGUUUCAACAUUGUACCAAUCCUUUCUUUUCCUAUAACCCAUUUCAGGUUCUGGUCAAAGCUUCUCAGGUUAGAGACUUCACUUUUUUUUCUCAUGUAUUAUUUCUUGAUCUUUUAUUCGUAUAAUGUAUAUUAUAAGCUUAUUCGUAGUUUUAUCAGUAUAUCUAUCUAUUGUCAAUGUUUUUGAAGUUCUAUUGGCCAGGCAGAUGAUCGGUGAUUGCAGGGAAAUAGGUUAUUAAUCGAUAUUGAAUUUUAGCCGUUCACUACUUUUAUGUAUGCAUGUAUGUAUGUAGGCAUGAAGGUAUUGGAUAUUGAUUUGCCUACAGUUAAUUUUAAGCAUGUUAUGUGUUUGAACAGAAUCAAUUCCAAUGAACUUGGAAAUAUUGGUUUUACUGUAUACCAUUUUAGAGUCUAUGGAUCUUAAAUCUAAUUUCUUAAUCUGAUGAAUCUAGGAUAAAAUUUAGAAAUAAAGCUAAAAGAGGGGAUUUGAAAUUCAGUAGAAACCAAAUUUCAACAAAAAAAAAUGUAAAAGGUAUCUUGAAGCCUUAUCAUGGCAUUUCUUGUUGUGGAGAAUGAUCAUUGUAAAUGCUGUCUGGAGUUAUUAAUAUGUAAGUUCUAACUUUGUAUUUUAUUCUUUUGAAAGACUUGUACUUCUUUGUAAUUGCUAAAAGGGUGGAGAAAGGAAAAAAGUAUGUAUGAAAGCUAUGCAGAAUUAGAACCCUUUUUUCAAAUUUUAUUGUUUUAUUGUUCUGAUGUAAUUAUUGCAAGUUUUUUGAAAGUAAUUAAGCUGAUUUAUUUGCUAUUCACUUAUAUGUAUAUUCAGGAAAGAUGUCUGAGAGAAAGAUACUGGAAAAUGGUUUUGAUGAAGGAGAUAAAGACACAUCUAAUCAUUCAACAAACAAGGUAAGUCACGUUUACAUUUUGGGGCGCUAAUAAUUUGCACUUCUGCUUUAUGGAAUUCAGGUAAGGCCUCUUUCUACUUGUUCUUGAAGGGUUUGACUUCAUUUUGUUCGAGUUAGAAGCCUUCUAUAAAAGGUGGAUAUAGAAAAAGUUAUAAUUGUUGUUAAAGUCACAUAUACAAGACCUAAAGGCUUCUGGUCCUUAUUAGAAAAAGAAGCUUAUGAUCCAGCCAAACCAGAUCAUGAAGUCUGAUGAAUUAAAUUUUUAUUCAUUUCCUAGUCUUUUGAUGUUGAAGCCAACAUGCAGCUCUCCCCGUUUUCAUCUACCAUUCGUAACUCACAUAUGAAUGAAGGAUGCUGAAUUGCUUAUGAUAUUAAAAGUUUAGGAAAGAUUCUGUAUCCAAUAAAUCUCUCAUUGAUGACUGUCAAUGUCACUACUGCUUUUAUGUUUAAGAGUUGUAUUCAGUGUCUGAUAAUGAUUUCUAUAGUCAUAGGCUUCCAACUUGCAUUUUGCUACUUAGAAGGCUUUUUUGUACAUAUUUAUAUUUCUGAUGCUUUUGCCUGUUUUGCUUCAGGUUGACACUGGGAAACCGCCAUCACUGACUUGGAGGCGAAAACUAAAUGGUGAGGGACGAGUUCCUUCAAUGUUCACUCUAACUUUUCAAGAGAAGCUUCAGAUGGUAUGUUUAGACAGCAAAAAUUUUCAUGGUUUUUGCAAAUCAUAAACCUCGUGACAUGUAUAUUGUGUAAUUUACUUUUGUUGUUUCAAAUGUAAAUGCAUAACAUUCUUAAAGAGAUAUUUUCAAAAGGAUAAACAGAAAAUAACUUAAGCUGAUUUGGAGAUAGGCAAUAUGAUUGUGAUUGAGCACCUGUUACAGUUAUAGGCUGUUAAGCAUGGAAUUCCAACUCUCUGCAUCAGAAUUUGUUUACAAAAUUGCACAGCAUUUCUUUUUACUGUAAUCAAAUAUAUAACACCAUGAUUGAGAGAAUGAGCUUAUAUGAGAUGAAUCAUGCAAGUAGGGUUAAUAUAUGAGGAGGUACCAGAACUUGACAAUCUAUACCUACUUGGUACCUAAACUUUUUUUGGACCUAAUUGGUACCUAAACUUGGAAACUAUAAGCUAACUUGAUACCUUUUAAGGUACUUGACUAAUGCUCUUAAAGUACGCUGAUGUGACAUUGAUGACCAAUAACAUGGUGACAUAUGACAGCCUAACAUUUUAACAAUUGGGGAAAAUAAAAAAAUUAUAAUUUUUUUAUAAAUUAUAAAUUAUUAUUUUUUGUCACAUGUCAAAAUGUGAAGCUGCCACAUGUCACCAUACUAUUGGUCGUCAAUGCCACGUCAACGUAUUUUAAUGGUGUUAUAUCAAGUUGGCUUAUGAUUACAUAGUAUCAAGUUGGCUUAUGGUUACAGUUUCUAAAUUUAGGUACCAAAUAGGUCAAAAAAAAUUUAGGUAGUGCCAAGUUCACGUAGCUCAGUAUAUAUUAACCCUGAUAUAAAUUAUCUAAACAAAAUGUACAAGAUUUCCAAUACAUUUUAUUGUAAAUGAAUUUUAGCUCUUGAACAGCCAAUACUUUCUAGAAUCGCCAAAAAAUAAUAACACCCUGGUAUGAGAUACUAGAACAUAGAGUAGGUUUGAAGUGGUAUAAAAAGAACCCGGAGAAGAUAGAGUUUGACAAACAUUUAUCAAUGCAUUUUCUGGUGGCAAUUAUUGCAAUGUUUUGACCUUGUUUUAACCAGAUAUAGACAAGUUCUUUACAGUAUAACGCACAUUUGGUAGAAGCAUUUGGAAAAUGCAUACCUUUUCUUAUUAUUUGAUCCACAACCAUUGUUUUGCUUCGAUAGGCUCCCAUAGGUAUUCGGCUGUGGCAGCUGAUCCGAGAAAGUUCAGCCAAAGGAAGGGUGAUCUACUUAAUUACGUCGUAAAUAUUACCAUUUGACCUAAUUUUUCUGUUCUGUUUUCUGACACGAUAUCUUUACGUUUGUUUUGAAGCGGGGUAUUAUUAUCGACCCAUUUGCUAAGCGCCAUGUCACAUCUUCUCAUGGUAUUCCUCUAGGUGGUGUUGGGUAUGUCUUCAUUUAUUUGCUGAAAAUUCUUAUUUCAGUUUACUUCUAUACGUAACAUUAAAGAAUGAAUGCUUAUUAAUUUAUUGGUCAUAUGUUUCUUUGGGAUGUAAAGUCACCUUAAACCAUUCCUAUGCUUAUUACUUUACAAAUCAAAUAAAAACUUUUUAACCUUUGAAUUAUUUAUGCAUUUAAGCAGCACAUAUCCAUAUUAGUUUUCUGGAUUUUCAAAUAUGACAAUUUGUCUGAAAAAUGUUAGCAGCAACAUAGUGUUCUUUGAGAUUUACCCAGUUUAUGUGCCUUGUUGUUUUCCUGAUUACUAACUCUUUUAAUAUUCUUAUCCCUCUUGUUCCACUUCUCAAUAACGACUUUCAGUGCCGGAAGCAUUGGAAGAAGUUACAAAGGUGAAUUUCAGCGCUGGCAACUAUUUCCUAGAAUAUGUGAAGAGAAACCCGUUUUAGCCAAUCAGUUUUCUGUAAGUCGGUUAUCCCUAGCCAGCCUAGAGAAAGGAAUAUACUGGUGUUGCAUCAUCUCUAUUGCCUGCAGCUAUAGUUUAAACUAGACGCAUGUUCUAUCAAAAGUUGGCUUGUCAAAAACCUGGUCAUUCCUAACAAGCAUUUUGUGCUAUGCUUCUUUAAAUCUGUGAGUCUGUGACAUUGUUAGUUGUUGAUGAACAUGACUUUCUGACAGAAGUAUCUGCAAGAUAACCGAAGUUGUGAUUAAGAAGUUGCCCCCUUUUCCACUUUUUUUUUCAACUGUCAUUACCAUUACCCUUUUAAUUGUAGGGGAUGAUGUGUAAGAUUCAUGGCAUUGAUAUCUUAUGCUUGUUUAUUUGCAAAAAGUAAUAAUAUUAAUCUGUCUUAAUGGACUUUAAAUGUUUCUUGCAGGUUUUUGUUUCACGCUCAAGCGGCGAAAAGUAUUCCAGUGUACUGUGCCCGGCAAGUUCUGAGCUACUCAAGUAAGCAGAUGUUCUUUUAUCUCUAUGUUUAAUAAAUGAAUGCCGUUGAUUAUUGCUUGAGAGCAAUACGCUUUGUUUGGUACAUUGGAAGAACAAGAAAAGGUUAUCUUACCAAUUACGAAUAUCAUGUGCAUUAACAGAGAAGAUGCAGUUUCUGGAAUUGGUUCCUGGGACUGGAAUCUGAGGGGUAAUAAUUCUACAUAUCAUGCUUUAUACCCAAGGGCUUGGACAGUAUAUGAAGGUAUCCACAUUACCAAGUGGUGAACCUUUUGCCUUUAUUCUUUUACGACCACAUUCUUGGAUGUAUCAUCUUAUAGGCUGGUCACAAUCUUGUCUUAAAAUGCAGGUGAACCUGACCCAGAACUUAAAAUUGUUUGUCGGCAAAUUUCACCUGUUAUUCCUGAUAAUUACAAAGAAAGCAGCUUUCCCGUUUCAGCUUUUACUUUCACCGUGAGAAUGGAUCUUCUAAAAAUUUUCUUUAAUAUGGUGAAGACAACUUGCUUUGGAAUUGAUCAGUUUGAUUUUUGAUAGUUCAGCUAUAUAAUACUGGAAACACCAAUGCAGAUGUUACGUUGCUUUUCACUUGGGCUGUGAGUAACUAUUUUCCUUUUUAUGUGUUUGUCCCUCAAUUGACCAUUAGCAGCUAGUAUUCAUGCCAUAUUUUUGUGUAUAUCUUGUCAGAAUUCUGUGGGAGGAGUAUCAGAAUUUUCUGGUCGUCACUCCAAUUCAAAACUAAUGUAAGCAUGUCAUGCUUAUAUAUGUAUUCACACACCUGCACAUGCACACAUUCGCAUACACACACAGACUUGUAUAGAUGUGUGUGUGGAUGUGUCUGUAUGCUGAUUUUCAGUUUCAUUCAUUCUACAUACUACUUGUUUAUUUAUUUGUUUCCUUUUAUCGGAAUGUUCUUAUCUUUGUAGCAUAUUUUGGUUUAUACUACUAAUGUAUCAACUGAUUUUGCUAGGAUGAAGGAUGGUGUGCACGGUGUCCUUUUACAUCACAUGUAAGGUCAUCAGUGAAGCUGGGGGAUAAAAAAUGUUGGAACUUGGUUUGAUCUGUUUAUUAGCUUUUGCAUUGCUUCUUUUUGGUUUCUAUAAUUAACACCUUGUAUUACUGCUACAGGACUGCAGAUGAACAACCUCCUGUGACUUUUGCAAUCGCUGCCCAGGAAACCGAUGGCAUUCGUAUUUCAGAGUGCCCCUGCUUUUUGAUAUCUGGAAACUCACAAGGCAUAACUGCAAAAGAAAUGUGGCAAGAAAUAAAAGAGGUAUGUUGAUUUUUUCCCCUUCAGAUUCCUUGUGUACUAUUCACAAAGAUUGCCUCUGAGCUACUUAAGCGUGGGGGCAAAAUUACUGGGUCAACAUUGAUCAUCAUUUCACUGAACUUGAGACAUCUCAAAAUGUUUUUGUAGCAUGGCUCCUUUGAGCAUUUAAAAUCCACUGAAGCAUCAGUGCCUUCAGAACAAGGGUCGUCUAUCGGGGCAGCCAUUGCAGCUUCUGUGACAAUUCCAUCUGAUGCUGUACGUACCGUUAAUUUUUCAUUGGCAUGGGACUGUCCUGAAGUAAACUUUAUGGGUGGAAAGACUUAUUACAGGUUUGUGAUUACAUACUUGUAGAAGAAAUACCCCUAUUUGAAAGCUUAUUUGCUUGCUGAAUAGCGUAUUAUUUACAGGCACUAUACGAAGUUCUAUGGAUCUAAUGGGGAUGCUGCAGCAAAUAUUGCACAUGAUGCUAUUCUUGGUAAUAUUUCUCUGUUUUCAUUAUGUUAAUCAUGGUUUCUAAAAUUAUAAAAAUAAAUUUUUCUAAACUUUAUAAGAUUUGUUAAUGGAAAAAGCCCUCAAAUUUCAAGUUUACCAGUUUCUCAAAUCAGUUGCUUAUAGUCCUUAUUGCAUUGGUAUGUUCAUUUCCUUGAAACAUAGAGCACAACAGUUGGGAAUCACAAAUAGAAACAUGGCAAAGGCCUGUACUCGAAGACAAGAGGCUUCCUGAAUGGUUAGUUCUUGUCUUAUUAUUUGUAAUUACCCAUGCUAUCAGGCUCUAAUUUUGCUGAACUCGUUCAACAGGUACCCCGUCACUUUAUUCAAUGAGCUCUAUUAUCUUAAUUCAGGGGGAACGAUUUGGACAGGUACCUAGAUAUUAACUCAAUUGUUAAAAUUGGAUUUCUUGUAGAUGACUUGUGCCUAUCUUUCCCUUUUUGUUUGUACUGCAGAUGGGUCAUCUCCGGUCCAUAAUUUAGUAAGCAUUGGAGGAAAGAAGUUUUCCCUUGAUAAAUCACAGUUGGGAUUGAAAAGCAUAAUUGAUGUUCCCCAUAAAAAUGAUACUGCCAUUGACAUUUUGGGUAGGAUGACUUCUAUACUUGAGCAAAUACACACUCCAAUUACAUCAAAUUCAGCUUUAGGAACAAAUUUGCUUCAAGAAGGAGAGGAAAACAUUGGUCAAUUCCUUUAUCUUGAAGGAAUUGAGUAUCACAUGUGGAACACCUAUGAUGUCCAUUUUUAUGCAUCUUUUGCACUAAUCAUGUUAUUUCCAAAACUACAACUCAGCAUCCAAAGAGACUUUGCAGCUGCAGUAAUGAUGCAUGAUCCUACUAAGAUGAAACUUUUACAUGAUGGACAACUGGUUGCAAGAAAGGUUCUUGGAGCUGUUCCACAUGAUAUUGGAAUGGAUGACCCAUGGUUUGAAGUAAAUGCAUACUGCCUUUAUGACACUGAUCGAUGGAAAGACUUGAAUCCAAAAUUUGUUCUCCAAGUUUACAGGGAUGUCAUUGCCACAGGUGACAAAAAGUUUGCGCAAACUGUUUGGCCCUCUGUUUAUGUUGCAAUGGCUUAUAUGGAUCAAUUUGACAAGGAUGGUGAUGGGAUGAUUGAGAAUGACGGCUUCCCUGAUCAGACAUAUGAUACGUGGUCUGUAUCUGGUGUAAGUGCCUAUAGUGGUGGGCUAUGGGUGGCAGCCUUACAGGCUGCAUCUGCCUUGGCACAUGAAGUAGGAGACAAGGGUUCUGAAGAUUAUUUUUGGUACAAGUUUCUGAAAGCAAAAGACGUCUAUCAGAAAUUGUGGAAUGGCUCUUACUUUAAUUAUGACAACAGUGGCAGUCGCACAAGUUCAUCUAUUCAGGCAGAUCAAUUGGCUGGCCAAUGGUCUGUAAUGAUGGAUGUAACUUAAAUUCUAGUCCAGCAUUUUCGUUAGAAUUUUAUGUUUCUUAAUUCUCAUUUCAAAAGCAUUUUCUUUAUUCUGAACCUAGGAUUUUCUCUCAUUUAUAUUUCUGAUUAGAAAAUAUAAGCAGUACCUUUAAAAGAUGAUAUUGGCAUGCAUCUAUCACAUAAUGUUUUUAGGUCUAAGCAUGAAUAUUUUCACAAUUUGCUCAAGCUAAUUGAAAUUUUGACCAAUGUAGGCAUGAAAUUAUUAUUUUUGUUAAUCUUGUUGCAUGUUCCUUUUCAUCCCAGCAAAAUUUCUCUAUAUUGUUUUUUUCACGUGGUAAUGAAUUACAAUGUCUUUGUAGGUAUGCAAGGGCAUGUGGUCUUUUUCCAGUAGUCGAUGAAGACAAAGCAAGAAGUGUGUUAGAGAAGGUAUACAACUACAAUGUCUUAAAAGUGAAAGGUGGAAAGCGGGGGGCUGUAAAUGGGAUGCUGCCUGAUGGAAGAGUUGAUAUGUCAUCCAUGCAAGCAAGGGAAAUAUGGUCUGGAGUUACAUAUGCGGUGGCUGCAACAAUGAUCCAUGAAGAUUUGGUGGAUAUGGCAUUUCAUACUGCAAGUGGCAUCUUUGAAUCAGUGUGGUCUGAAGAAGGACUUGGGUAAGAUGGCUUUUCUUUCUUUUUCUUCUCUUUUUUUUCUUUUUUCUUUUUUCUUUUUUCUGUAGUUGACAUAUGAUUUUUUUUGGAAAGCCUCCCCACUAAUGUUUGAGUGACAUAAGAAUAGAUACUGAAGGAUUUAAAACCAAAUGGAAUUCACAGAUUGUAAAAGUUUCCUCUUAAUGUUGAUUUUUUUUUCUCCCAUGGCUCAGACCUCAGAAGAAAGUAAUCCUUCUUGAGAUUUGAGAUAGGAGUUUUUUAUCGAUUUCUUCAAAUGUCUAGUCUUUUGGGAUACUUCCUUUUACUUUAGGACGGUGGCAAGUACAAACUCUACUCCACUCCAAAUAUAAUCCUUAAAUGUAAUGUAGGGGAACUCCAUCUUGUUAUCAUUGAAACCAUAAAAUAAGAUUGUAAAUGUGUAAGAUGAUCAAUUUCGAGCUCUGCUGAAAAACUAGAUAGUAGCAACAAUGUCUUGGAAGGGAUUUUUUACACUUUGAAAUACUUGCACUGGAAAAAUUCCAUGCUUCUGAAUCUACUUCUUGAAACAUGACAAUGAUGAUUAUUGUUCUAAUAUUCAUCAUUUGCUCACUAACAUGUUGCUAAUAUGUUUACAGUUACUCAUUUCAAACUCCGGAAGCUUGGAACACAGAUGAUCAAUACAGGUCUCUAACUUACAUGCGUCCGUUGGCCAUAUGGGCAAUGCAAUGGGCUUUAUCAAGACCAAAAGUUCCAAAGCAGGAGCUAAAACCUGAAAUGGAGGCGGAUUCGCUACGUAUACACCAUGCCGGCUUCUCCAAAGUUGCUCGCCUUCUAAAAUUGCCUGAAGAUCAAAGAUCCAAAAGUCUUUUACAGAUUAUGUUCGAUUAUACUUGCAAGAGAAUGUUGACUUAAUUGAUUGGUGCAAUUAUUAGUGUGUAUGGUGAGUGUGCAAUGCAUUAUUCUAUAAUUGGAAAACUUGAGUAUUUGCAAAAUUAUAUUGUUAUUGGAAAAUAGUGUAUUCAGGACUUCAAAAUAUAAUAAUUUGCAGUGAAAGCAGAUCUGUUCUCUAAACUAGUUUUGAUUAUCUUCAUUUGCAACCACACCCAUAAUUUUGUUCACUAAAUUACGCUGUAAGAAUCAAACUACUAUUAUAAUGGUUGUUGCCGUUGUCGUUGCCGGGCUUUUUUUUUAUGGGUAAACUACAUGGCAGGUCAUUUAAUUAUGAUUUUUUUUUAUCCAAAUAUGAAUUUUUUUAAAUUGGUCACCCAAUUAAUCGAGUGAUAACAUGUUAAUUUGCACGAUUUUUUGGGUUUAAUUCGGUUAAUUUUUUAAUUGAUCCCUACUGAAUUAGUGAUUUCAUGUUUCAAUUUUGUCAGUGAUGCAAUUGGGAUGCUAUGAGUAAAAAACGAGCAAAAAAGGACCAAAUUGAAACACAGUCAAUAAAGUGAGGCCGAAUAAAAAAUAUGAAAAAAACCAAAGACUCAUCAUAUUCUUUUGACUUUGUAAAAGCCAGAAUUAGAAAAAAUUUAAUUUUUAUUUUUAUUUAAUUUUAAUUAUAUGUUGAAGUGGUUAAAGCCAAAUGUAAUAAAUAUAAUGUGAAUAAAUAGGGCUUUAAGUACCUUGAAAAAACACAUUACAUUUUACCUUUGAUUUCCAUUAGGAAUUAAAUAGAAUUAUUCUUUUUUUCUUCCAAAGUUGCUGCGUCAAUAGCUAUUGUUGUUUUAUUUCAUUUCUUUGCUCUUUGUCAAAUUUGUCUAAUUGCUUUCCAAGUACCUUUCUUUCCCAUUCUUCUCCAUUAUCAUCAAAUCACCUUUCAAAACCUGCAAAGCAUGAUUAAUUUCAUGUUUAACUAAAUUCUAUUUUAGCUUUAGGCGGGUGUUCUUUCCAGUUGGGAAUCGUGAGAUAUUUAUCCGUGCUAAAAAUCAUUCCAAUCGGUAUUCGCAUUUUUCCUAAGUAUUGGAAUUGACAACUCAUCCCUUAAAGCUAACUCGAUUUCAAGUCAAAAAGUACACGUUGGAUUGGAAUCGUGUUUUCAAACAGUUGGAGAAACGAGUCAGCCGUGCUGUAUUCGGAUCUUCGAGAACAAAUCAAGGGAAAAGUGAUCGGGUUUAAAUGACCCACGCAGUUAAGGCCGUUAAUCUGAGUUGGGUUCUUCAGAGCACAAGGCUGCCAAAAUCUUGAAUCGGGAACAUGUGUAUCUCGGUUAGAUAAUCAGUAAGGGUUGGUUUGCAGGUCGUACCGAGAUCAGUUACAAGAGGAAGAAUUGGUGGUUAGGAUGUUCUUAACUACUAUAACCAGCUUAUUGUUUGGAGGAGAAAAUUAAUUUUUAAGGAUCAAUUCUUAAUCCGGAAUCUACCGAGUCUAGGGCUAAGGCUAAUUAUCUUUUAUUACAAAAUUCGAAUUUAAUUUCCAAUUUAAUUUCUAAUUUAUUUAUGCUAUUUCAAUUAUUUAGUUUCUAAACAUUUCAAAACUCUCCUAAUUUAUUUGUUUAUUUUUCAGCAGGUCCGUUUGGAGUCGUGGGCAUGACUAUAGUCACGACAGAAAUUCUGAUCACAAGUUAAACGCGAAAGUUGAUUAUAACACCAAUCCCUGUGGACUCGAUCCUACUACCACUCUUUACUACUAUUUAGAGUUGUUUUGUAAGAAUUAUUUUUGGUGGUUUCGACGCCCAUCAAAAUUUUGGUGCUGUUGUCGGGGAGUGGAGAUAUUUUUCUAAUUUUUGUUUGUUUACCUUAUGACCAGAUCAGAAUCAGGAACUCUAGAGUUUGAACCAGAAAUUGAGAAAUUGCCCGACAAUUGCGAAAAAAAGCCAUUCGACGCGGUAAAUGAAUAAAUCCUGGAUUCGAAACCAUAUCUUACACCGAGGAAAGUUUCUAGUUUGACGAACCAAACGAGAUGGUCGAACAAACUAUACGCCAACUUGCAAUGGCACCGAAUGAACAACCCUUAUGUAUAACCUAUCCGGUAGGAGGAACGUCGUUCAUGUUAAAGUUGGGUUUGAUUCAUUUACUACCCACUUUUCGUGGAUUACAGAACAAAAAUCCGCACACCCACCUUAAAAAGUUUCAUAUGGUGUGCACAAGCAUGAAGCCUUAGGGAGUAACUGAAAACCAAAUCAAACUUCGUGCUUUUCCCUUCUCAUUAAUCGACUUUGCUAGAGAGUGGCUAUUUUAUUUACCCCUGGGAUCUAUCAACACAUGGUCUGACAUCUCACAUUUGUUUCUUGACAGGUUCUUCCCUGUAGUUCAAGCGACUGAACUAAGGAGAGACAUUGUGGGAAUCCAUCAAAAGGACGUUGAAUCGCUCUAUGAUUACUGGGAGCGGUACAAAAAGUUGUGUGCAAGUUGCCCACAACAUGGACUGACUGAACAAUCACUCUUGCAAUAUUUCUAUAAGAGGUUGCCCCCGAUGGAAAUGAAAAUGAUAGAUGAUGCAAGUGGAGGGGCACUUGUUAACAUGACUCCUCAAAGAGCAUGAGAGUUGAUAUCGACAAUGGUUGCUAACUCUCAGCAAUUCGACCAAUUACAGAACCCACGAGACAGGUUCAUGGGUUAUGUUUUCUAUCUCUAAAAGAUAAAAUUGAUAAGUUGACUAACGUUGUUCAAAUUUUACUUACAGAUAAAACGGGCCCAGCAUGGUUGUGUAAAAUUUGCACUAAGCCAAACCACCCGACGGACUCAUGUCCAAUUUUACAUGAGAAUUUGACAAAACAAACAAAUGUUGUCGGGAACUUUCUAGGACCGUCCCCAAGGUGAUAUUACCCCUACUCAAACUCGUAUAAUGUGGGGUGAAAAGAUCACUCGAAUUUAAGUUGUGGGCCGAAUACUCGGUUCAAUCAACCGUACCAACAAAGGCCGCCUCCGAAUCAACAGUUACCACCCCUAAAGUCAUCUUUGGAAGCCAUAGUUGAAAGGCUUGUCAAUAGUACUAAGAAAUUUCAACAAAAAACUGAAAUGCAUUUGCAAGAUUUAGAUAAGCAAAUGAGCAAGCUUGCGCUCACGGUUAGCUGUUUGGAGUCCCAAGGUAAGUUGUUGUCCCAAACUAAGUCUAAUCCUCGACACAAUGUAAGUGUUAUAACAUUGAGGAGUGGGAAGGUUUUGGAGCCUGUACCUGGCAUGAGUCGUGCCCACAACGCUGGCCGAGAUGAGAAGAAACUUGACACAGAGGCUCCAGUAGAGUCAGCAUCACAAGAAUCAUUUGCAGUACCACAUCUAUUUCCUGGAAGAUUUAUCUAAUGCAAGAAAGAGCGAAAAGAGAAUGAGAUCCUCGACACCUUUUGAAAAGUAGAAAUCAACAUACCUCUUCUUGAUGCGAUUAAGCAAAUUCCACGGUAUGCAAAAUUCUUAAAAGAAUUAUGCACGAGUAAGAGGAAGCUCCUAAGCAAUGAAAAUGUGAGUGUCAGAGAAAAUGUCUCCGCCGUUUUACAAAGGAAAAUACCACCUAAAUGUAAGGACCAAUGUAUGUUUUCCAUAUCUUGCAAAAUAGGUAGUCUCUGUAUUAAAAAAUCCAUGUGUGACUUACGCACAUCAAUUAAUGUUAUGCCUUUGUCAAUUUAUAAACUACUUAAUGAAGGUUCUUUGAAGGAAACAGGUGUAAUUAUUCAACUCUGUAGUGUAUCCAGAAGGAGUGCUGGAGGAUGUUCUUGUUAAGGUAAAUGAAUUGAUAUUUCCUGUAGACUUUUACAUUAUCAACAUGAAGGAUGACAACUCAGCCAAUUCGUCUGACAUACUUCUUGGGAGACCAUUCUUGAGUACCACACGAACAAAAAUUGAUGUUUGGAGUGGAACACUCACCAUGGAAUUUGAUAGUGGAGUGGUUAGGUUUAAUGUUUAUGAAGAUAUGGGACAUCCCAAUAAUAAGUUACAAAUCAUGCCUUGCAGGAAUAUAGAUCUCAAUGUUAAGCAAGAGGAAUUAUCGAUGAUCCAAAAAUCAAUACGUGAAGCUGUCACGAAAGCCUCAAAACUAGAACUCAAACCGUUUCUAAAACGUACAAGGAUUCCAACAAAGAAAAAUGUAAAGAUGAACGGAGAAGCUCAAAGACACCUCAAUCCACUAAUGAUAGGGGAAUCCGGGAAAGGCUUCAAUGACAAUGGGCAAAGGUCGAAAUCUUUCUACAAGAACAUCCAAGUGCACGAAAUGGAAAAUUUAAUUCUCAAUGAACCAAACAGAUAACAUUUAAGGUCGUCGAGCUAACAACGUUAAACAAAAGCGUUUUUUGAGAGGCAACCCAAAUUUAUUUUUAUUUUUAUUUUUUUGAAUUUUUGAAUUUCAAUUUACUUUAGAUUGAAAAUAAAAUGAAUAAUAACCAGAUUAUUAUUUAAUCAGGUUAAUGUGUUAUUUUCAGGGACGUGAUGAAGGUUGUCGAUUUUCUAAAAAUCGGAUAUUGAUGGUGGCGUGGCCACACCGUGCUAAGUGCUAACAUUUAUUUCCCUACAAACAAAACCUAACAUCCCUAACCCAAAUAAAAACCCCAACGCCGACAACAUUGUUAGAAACACAUGGGGAGUAUUCUUAACCUUUCUCUUUGCUUGUUGUUUGAGUUACUAGAUUUUAUUGCAUAUAAAACAUGCUUGAGGGCAAGCAUAGAUUAAGUGGGGGGGUUGUAAUGGUAAGUAAAAUGGUAAAUAUGCAUGCUUUUUGCUGCAUGUUUCUCUUUUGCAUAUGUUCAAUCUUAUGCUAGAUUUAUUUGAUAGUUUAUUUGACAUUGAUCCUCUAAUCUCAUUACUUAGCCAAUUUGGACAAUUGGGUAAUUUUUGAAUUAAAGUGUUCAAGUAUCUAGAUUAAUCGACAUUUGUGUUUUAAAGUUGAUAUACGUAAUUAGAUUUUUCACAAAUUGAUUGUUUGGAAAAAAAUAUUUGCUUGUACAUAAAUAAAUAAAUAAAUAAAGAUUCAAGUUAUGAGUGAAAGUUUCAAAAACAUGACCGAAUUUAGUAACCGAGGUGAGAUGUUUGGGUUGUCAUCUUAUCUCGCGUAAAAAAGGUUCGAGUAACAAAUCGAAAACUUACAAACAUUCCGCUAACCGAGUCUAAAAAAAAUGUUUGAACUGAGUAACUGGGAUAGGGUGCUUGGGUUGUCAUCCUAGUUCGCGUAAAAAGGUUUGACCAUGUCUAAAAUUUUUAUUACUGCAUGAUUAAUUAAUAAUACCUUGCAAAUUUUGGAUUCAAACUCAAUUUAGUGAAAUAAUUUAGUUCACAUAUUUCAAUUUUAUGACACUUGUUGAUCAAACUAUAUUCUGAGCAUUUAUUUAUUUAUUUUGGCCUAUGUUGUUUGCAUUGAUUAUAAAUGCAAAAAAGAGGCUCGAUUUUUAAUAAAUUAUUGAAUAAUUUCUAAAGUUUGAAAGUACAAUAUGUUUGAAGACAAGCACGAGCUAAGUAGGGGGAUUUGAUAACAUGUUAAUUUGCUUGACUUUUUGUGUUUAAUUCGGUUAAUUUUUAAAUUGAUCCCUGCUGAAUUAGUGUUUUUAUGUUUUAAUUUUGUCAUGGAUGCAAUUGGGAUGCUAUGAGUCAAAAACGAGCAGAAAAUGACCAAAUUAAAACAUAGUUAAUAAAGUGAGGCCGAAUAAAAAAUGUGAAAAAAGCUAAUGACUCAUCAGAUUCUUUUGACUUUGUAAAAGCCAAAAUUAGAAGAAUCUAAUUUUAAUUAUAUAUUGAAGUGGUUAAAGCUAAAUUUAAUAAAUAUCAUGUAUAUAAAUAGGGCUUUUUAAGGUACCUUGGAAAAACACGUUACAUUUUACAUUUGAUUUCCAUUUGGAAUUAAGUAGAAUUAUUCUUGGUUCUUCCAAAGUUGCUACGUCAAUAGCUAUUGUUGUUUUAUUUUCAUUUCUUUGUUCUUUGCCAAAUUUGUCUAAUUGCUUUCCAAGUAUCUUUCUUUCCCAUUCUUUUCCAUUAUCAUCAAAUCACCUUUCAAAAUCUACAAAGCAUGAUUAAUUUCAUGUUUACCUAAAUUCCAUCUUAGCUUUAGGUCGGUGUUCUUUCCGGUCGGGAAUCGUGAGAUACGUAUCUGUGCUAAAAAUCCUUCCAAUCGGUAUUCACAUUUUUCCUAAGUAUCAGAAUUGACAACUCAACCCUUAAAGUUGACUCGAUUUCAAGUUAAAAAGUGCACGUUGGAUUGGAAUCGUGUUUUCGAACAAUUGGAGAAACGAGUCGGCCGUGCUGUAUUCGAAUCUCUGAGAACAAAUCAAGGGAGAAGUGAUCGAGUUUAAACGACCCACGCAGUUGAGGCCGUUAAUCCAAGUUGGGUUCUUCAGAGUGCAAGACUGCCAAAAUCUUGAAUUGGGAACACGUGUAUCUCGGUUAGAUAAUCGGUAAGAGUUGGUUUGCAGGUUGUACCGGGACCAGCUACGAGAAGAAGAAUUGGUGGUUAGGACGUUCUUUAUUGUUAUAACCAGCUUAUUGUUUGGAGGAGAAAAUUAAUUUUUGAGGACCAAUUCUUAAUCCGGAAUCUACCGAGUCUAGGGCUAAGGCUUAUUAUCUUUGAUUACAAAAUCCGAAUUUAAUUUCCAAUUUAAUUUCUAAUUUAAUUAAUUAUUUAUUUAUGUUGUUUCAAUUAUUUAGUUUCUAAACAUUUCAAAACUCCCCUGAUUUAUUUGUUUAUUUUUCAGUAGGUCCGUUUGGAGUCGUGGGCACGACUAUAACCACAACAGAAAUUUUGAUCACAAGUUAAACUCGGAAGUUGAUUAUAACACCAAUCCCUAUGGACUCGACCCUACUACCACUCUUUGCUACAUUUAGAGUUGUUUUGUAGCAAUUGUUUUUGGUGGUUUCGACGCCCAUCAUCGAGAUUGCUUUUUAUUCUCCAUUUUUGUUAAUUGCACUAACAGGAGGGUAACGUGGUAGUUGAAAAAUCGGUAUAAUAAUAAAUUUAGCCCUCAAUUUUUAUAUAUUAUAUUGAUUUAGUGAUUGAAUGCCGGGGCAGAUGGGGAAGGCUUUUUUAUUUAAUAUUAAUAUUAAUAUUAAUAUAAAAUUUAAAUUUAAAUUUAAAUUUAUUAUUAUAUUUUUUGAAAAUGUUUAUGUAUUUUUAUAUGUUUCUUUGAAGUUUUUAGAAUUAGGAUCAAAUUGUGAUCAUUUGUAAAUUUUGAGGGUUAAUUUUUUAAAAUUAUGAUUAAAUUGAUAUAAUAUGUAAAAGUUGAGAACUAAAUUUGUUAUUAUAUCAAUUUUUCAACUGCCAUGUUACCUUAUUCUUAGUGCAAUUAACGGAGAUAGAACUAAUCUUGUUUAGUUGGAUGACCAAUUUAAAAAAAUUCAUAGUUGGGUGACAAAUUUGAGACAAAUCCAUAGUUAGGUAAUCAAUUUUUUUUUUUUAAAUUCAUAAUUGGGUGACAAAGCAAAAGACCCGGGAGACCUAUGAUGUAGCUUACCCUUUUCCUUUUUUAUUUGAGAGGCAUGCACAAAAAAAGAAGUUUCCAUGCAUCUUUGGUCGUGUUUUCGAUGUAUUAUGUGAUCCAAUAAUUGAGAAACAUUCUGCAUUGCUUCAAAAUUUUGCAUUAUUAACAAUGCCAAUAGGAAUACCAAGAAAGAAAGAAAAAAGAAAAGAACAAUGGCAAUAAGAGCAAAAGGAAGCUGAAAUGGGUAUAAAUCAUGAAACAUUAAAUAUCAUGCAUCCAACUCCAAUGAAAAGCCUUUUCUUUUUCCCUUUACUUCCAUGUCCUAACCCUUCCAACAUGAAAUCUUACAUAAGAUAUAGCAUGUAGGCUAAAUACCUUUCUUGACAAUAUAUAUUCACCCUUCUCGUGAUCUGGUGCAUGAUCAUACACAAUAAACAAUAUAGUUCAGUUUGGAGCAAAACUAAUGCACCAAAACAUAAUCUAAACCUAGGUUUUUCUGCAGCUCUCCAAUAUGUCAAUUGUGAGAUGAAACCAUCUACAUAUGCAAAGUCAGUUGCUUAAAAAUGUUCAACAAUGGCAUGCAAGACAACGUGGUUGAGAAACGUGGUUGAGAGCAAGGCAGCGAUUCUAACAUCCUCCGAACUGUAAGCAUUGCAUCUAGUGAUCAGAAGCAGUGGCAACAUCUCCUUCCAAGCCUCUCCGUUUCUUCUUCCCUUCCCCAUGCCUUGACCUCCUGGGUGCCUCAUCCUCACUUUCACUGUCAUCAUUUCUGAAGCUGUUCCCUGCAGCAAACUGAUCUUCAUGGUGAGCCUUUUGUCCUUCUUGCUGAUACUGUGUCUCAUCUUCCAACCCACCCCCUGGACCACCCAUUUCCUGACCUCUACCCUGCUCUGAUCCUGCACUAGAUCUGUCAUUGGUUGGUGUCCUCUGAUCUCUUUUAAUAGCCCGGCCAGAGUUCUGAGAGGCAGGUGCUGGAGGUAGGGGAAACAUCGGAGGCAUGCCAACAGGCCGGCCACCUCGAGCAGGAUUAGCACCUGUGGGCCCCAUACCCCCCAUAAAUGGUGCACGCCCUGGACCCAUCAUCAUCCCGAUUCCACCAGAUGGAAACAUUCCCCCAGGCUGUGGAGGUCGCCCUGGAAACAUCAUGCCAGAUGCAGGACCCGUAAAAUCUCCAGAAAACCUGGGUCCAUACGGUGCAAAAGGACGAGGAGCACCAAAAAGAUCUGGCAUCCCAAAACCAUCAGGUGUAACUGGUCCGUAAGAAAAGCCAUCACCACCCAUCAUCAUCGGUGGAAAACCUCGCAUUCCAGGCAUGGGUCUGGCACCACGGGCUAGUGGCAUGUGAGGGGGCCACAUGAUUCCUCUGCCUCUUCCUCUGCCCUGAGCUGCAGCACCAAAGCUUUCAUCCUCCUCCUCACUUUCUUCCUCUUCCUCUUCUUCAUUGUCCUCAAAUGGAACAAUGUCAGGGUUCUCUGCAUUAUCUGAAUUGACUCCCUUUGCUUUCUCUUCUUCUCUUUUUGAUUCUGCUGCCAGUGAAAUUGCCUGUAUCCCAAGGGAUUAAACAAUUGAAUACAUGGUACAACUUCAUUCAUUGUGGUAUCCAAUAACAUGAAGGGAAAGUCAAAAUGUAAGCCUUAUACAGCAUCCCAUUUAUCUCAACCAAAAGCAUGGCAAAAUGAAAGCAAUGCCAUAACCCAAACAAAAUGCCAGUGAAAUUGCCUGUAUACCAUGGGGAUUAAACAAUUGAAUAAAACAUACAAAUUCAUGAUGUUUCUACAGCGUUACCUUCUUUAAGUAGUUCAAAACAAUACUAGUAUUUAACUUCAACAGACUACUAUCAAACUGCAAUGUGUCUCAAACAGUUAGUUUCUAACCAAUUUCCCACGGAAUAUCAAGUACAAAAAUACAUUGCUCUAGUAAGCACAACAUGAUAACUCCCCAAAACACUCUGGAGUCCACAAAACCUUAUCACUACUGCCACCAGCUUAAUAUGAUUUAUUAGGACACUAUUAGCCUGCACGAGUCUUUACCCAUACUCAUAUACCAUACAAGGACCUCAUAUUAGGGUAUGUAAAUAAGAUCAUACUAAUUAGUGUCUAAUCAAGUAAACACAAGAUUAGGUUCCUUCUCUUUUUGUUCCUAAUUUUCAACUUUCCCACACUUUUCUAAUUAUUAUAUUUAGAUUGUUUUCAAACUCAGGUAUCCAAAAAUAAAAUAGCUCCGAAUUCAGAAAAAUAAAAUAGAAUAAGCAUACCAUAAGCUCACUAUCUGGCUCAAGAUAAAGCAAGGAGGCCAACUGCUCACCAACAGAAGGCUCUAACUCCUGGCAAUCUCUACUUAUCUGCAAGUGCACAAAGUACAGCAGUGAGGUUAAACUAUAAUCACACCGAAAACAACAGCAUCACAUGGUAAAAUAUUGUGAUAUUGUCUACUGCAAACAGUAUAUUAAAGCUAAAUUAUACACGGUAAAAGCAGAUAAAUAAUUCAUAUAAACCAGAGUAUUAACCUAAUUAGAUGAAAAAAUUAUUGCCAAGUUAUACUCAAUCAAUGUUAAGGCUUAACCUUCAAAGGCUGGAAUUAUACCUUUACUGGUAAGUUCUCAUUGUAGGGGUUCCUCAAAUGCCGAGUUUUGUGGAAAGACAGCUCACAUAACUACAUAUUAAGCACAGUUAGUCAUCAGAAUCUCAGAAAUUUUGUGGAUGCACGCCCAAAAAGAUUCAAAUUAUUGCAUCUAACAGAGGGCACAAAACCAAUCAGCCAGUGCAGCAAUAUUAUAUCUAAUAAACACAAAUUGUCAAAACUACCUCCAUGCUUAGAAUAUCUUUAAUGUUUUUAGUUCCUUAAAACUUAGCUUCAUAGAAAAUUUUAUUUUAAAAGGAGAGGAGGGGGGAGGGGGAUAGAGAAACACACCUUUAACCAUUUUACCGAGAAAUUACGUCCAUAAUGUGCAGUUCCAUGAGCGUAUUUCCAGUUGCCUCCAGCAACAGAUCCACCAAUUUUGGAUGUCAUUUUGGCACAACCCUAAUAAGACAAGACAAUGUAAUAACUAAGACAUCAUACAACAUAAAAAGGCAACAUUUUGGACUAUGGAUUAUAUAUAAGAUCUAUUGAAGACUGACUAAACAGUAAUGCAAGACCUAUGGAUGACAAGUUAUUUCAGAAUAACACAAGUAUGAAUUCUCAAAUUGAAUAUAGAGGAUACAGAAUAAGUUAUUUCAGAAUAACACAAAGGUAUGGGUUCUCAAAUUGAAUAGAUGGAGGAUAUUAGAUUUCUGAACUACCUGGAAAUGCCGUGUACGGUUAACGGAGAAGACCAAAAUCACAUUUUCAGCAGAAUCAAAAGCUUCAUUCAGUUUAGCCUCAUUGCUUCUUUGAGUUGCCCAUACUCCUUGUUGAACAGAUAGUUCCAGAUUUUCACGGUUGCAACUUUUAACAAUAAAAUACCUAGGGUGCCAUUUUUAAGAGUAAUCAAUUAUAAUCAAGUUUUUCACAGCAAUGAAACAUAACACUGCCAAUAAUGUAAAAUUCAGAAAAUAAUAGAACAGAAAACAGAAUCUGUCAGCUUGUUAUAAGGUAGAUGACUACCACAGCAACAGUUAAGAUGGAAUUUCACAACAGUAAUCAAUCAUUAAACAAAGAACAAAGUAUUAUAAUAAGAAGGCAAUGGCUUGCUGUCGAUUAUAAAGCUGAAUUUAUACUUAAGGAUUUUUAGACAUAUUAGUUGAAAACCCGUUGGAAAGAUUGACAAAUGCAAAACCAAUACACUCACUAUUUACAGAUUUUUACGUAAACUUAAGCAUAGAUCUAUAGUUAGGGUUCUUACUACAGAGCAUUUUAAUUCAUUCUACAACAGGGUUACAACAAUAACCUUCUUCCUCUAUUGUUCAUGAUAAUCACUUUCUUGUUCACAUAAUCUCAAAUCUGUCAUUUCUCUCACUGGAUCACACCAUAGCAUAUAAAGUAGAAAAGACAAGAAGCUGUAAACUUAAUAAUCAAAUCCAGCAAAAUAAGCAUGCCACUGGAAUAGAAGGAAAAAAAAAGUGACUGAUUUUUUCAGAUCUAAACCAACAAAACUAGGAAAUAAACACACUGAUACCCAAGUACAUAACGCCUUUGUAAACAAGAUGGCCUAGUUGUAUAAAAAUAUUUUGAAAUUCUAAAUAAAGAAAAUGAUAACACGUUAAAUUUCUCAAUCCUUUUCACCACAAGAAAGUUGUUCGUUGUAUCUAAGACUUCAAGACAUUUAGUUUAUAAUAACUUCAUUUCUCUUUGUAGACAGAAGAGAAAAGGAGAAGAAAAAUGAUAAAUUUAUUCAACCCUUAACUGUACUAUCUAGUCCAAAAGUUUACAUGCAUCAACAUAUUUUUAGAUGCCCCUGCAAAAUAAAGAAUACAAGAGCUUGAAAGAGGAAAACAAUGCAGAAAAGAAUAGUAAAUCAUUCAAUUGUCAAAUUUGAAUAAUACAGUAUAAACGUGUAAUAAAAAGAACAACUACCUAUUUCAGGUUUUAUGAUACCAAUUACACCUUAUAGAUAAUGACAAUUCCUUUGGGCAAUUAUUAUUGAAUAAAAGAUGUAUCUUAACUGUAUUCAAAAUAAAAUACAAUUAAUGAUUUACAGAACUCAAUUAAAGACCCCAGGACUCUGAACACACCUAGAUAUUCCUUGAGGCAAAGGUAUAGCAGUUCUGUUUGCCUGGUUAGACUGCCCAUUGGGGACAUUUUGUAUCUGGGUCUGGCUGACCUGUUGUUGCGGUUGUUGAAUUUGUUGUUGCUGCUGCUGCAGCUGCUGCUGCUGUACGUUAGUAGAUUCAGUUGCUGAAGGUUUUCCAGCUGCUCCUUGGUUUACAUUGUUUUGUGCUUGUGGAAUCUGAGAUUUUUCAGUUUGUUGGGGGAAGCCAGCAUUCCGCUGUUGAUAAAAUUUGUUGUUAUAAUUGUAAGCACUUAACUGCUGAAUCUUCUGCAGGACUUCUUCCACAGGAGGAGGAGGUCCUGGGAGCUUUGCAUGCCUAUAUCGGCAGUCAGGACCAUUCGGACAAAAACCUAGCUUGUACCUGCAACCGCGGAAUUUUGCAUAUUAAUAAACAUUCUUAAUGAUAAAACAGAAUUGGUACUAAUAUAUUCAAGAAAUUCCAGGGUCUGUUUUAGGGUGCAUGAAAGGUAAGCUCUUUACUGAAUUCGAGGAAAACAAAAUGAUUUGGAUGUCCCAGUGACUUCCAAAAGGAAAUACCCAUCAUUCCUUACAGUUAGUUUUACCAAUGUAAAGCACAAUUUCUAUAAGCUAUUAACAAAUUUCAUUGAAGAUAAAAGGAAGGACAAUCUCGCAAGUUACAUUCAAUAUAAGUAGCACCAUUUUAGCUUAUAUCCAAGUGUUCCGCUAACCCAAAUCCUAUUAAAAAAAUGGUUCUAGCUAUUGAUUCAAUGUAAAAGAAGAAAAUACAAGUAUAAUUAAGCCAAAAAGAAAAAGAAAAACGCACAUGUUACACUCUUUGAUAUCCUCGUUGGUGUGUUUGUACACACAAUCUUGCUCCCGGCACUCACCAAAAAGCCGAAAAAAACGGCAGACGGGCAUGCGGGACUUGUCGUACUGGUGAAGGAAACCACAGGCAUCACCCUUCAUGCAGAGACUGCGGAGCCAAUGCCGGCACACGGUCUGACGGAAGCUCCUUCGGCCAGCUCCACCACCUUGAUUUGCGACGGGAUCAUUUAUCGAAGCCUGGACACCACCAGGGGCGGUAAAAUUGUUGGUAUUGUUGGCGGCAGAAGGAUCGGAAUUGACAACAGGCAUGGAGGCAGUGGGGGCGGGGGGACCGGCAUCGAGACCGCCCUCGAAAUCGAAGCUGAGACCUCCCUCCGCGUCAUCCAUAGUCGAUGCGCUUGUGUUUUCGUUUUUUGGGUUGGUUUAGGGUUUAUUGUUAGAAAUCAAAUGCUUUUACCAAGUGAGAGUGUUUCUCCAAAACAGGGUGGGCUUUCACCUUUGAACGUUGGGUUUGGUUUAAAAGUGAAUCGAUGGAAAUCCUUUUUAUUUGUAAGUUUUCACAUAUCCAUGUAAAAAACUAUAUCAUACAAUACUAAAAUUCCAACAGUCCAAUUUUCUCGAAUCCAUCCUAAUGAAGUGAUUUCGAUGUGGGUGAAAUUAGAAAUGCUUAUAGAUUAAGUCGGGCCGGGCCCGUAAAAGAUAAUAAGACUUAUUUUCUAGGUUCGGGUUCGGGUUCAGUUCAACCUAAAAAAUAGGUUUAUCUUUUUGUCCAAAUCCGAUUCAAUUUAAGAAAAGUAAACACAAAUUCAAAUUGGCCCACCAAUAUUUUAUUUUUUAAAAUUAAUUUUUAUAAAAUAUAAUGCACUAAAAAAAGGCUAAAUUAAAAAUUUUCUAACACAUUAAAAAGUAUUUAUAUUAAAAAAAACACUACCAUAAAUAUAAUAUAUGUUUUAUUAUACUAAAAAUAUAAAUAAAUAUAAUAAAUGUUUUAUUGUAUUAAAUAUAAAAUUAAAUUUUCUUUUAGGUUUUGGGUAAUGGGUUUAAUUGGACUAAUUUACUUAUAAAGGCCCAUUUCUAAGUAUAUUUACGGAAAUGGGCCCAAAAAUGGCCAAUUUUGGCAAAAUACAUCUACGUAGGAGCGUUUUAGGGUGAAAUUCCAGCAAAUCGCACCCUUGGGGGAGCUUUUUGCCAUGUCAGCAGAAAACGCGCCGACAUGGACGCGUUUUGCUGACGUGGCAAAAACGCUCCCCCAAAGGCGCUUUUUGCUCCGUGUUUUUUUUAGGUUAGGGUUUUUUGCAUGUUUAGUCCUUAGGAUUUUUUGGUUUAGGGUUUUUAGGGUUAAGGUUUUGUUAAAAUAAUUUGGGGUUAGGUUUAUAAGGUUUAAGGUUUUGUUAAAAUAAUUUAAGGUUCUUGGUUUUAGGAAUUUUAAAAAAUAAAUCAAGAUUUAGUGUUCUUUUUUAAAAAUUAAUUAAAUUAGGGUUUAGGAGUUUUAAAUUAAUUAAUUAAAUUUGGGUUUAGUGUUUUUAAGAAAAUUAAUUAAAUUUGGGUUUAGUUUUUUUUAAAGGCAUAAUUGCAAAAAAAAAAAACCCUCAACGUUUGGGGCAUUUAGUUUUGUGUCAUUAACCUUUUUAUUUUUUAAUUGACACCCUCAACCUUACGAUUUUUUCAGAAAUCAACGCACUUUUAACGGUCAACGUGAAUUGACCGUUAAAUUAAAUUGUAGGUCAACAUAGUAGCCCAUGUGGCAUGCCACAUAAGCGCACGACGUCAUAGAUGACAUCAUCUAUUUAACAAAAAAAAUUUCUUAUUUUCUCUCUUGCCAAACACCACUUUUUUUCUUCAAAACACAUGGUUGCUGCCAUUUUUUUCCUCUCAUUUUCUCUCUCGCCAAACACCAUUUUUCUUAUUCAGAACAUAUGGUUGGCUCAUUUCAUCUACAAGAAUCUCCAUUACCAUGAUUAUAAUCAUGCUUUUGUGCAAUUUUUAUAAACCCACACCACACUUUCAACUUAAAACCAUUGUUUUUCCCCCACUGUCGGCUGCCAUUAUUUUCUCUCAUUUUCUCUCUUGCCAAACACCAUUUUUCUUCUUCACUACCUAACCUCCAAGCCAUCAUUGUUUUACUAUCCUGUUUUUGUUCUCAUCCUUCACUUUCCUAUUUUAUUACUACUUUCUAUCUAACAAUCAUAAAAGCAUCUAAUGGGAAAAUCUAAAUCAUUUUUUAUACAGAUUAACCAAUUCGUCCAGCAUAAUGGAAACAAGAUAUAUAUAAUUACAAUAUCAUGAAAUAAUAUGUUGCACAAGUUUAAGAAGCCUGUUUCGAUAUCUAUUUACAAUGAUAGGUGUGGAACACUGGUUGAUCUUUCAACUUUUUCUGCAACGCAAGCAAUCCAAUCCAUUCGACUUCAUUCCUCGUACCCAUCGCUUCCAACUUCAUUUCUAUGUGAGGGUCAAAUUGACAAUAAGUUUAUAAAACAGAGUACAAUAUUUAUAAAAUGAAACUCAACACACAUGCGUGAAUUGUUAGCUUCGUCUGUACCUAAGGGUAGCAGUUUUGGCGGACGAUAGUCUGAGUGGUUCUAUGUACCACAAUCUCGCAUAAGACUUUCACCUGUUGAAUAUUAUUACACACAUGAAGAAAAUCUAAAGACUAAAAUCAUGAAACAGAGUAGUACAACAUUAAUAUUUAAUGCUUGUUAAUCCAAUAGUCUCAUUUCCUUGUAUUUCUCAAAAUAGGGUGUUAAUUUGAUGAGCUUAAGCAAUCAUCAAGUUUAAUCAAUCUUCAUGUUCAAGAAUGAAAAUUUUGAAGAUGAAGAUCAAUGAAAAAUAGAACAUGUUCAAGAAUUUUGUGUUUUGAAGAAGAAAAAUAGUG
Molecule: long non-coding RNA, 137129 nt
Filed under: Gossypium barbadense (sea-island cotton)
Lineage: Eukaryota; Viridiplantae; Streptophyta; Magnoliopsida; Malvales; Malvaceae
Description: long non-coding RNA (GBAR_LNC021482)
Rfam family: MIR7486 microRNA precursor family (bases 46297-46383)
Source: RNAcentral